Molecule: long non-coding RNA, 90511 nt
Filed under: Malus domestica (apple)
Lineage: Eukaryota; Viridiplantae; Streptophyta; Magnoliopsida; Rosales; Rosaceae
Description: long non-coding RNA (MDOM_LNC021284)
Source: RNAcentral
GGAGUUUCACCUAAUAGUUACAAUCUUAUAAUCACAAGUAGUGAAGAUCGCUUGAAAACGAUCGCGUUGAAUGAAUUCUUAGCAUAAGUUUCAUGCAAUUCAUAGUAACGAAUGCUUCGUUAAUGCUUAUGUUUUUCAUAGAACGUAAUGAUUCUUGCUUGUUUCUCUAUUAUGCAAUUCAUGUAGGGAACUCGUAGGGAAUGUUUUAGGUUGUCGUAUGCAAUCAUCCAACUUAAUAACUUGUGGAAAAACUGAGAGUUAAUUAGUGCAAUUCACGGUUAAUUUGGGGCGUUGAGUAUUCAUAAUUUAUUGGAAGAACAACUGAAAAUCGUUUUGUUGCAAGUGUGUCAUGUGUGGAGAAGAACCUCCUAACUAGCAUUCUACCCAUCUCUUUCACUAAAAUCGUUUUUACAAUCUGCCCUAUUUCCAAUCUGUUUUCUUUAUUUUAAUUUUCGUCAAAACAAAAUCCCCCUUUAAUUUGAAGUCUUAGAUUAGUUAGAAAGUGUUUUGAUUUGUGUUUCUAAGUAUUUUGAUUCAAGUUUUUCAUCAAAUUUCGUCCAAAUUAGUGUAGGUGCUCAAAACUGCCCAGAAAGUGGUUUUUAGGCAGUUUUGAGCCUUCUAGUUGCUGUUUUGAGUUUUAGGUUUGUUUAAGUGUUUUAACCUUUACUUUUGCAUUCUUUGAGUCUAGUUUAGUGUUUUAAACUUUGUUUUUGAGUUUUUAAGUCAGUUUCCAAGUGUUUAGCAAUCCCUCCUAAUCCCCGGUUUAGAACGAUCCCUACUUACAUCUUUGCUACAAUUUGACAAAAAGAGGGUUUAAUUUGUGUGCUUAUCUAUUUCGCAUCAAAUUUUGGCGCCGUUGCCGGGAUUAGCAAAAUUGCUAAUCCUUGGAUUGUUUUUGUUUCUUUUAUUUCACUUUGUUUCUGACUUUGUUUAAGUUUCUGACCUAAUUUUGUUUCUUGUUUCUUAGGUACUAAUGUAUGACUAGAAGCUCUCAACCGAUUCGUACAAACAUCUUGGAUUUUGACGACGAUUUUGAGAGAAAGUUAAGAAGAGCUAGAAACCAGCAAGAACACCAUCCACCCAAUUCCGAAUCUGAACUUGAAGAAAACGUACAAGAAGAGGGGGAGGAAGCCACGGCAGGGAUAUUUGAAGAAGUCCAAGGCAUGGCCAUGGACAAUCGUACACUCAAGGAGCUUUCCGCCACGGGUUUGGAUAAUGCCGCACCCUUGUGCAUUCAAUACCCCAUGGCUGCCCAAGGUAAGACAGAUGAGUUUGAAUUAAAGUCAAGUUUGCUUCAUCAUAUUCCUAAAUACCAUGGCUUGUCCAUGGAAGAUCCUAACAAACAUUUGAAAGAAUUUGAAGUAGUUUGCUCUAGUAUGACUCCCAUCAAUGUUGACGGAAAUAUCUUGAAGAUGAAGGCUUUUCCAUUCUCUUUGAUGGAUAAAGCCAAGGAUUGGUUAUAUGAGUUAGCUCCCGGCACUGUCACUUCUUGGGAGAGUAUGAAGAGAGCGUUCUUGGAGAAGUUCUUUCCAACUUCUCGCAUCAUCCUCCUACGCAAAAAGAUAAGCGGAAUUCAGCAAGAAGAAAGUGAGUCUUUUCCUACAUAUUAUGAAUGAUUUAAAUCACUUGUUGCUUCUUGUCCACAGCAUCAGAUGAAGGAGGAAUUGCUCUUGCAAUAUUUCUACGAGGGCCUCCUACCUCUAGAACGUCAAAUGCUUGAUGCUUCAUGAUAAGAGCAUAUUUAUGCUACUUAAUUGGCUUGUUCUCAUGCAUUUAGGUUGUGUUUACUUAGCUAUUUUAGUGUUUAAAGUCACUUUUGUGUGUUUUCAGGUUCUAAGGUCAAAGUGUGCAAAAAGAAGCAAAAUGGAGUUUGGAAUGCAUGUCACAUAUUUGGAGCCAAGGUUUGGACGAAUUUGAAGGCUUGAAGAUGAUGAUUCCUACUUGAACAAGGUUUCCUAGUUGAAGUAGGAAAGUGCUUACAUGAAGGAGGAUUCCUAAUCAACGAAGGAUUCCUAAUUGACGAAGGAUUCCUAAUCGAAGAUGGAUUCCUAAUCACAUGAGGAUUCCUAGAAGAACAAGGUUUCCUACUCCAACAAGGAUUCCUACUUGAAGUAGGAAAGUUAAGCCAAGGUUUCCUACUUUGGUUUGAUUUUUCCUAAUUGUCCCUAAAAGUUCCAGCAAUUAUGAAGAUUUUCUAAGCAUUCUAGGACACAAAACAAAAGCCUAGAACCCUUAUGGACCCCUUGCCACACUCCCUUGCCCUUUCCUCUUCCUUGCCGUGCAAGGGAGAGGGCUCUUUCCUGUUUUGGAGCAUUAAAACACCUUCCUUUUUAUGCUUUAAACCCUGGCCGAAUUUCCUUGACCUUUCCUUUUAAUUUUCUGAUUUGUUUCCUUAAUUCUAGAAGCUUUAAACUUAAUUCCUGAUUACCUAAUUAGCCUAGGGUUUUUAAUUUCCUAAUCCCUUUAAAUAAACAGGUUUGUGCAGCCACAAACAUCUCCAUUCAGCCACAAACAUCUCCAUUCAGCCACACACUCUCCCAAAUUCGUCAAACCCCAUCCACAACCUCAGAAACCAUUCCUCCUCCAUCUCUGCCGAUUUCCACCACCAUUCUUCAUCUCCACACCUUCCACACAACACCCAUACACUACCCCCAAGCCUUGCCGUGCCCCUACACCAUCCAUAAUCCAUUCUACAUCACACAAACCCCCCAGAAAUCAUCCUCACCCAAUCUGCCGCAAGGAGAAGAGAAGGAGACAGUUCAUGAAAAUUGUUUGGCUCUUCAAUCUGAGUUGUUGAACAAUUUUAGGUGUAUUCUAUCUUAUAUUUCAAUGUCUACUUCUUGUAAUCUUUGUUUUUCAUUGAGUAUGAUUGGCUAAAUUCGUUUUGGCUAAGGGUGUAUUCGAAACCAUGUUUAUUUAUGUGAAAUAAGUUGAUUACUUCCAGUUAUCGUUGCAUAAGUCGUGAAUACAAUUUGCUUAACCGUUUAAUUCAAAACUUAUUCUUGUAUGUUGAUAGAGAGUGCACGCUUGAUUUGCAUGCUGGAAUUUGGUGCUAGAAUAUAAGUUUGUUACACCUAAUCGUUAUGAAUUUAUAUUCGCAAGUAGUGAAGAUCGCUAGUCACGAUCGUGUUAAGUAGAUUCAUGGCAGGAGUAUCAUGCUUUUCAUAGUUACAAUUGGCUUGUCGAUGCUUAUGAUUUCCAAAGAACUUAAUGAUUCUAACUUGUAUCUUUAUCAUGCUGUUCAUAUAGAGAACUUGUUAGGAAUAAUUUGUUUGCGAUGCAUAUUCAUCCAAUUCAAUGAUUCUAGGGAAAUCUGAAAGUUAAUUUAAGCGGACCUAAUUAACUUGGAGUGUCGAGGUUCAUAACUUAUUGAAUUGAUAACUGGAAAUCGAUUACGUUGCAUAAAUUUCAUGUGUGGAGAAGAACCCCUUAGCCAUUCCAUCACCCAUUGAUUCAUCACAUUAGUUUACAAUCUGUUUUAAUUUACAAUCUGUGCAUUUAGUUCAAAUUCGUCCAAACACAAUUCCCCCAUAUUUUGUUAAGUUUGAGUCUUCAUAAUCUGUCCUCUUUGGUGUUUUUAAGUAUUUUGAGUCAUAAGUUUUGUCAAAUUCGUCCAAAUCUUGUCUUAGUUGCUGUUUGAGUCAAUUAACUUGUUUUAAUCAGUUUUGGGCAGAUUUGAGUGUUUCAAAUCUGUUUUGAAUCUUAGUAGUCUAAUUAGAGUCUUUAAGUUUAGUUUUUGUGUUUCUAAGUAGAUUUGUAUUAGAUUAGCACCCCUAGUCAAUGCAAAGUGUCCCUACAUUUGGUGCGUCUUAUGGGCAAGGAUAUCAAGCCAAUCAAUGUCCACAAAGAGAUUGGAGUGAUCAUUCAACUUCUAUGUGGUGGGAAUCUCAACAAGCUCAACACGAUGGAUAUUGGCAGCCAUAUGAGGAGUUCUAUUCAAGACCUAUGCACUAUGCUCAAUCAAACUCAGGUUCGUCAAUAGAUUAUAAUCAAAUUCUUAACGAAUUAAAUUCUUUGGUGCAGGGCUCACAAAAUCAAGCCAAGGAGGCUCAACAAGAUGCAUAUUGGCAGCCAUAUGAGGAGUUUUACACCACGCCUAUGCAGCCACCACCGCCUCCCCCACAACAAAUCCAAUCGAAUUCAAGUAUGUGAUGCGUAAAAUAACUAAACACACAAAUUAAACCCUCUUGUUGACAAUUGUAGUAUGGAUAAGUAGGGAUCGUUCUUAAACCGGGGAUUAGGAGGGAUUGCUAAAACACUCUAAACUGACUCAAAUAUGUAAAACUAGGUUUAAAACACUCAACUAGACUCAAAGAAUGCAAAACUAAACUCUAAAACACUAAAACAAAUCAAAAGACUCAAAACAGCACCAAAAACACUCAAAACUGCCUUAAAACACUUUCUGGGCAGUUUUGGGACUCUAAUGCAAACUUGGACGAAUUUUGGUUUUCUAAUGACCUAAAACACUUAAAACAUAAUCUAAGACCAGUUCUAACUAAUAUAACUCAAAGAAAUAAAGUGGGGUUGAUUUUGGACGAAUUUAAAUUAAAUGGCAGAUUGUAAAGAAAACAGUAGACAAAAUUGUGAUGAAUUAAUGAAUGAUGGAAGAGCUAAGGGGUUCUUCUCCACACAUGAAAUAUAUGCAACGUAAAUCAAUUUCCAGUUAUCAAUUCAAUAAGUUGUGAACCUCGACACUCCAAGUUAAUUAGGUCCGCUUAAAUUAACCUUCAGAUUUCCCUAGAAUCAUUGAAUUGGAUGAAUAUGCAUCGCAAACAAAUUAUUCCUAACAAGUUCUCUAUAUGAACAGCAUGAUAAAGAUACAAGUUAGAAUCAUUACGUUCUUUGGAAAUCAUAAGCAUCGACAAGGCAUUCGUAACUAUGAAAAGCAUGAUACUCUUGCCAGGAAUCUACUUAACACGAUCGUGACUAGCGACCUUCACUACUUGCGAAUAUAAAUUCAUAACGAUUAGGUGAAAUAAACUUAUAUCCUAGCACCAAAUUCAAGCAUGCAAAUUAAGCGUGCACUCUCAAUCAACAUACAAGAAUAAGUUUUGAAUUAAACGGUUAAGCAAAUUGUAUUCACGACUUAUGCAACGAUAACUGGAAGUAAUCAACUUAUUUCACAUAAAUAAACAUGGUUUCGAAUACACCCUUAGCCAAAACGAAUUUAGCCAAUCAUACUCAAUGAAAAACAAAGAUUACAAGAAGUAGACAUUGAAAUAUAAGAUAGAAUACACCUAAAAUUGUUCAACAACUCAGAUUGAAGAGCCAAACAAUUUUCAUGAACUGUCUCCUUCUCUUCUCCUUGCGGCAGAUUGGGUGAGGAUGAUUUCUGGGGGGUUUGUGUGAUGUAGAAUGGAUUAUGGAUGGUGUAGGGGCACGGCAAGGCUUGGGGGUAGUGUAUGGGUGUUGUGUGGAAGGUGUGGAGAUGAAGAAUGGUGGUGGAAAUCGGCAGAGAUGGAGGAGGAAUGGUUUCUGAGGUUGUGGAUGGGGUUUGACGAAUUUUGGGAGAGUGUGUGGCUGAAUGGUCAUGUUUGUGGCUGCGCAAACCUGUUUAUUUAAAGGGAUUAGGAAAUUAAAAACCCUAGGCUAAUUAGGUAAUCAGGAAUUAAGUUUAAAGCUUCUAGAAUUAAGGAAACAAAUCAGAAAAUUAAAAGGAAAGGUCAAGGAAAUUCGGCCAGGGUUUAAAGCAUAAAAAGGAAGGUGUUUUAAUGCUCCAAAACAGGAAAGAGCCCUCUCCCUUGCACGGCAAGGAAGAGGAAAGGGCAAGGGAGUGUGGCAAGGGGUCCAUAAGGGUUCUAGGCUUUUUGUUUUGUGUCCUAGAAUGCUUAGAAAAUCUUCAUAAUUGCUGGAACUUUUAGGGACAAUUAGGAAAAAUCAAACCAAAGUAGGAAACCUUGGCUUAACUUUCCUACUUCAAGUAGGAAUCCUUGUUGGAGUAGGAAUCCUUGUUCUCCUAGGAAUCCUCAUGUGAUUAGGAAUCCAUCUUCAAUUAGGAAUCCUUCGUCAAUUAGGAAUCCUUCGUUGAUUAGGAAUCCUCCUUCAUGUAAGCACUUUCCUACUUCAACUAGGAAACCUUGUUCAAGUAGGAAUCAUCAUCUUCAAGCCUUCAAAUUCGUCCAAACCUUGGCUCCAAAUAUGUGACAUGCAUUCCAAACUCCAUUUUGCUUCUUUUUGCACACUUUGACCUUAGAACCUGAAAACACACAAAAGUGACUUUAAACACUAAAAUAGCUAAGUAAACACAACCCAAAUGCAUGAGAACAAGCCAAUUAAGUAGCAUAAAUAUGCUCCUAUCAGUAUGCCCAUGAGUUAUGAUGAAAUUCUUGAUGUACUAACCUCUUUGACGCAGGGCUCACAACAAGAAGAAUGCUCGCAGCCAUCUGAGGAGUUUUAUCAGUGGCCAUAUGCACCACCACAAUCUUCCCAAACAAAUUCAGGUACGUCAAUGGAUAAUGACCAAAUUGUUCAAUUACUCACCUCUUUGACACAUGAAGCAGAAAAUCAAGCCAACAAGAUGGAUGAAUUAGAGAAGCACACCUACACAACCUCAGGAUCAUCCCCAAAUUUUUAGAAUAUUUUUCCUAUCUCCCACACGCCUCCACGCGCCGGCCAAGACACGACCAGACACGCCUCCCACGCGCAGCCAUAUGCCAGGCACAUUGACGGUAUCAACUAACGCCGUCAGGUAUAUUCUGGAAUAUUCCUUUUAUUCGUUAACAAAACUUAACAACGUGACCUAACGUCGUUAGAAUAUUCCGUUAAACUUAACGGAAUAUCCUCUCGUCUUCUACCUUCAGCUUCGGCGACUGUCGCCGGAAACUGGGAAAUUUUCAUUUCCUUAUAUCUUCUUCAUUUUUAACCCAAAAUUUAUGAAACUUGAACCAUUUUAAAGAUCUCACAACGAUGAACAAAACUAUACCUGAUUUGAGCUAUGAAACCACCGGAAUCCCACCGAAAAAAGCUUCGAUAAUCUGAGAAACCUUAAAACUCGUCGUUCUCACGAUUCCGACGUCCAAUUUCUUCAAACAAAGUACUCCGAGCUUCGUAAGGACCUCCUUAAGCUCCCUAUGUCCUUUAAAUUCCCUAAAAAUCAACAUUUUACGUGAGCAUGAAUAGUACCCCAAAUCGGGUUUUGUGGUUCAACGUGAAAUCGAAGGUAAUCUUACCUGUAAUUGGUACCUUUGAACUCGUGAGGACCUUAGGAACACAAUGGUACCAUUUUUCUUCUUCGAUCUGUCACGUUUACAAGGGUUUCUGGUUGUCCGUACAAGAGAGAAAAAGAGGGAGAGUGUGAGUCUGAGAGAAAGAGGGCACGGGAGUGAGAGAGAGAAAGUGAGGUGUAGUGUGUGGACCAAAUCUCUCCAACCAAUCAAAAUUUAGUCUUUCUUAGUUCCUAAGUGCUUCCAAAAACUUAGGAAAUCAUAAUUAAAUCCAACUUAAAUACAAGUCAUGCACCACACAACUUAACGUCCAAGGGUAAACUAGUAAUUUCACGUCAACGGAAAUUAUUUUUCGGAACGGGCUGUCACAUUUAUUAUAUUAAUUGAGCAAAAAAAAUUAUUAUAUUAAUAUUCAAAUAUUAAACACAUUUAUUUAAUUAAAGUAAAUGGUCUGGAGAAUAUUAAUGAAAGUAAAAAAAGACAACAUUUAUAAAUUCUGAAAAUACCUGCAUAACCACUUUGACUAGUCCCUCCUAUGCUGAAAUUGAUAAGGCAGAUGGUUCAGAGCUUCUUCAUGACUUUCAUAAUCAAAAUAACAGGUGCGUAGCUCGAAAAGCCACUCUUUGAAUUGUAUCGUCCACAUCCGAUCAAUGUAGUAAAACAUAAGCAGUUCAUCAACGUCAAUAUUGAACUCGGUUUAAAAAAGGCAAAAAAACAAAUGUUAGUUAUAAAAAAACAAUAAAUUAGUAAUUAUAUAUAAUAAUUAAAAUUAAUAAGAAUAUUAAACUAAAAAAUAAAAUACUUAUCAAGAGGUCUUCCAUUAGGUCAUGCUUUGCACUGCGAAAGACAUACUUCCAUUUGUGGUUAGUCAUAAGGCACUUAGUACAGAUGAGUACACCUGUUAUGUGAUUCAACAAUGUCUAAACUUGGAUGACGGACGCCCACGUCAUUUGUCCUAUUCAACCCUUACUCGCCUAGGGUAAGGAGUGUUGCGCCUAGGCAUUCAUUUUAAAAAAUUUAAAAUUGCCAACUUUGCUAAAUAUAUAUCAUAUGUUUAUGACAACAAUUUAUCGUUAAUGCAUCAAAAAUAAUUUAUAUUCCCCCUUCCUCGUACCGUCCACCUCCUGAAACCCAUCUCAUCCCCUCCCCUUCUUCGUCCCCUCCCCCACCCAUCCCCUCCCCUUGUUUGUCCCCUCCCCCACCCAUCCCCUCCUCUUGUUUGUCCCCUCCCCCACCCAUCCCCUCUCCAAUUGUACCCGUCCUCACCCGUCCCUCACCACAAACCCAUACCCAUCCCCACAUUCCCCUUCCCCAAACUAUUCCUCUCCCUAAACUGGUCUCCCUACCCACCCAUCCCGACAUAGCAAAACCCGUUCGUUCAACCCAUCUCAUUUGUACCCAGCACACCCAUACCAUCGAAAUCUCUCAAGUGGUGAAACAAAAUUAUUUGAAACCAUAUUAACGAGGAACAAAUUAACAAUAUAUAUAUAUAUAUAACAAAUAUGAAAUAUACAAUCUAAACAACAGACUUAGCAUAUUUCGCCAUAAAUUUAGUUCGUCGACCAAAGUAAUUAAUUUUAAUAAAAAAAGCUUUGUAUAUUUUAUUGUAACCGUUAAUCGAUAAUAACCGUCAAUUGAUAAUCAAAUUUGAAGAUCAGGUGUAUUCAAUGUGUGUUUCAACCUUCAAAUAGCAUAUUCUGAAAAAGUAACCGAAUCUAAGAGUAAUAUAGCAGUUUGAUCAUGAUUCUAAGUUUGUAACCAUCCAACAUUUUUAACUGACCCCUAGUCCUUGCAAGUUUAUUUGUGAUAUUUUUCGAGAUAUACUAUCCCGUACUAUGACAGUUGGAUCGUCGAAAAAAUGUUUGUGGAGUUUGACUCCCUGCAAUGCAAUUGACUCAACUAACUGUUGACCCUAAAAACUACCAAGCCUACGUGGCGUGCAGGCCGAGUAAUCUAUGAGCUAACUACGUUCUUCGGUGAAUACGGGGCAUGCCAACUCGUCGGUCGAGCUUGGCCGAGAAGUAAAAUUUGUUGAUGUUGCGUUUGGUGCGCGGCUGACUUCUGCGUCUUAUGAUUGCGGCCGAGGAAGGAACACGUCUCGACCUCUUGGGUUCUCGAACCUGAAAAUAAGGCUACUAUUCUUACGAAGUUCACGAAUCGUCGUCGUCGGAUUCGGUCACAGUGAUGGUAUUCAUCAGAGUAAACUCACGCCGAAUCGAUACCAAAGUGUAAGGGCACAAAUACUCAAAGCGGAUAUAAGUCUUAAUAGUGAACGUGGUUCGGCCAUCUGAAUACCGAACUCUAAAUCCCACUUGAGAGUAUCCAAUCAUAAAAUAACUCGGUGUGCAAUGCACUGAGCUCAGUAAGUUGUAACACCUCACUUCACCGAGAAGGCUAAUGAGAUGACCUCAAUCAAUAAGGAUUUGGAAAACCUUCUCGACUGAGACUUGGAUAGGUAACCAACCAUCAUCGCCGUAGUGCUGUUGAUGCCAACGGAAGAUGUUGCGAGAUCGGCUGAUUCUACAGCGACAAAGCUAUCUUUGCGACUGAAGAUAUCAUCAGUUGCUUUCACAGUGUUGUUGAUGCCAAUGGAAGAUGUGUCAGCGAAAAGAGAAAAUAAAAAAUCUCAAAGUUGUUGAGAGAGUUUGCGCAGGGCAGUUGUGUGUUGAAUUGGAGGGGGUUGAACAAUGCACAGCCUCCUCUAUUUAUGGCAUCAGAUACUUCCUAAGUAGAGUUAAUCCGAGUAGUUAAACCCUACUCGGAUUAGGACUUCUUCUUCUAAUCAAACACCAUCUCGAGUACUCCUACUCCCAUCAGGAGUUUGGACCUAACCUUUCUAUCAGGCCGUAUUCAAAAUAUGUCUCGACCUCCUCAUCUCACCGGGACUCCUUAUCACACCAGGAUUUCUGUUAACCACAGAACUUCCCCCUCCUCUUCCUUAUCCAGGCCGUUCCUUUUCCUACUAGGAUUCAAAUGACCCUAACCAUGCGGCCCUUGAACAAGACAACCCCUAGUAGUUUUUAAAUAAAUCCUUCCGGGUCGAGAAUGAUUCUACACUCGGCCCAAACCAAUAUUUUGGGCCUAAACACUAACACUUAGUGUUUUCAUCAUUAACCCUAUUAGGUGUAAUGUAUCAUUUUGUUGUAAUCACAAUUAUAAGUAUUUUUAUUUAAUGAUCGGGUCCAUUCGCUGUAUUGUUUUGGGGUCGGUAUUUGUUGUUGUAAAAAAUAGGAAAUCUGGAAGAUAAAAUGACCACUGAAUUGCAUUUUAGUUUCUAACCGUUGAAGGAAUUCAUGACAUUAGCUAGUGUCGAAAUGUUUAUUUUGUCUAAUUUUUGGCGUAUAGAAUCUCAUAGUUUAUAUGAACAAUAUUGAUGGUUGGAUUGUCAAAAUUAAUUUUAAUAAGUAAAAAAAUCAUACAUAGAGUUGGAUAUGUGAAAGAAGCCCAUAUACUUAACCGAGGGAGAUUCCGGCGGGCAACAAUCAUUAAUGUUUGCCCAACAAAUAGCCUAAACCCUAAACAAUAAUGAAAACUAUACCGAUGGAGUUUCUGCCGAACACUAUAUGAUUAACAGAUGGAAUCACGUUCCAUCACGUAAACAUCUGAUGUGAAAUUUCCAUAACGAUUAGGUGAAAUUUCCUUAUAUCCUAGCAUUCAAUUUAUGCAUGAUAAUUAAGCGUGCACUCUCAACCAACACACACAAAUCAAUGUAAUGCACAUAGAUAAGUAAAUUGAAUUCACAACUUAUGAAACGCAAUUAGAAGUAAUCAAAUCAUAACACAAGCAUAAACAUGUAUUUCGAAUCCCCCCCCAGCCAAGGGGGGUUUAGUUCCUCAUACGCACAAAACAAAGAGAAUUGAAUUUAAACAUUGAAAUCAAAGGAAAAGAAACACCUAGAAAUUCCAGCGACGCGAACUUGAAUUGCAUGAACUUCCGAGCUUCCUUCUCCUCCUCCUUGGUGCGGCAAAGGACUUUAGGGACAGGUUGGGACUUUAGGUGUAUGGAUGCAUGGUUAUGGAUGGAUGUAGUAGUGUUUAGGGGAUGGGGAUGGUGCGGCAAGACUUAGAACUAGGGGGAAUGGUGUUUGGUGGGUGCGGCAAGAGUGUGGAGAAGGUUGGACGAAUUUCUGGAGUGAAUUGUGAAUUGUGGUGAGUGGUGAUCUGAUUUAGGGGUUAAUAGGAGUAUAUAUAGGCACUUAAAACCCUAGGGUAAUCAGAUAUGGACUUGGAUAACCCAAAUCCACAAGGAAAUAGGUCUAAACAAUCAGAUUUUGCAAAGGAAAAGGGAUAAGGGUGCGGCAGCAAUGGGAUAAGGUUUCUAGAAUGCCUUGCAAGGCAAGGAAUUAGGGUAUCUAGAAAGCCUAGGGUGCGGCACUAAAGGAUAGGGCAGAUUAGGGCUUCUAGAAACCCUCUAAUGCAAGGAAAACUCACGGCAAGGAUAGAUAAGGUUUCUAGAACAAGGAUGAGGUAUCCUAAAUGGAUAAGGUGCCCUAAAUGGAUAAGGAUUCCUCAUUGCACUUGGAAACUUUGCCUAUUAGGAUUAGGAAACCUUGUCUUUGUCAUUCCUUCUUCAUCUUGGACUCCUUUUCCUUCUUGGACUUGGAAAACUUCUUUGUUGCUUCACUUGAGACCAUUUGGAUUUUGACUUUCCUACAUCAAGUAGGAAACCUUGUUUGAGUAGGAAUCUUCAUCUUCAAGGAAUCCUAAUUCAACUAGGAAACCCAUUUUGACUAGGAAUCCUAAUUCAACUAGGAUUCCAUCUUCACUUAGGCGCUUUCCUACUUCGACUAGGAAACCUUGUUCAAGUAGGAAACAUCAUCUUCAAAUCUUCAAUUUCGUCCCUCCUCUUGGCUCCAAGCAUAUGACAUCCAUUCCAAGCUCUAAAUUGCUCCAAAAGGCUCCAAAAUGCAUCCUUUUGCAUACUUUGCCCUUAGAACCUGAAAACACAUAAAACUAGCUUAAAAGACUACUUUACUAAGGAAAAACACUAUAAAUGCACAAGAACAAGCUAAACUAAGGCGCAUAAAUAUGCUCCUAUCAACAUCUCAAUUUCUUUCUAAAUAUUUACAUUAAGUUUUAUCACAAUAAUUUUACAUCGAUGCCAGAAAAUCAUUGAUCGGAGUUCAAUCAAGACCAUAUGUUUUGAAAAUGACAUGAGCACCCCUCACCAAAUUCUUGGUCCUCUUUUCAAAGCGGUGGCGCCACUAACUUUCACUAGACUUCUCAAAGAACACUGCCUAUCAUCCCUGCUGCAAGGAUUUGAAUGGACGAAGUGGGAUUUGGCAAGGCCUCAAGGCUCUUGGCCCUCGACCACUACAACCUGGGCAGCCUGGGUUGUACGAAUGGAAAAACUCUUCGGCGAGCAAUGGAAAGCCCUAGGCAUUUAUGACAUCAUUCAUCUUUCAUCUAUGGAUGUCGUCCUGGACAAGGAGCUCCUCCUAGCAGCCUUAUGCUUCUGGUGUUCGACCACCAACACCAUAGUCCUUCCUCUCGGUCUCGUUGGUCCCACCAUUCUCGAUAUUACCGCUAGAGAUUCAAAGCCUCCUUUCGGAUUUGCAAUGGUUGAACUAGGCAAUCUUCCUUGCUCUCGAAACUGCCCCAUGAACUCGGCAAUUUGCCCUACUUGUUUCUCCAACUCGUCCACCUUUUUGUCCCUAUUUUGCAUUCCCUGCGCCAUAGAAGUUAGUAAAUUAAAAAUUUGGUGAUUAUCAAUAGACGAACCUGAUUUUUGGGUGGGUUGUGCUUGGGGUUGAGUUGGUGCAAAUGGCUUUUGAUAGAAACCCGGGGGUUGUUGCCUAAAUGUGCUUUGUUGUUGGCCUUGUUGGGGUUCUCGCCAUUUGAAGUUUGGAUGAUCACGCCAACCGGGAUUGUAGGUGUUAGAAAAGGGAUCAUUCCUUUGUUGGUAUUGCUGCCCAAAACCCACGGCAUUUAGGGUCUCCCACCCUCCGUUCUCAAUCAGUUGUGGGCACUUGUCCGUAGGGUGUCCUUGCAUGGAACAUACGCCACACGCACUUACAUUUUGAACUUUUGGCCCUUCCACAACUUGAGAAAGCAAAGUAGUAAGGUUAGCCAUUUGAUUUUGAAGUUCGUUUAUGGCACUUACCUCAUUCACUUGGUGUUGCCGUGUGGUGCCUCUUUGUCCAACACCUUCAUAUUGUUGAGCGUUCAACGCUCGAUUGGCAAUCAAAGUCUUUGCUGCCGUGGGGGUCUUAUCUACCAAUGCUCCUCCCGCCGAGGCAUCUAGCAUUUGUCGUUCGAUUGGUAGAAGUCCCUCGUAGAAGUAUUGCAGAAGAAGCUCCUCUUUCAUUUGAUGCUGUGGACAAGAAGCAACAAGAGAUUUAAAACGUUCAUAAUAUGUAGGAAAAGACUCACCUUCUUCUUGUUGAAUUCCACUUAUCCUUUUUCGUAGGAGAAUGACUCGAGAGGUUGGAAAAAACUUCUCUAAGAAAGCCCGUUUCAUGCUCUCCCAAGAUGUGACCGUUCCGGGAGCUAAUUCAUAUAACCAAUCCUUCGCCUUUUCCAUAAAGAGAAAAGGGGAAAGCCUUCAUCUUCAAUAUACUCCCGUCCACGUUUACCGGAGUCAUGCUUGAGCAAACGACUUCAAACUCCUUCAAGUGCUUGUUUGGAUCUUCCAUGGACAGCCCAUGGUACUUCGGAAUGUGAUGUAACAAGCUUGACUUUAAUUCGAACUCGGCAGUUUUGUCCUGAGCCGCCCUAGGGUACUGGAUACAUAGAGGUGCGGCAUUAUCCAAUCCCGAAGCGGAAAGCUCCCUUGAUCGUUUGGUUGUCCGCUGCCAUGUCUUCCACUUCCUCUUCAACUUCAGAAACGGACUCGGAACUUGCACUUGAUUCACUAGGUUCCGGGUUCUUCCUCUUUCGUCUCAACUCACGCUCAAAAUCGUCGUCAAAGUCUAAAAUAUGUUCUUGAAACCGGAUUAGAACUCCGAGUCAUAAACAAGUACCUAAAACAAGAAACAAAAAUAACAUAAGAAUCUGAUCUAAUAAGAAAAACGAAAAUAACAAUCCAAGGGAUUAGCAAAGUUGCUAAUCCCCGGCAACGGCGCCAAAAUUUGAUGUGAAAAUUAUGUUGACACUCAAAUUAACCCUCUUUUUAUCAAUUGUAGCAAAGUAUGUAAGUAGGGAUCGUUCUAAACCGGGGAUUAGGAGGGAUUGCAAAAUCACUUGAAAACUGACUCAAAUAUGUAAAAACAAGUUUAAAACACUAAACUAGACUCAAAGAAUGCAAAACUAAACUUUAAAACACCAAAACAAACCAAAAGACUCAAAACAGCACCAAAACACUCAAAACUGCCUUAAAAACACAAUCUGGGCAGUUUUGGACACUAAGCACCAAAUUGGACGAAUUUGGGUUUUAACUUGAAUCAAAACACUUAAAACACAAAGUAAAACACUUACUAACUAAUUUGACACUUUUAAAACAAAGGGGGAUUGGUUUUGGACGAAUUUAAAAAAAACAAAACAAACUUUGUAAAUUAGAAACAGAUUAUAAAAACGAAUUUGAUUUAAAUGGGUGAAUGGAAGGCUAGCUAAGGGGUUCAUCUCCACACAUGUUAUACUUGCAUACAAAACGAUUUCCAAUUUCUUUUCAAUAAACCAUGAAUUCUCAAUGCCCCAAGUUAAUUAGUUCCGCUUAAAUUAACCCUCAGAUUUUCCUAACGUUAUUGAAUUGGAUGAUUGCAUACGACAACCCAAAACAUUCCCCACGAGUCCCCUACAUGAUUGCAUAAUAGAGAUACAAGCAAGAAUCAUUAAGUUCUAUGAAAACCACAAGCAUUGACGAAGCACUUGUUACUAUGAUUGCAUGAAACUUAUGCCAAGAAUUUACUUAACGCGAUUGAGAUCAUCAACCUUUACUACUUGUGAAUAUAAUUCCAUAACGAUUAGGUGAAAUUUCCUUAUAUCCUAGCAUUCAAUUUAUGCAUGAUAAUUAAGCGUGCACUCUCAACCAACACACACAAAUCAAUGUAAUCCACAUAGAUAAGUAAAUUGAAUUCACAACUUAUGAAAACGCAAUUAGAAGUAAUCAAAUCAUAACGCAAGCAUAAACAUGUAUUUCGAAUCCCCCCCUAGCCAAGGGGGUUUAGUUCCUCAUAUGCACAAAACAAAGAGAAUUGAAUUUAAACAUUGAAAUCAAAGGAAAAGAAACACCUAGAAAUUCCAGCGACGCGAACUUGAAUUGCAUGAACUUCCGAGCUUCCUUCUCCUCCUCCUUGGUGCGGCAAAGGUCUAGGGACUAGUUUAGGACCUUAGGUGUAUGGAUGCAUGGUUAUGGAUGGAUGUAGUAGUGUUUAGGGGAAGGGAAUGGUGCGGCAAAGGUGUGGAGAGAGUUUGGACGAAUUUCUGGAGUGAAUUCUGAAUUGUGGUGAGUGGGUGAUCUGAUUUAGGGGUUAAUAGGAGUAUAUAUAGGCACUUAAAACCUAGGGUAAUCAGAUAUGGACUUGGAUAACCCAAAUCCACAAGGAAAUAGGUCUAACAAUCAGAUUUUGCAAGGGAAAAGGGGUCCUAGGUGCGGCUGGAUAGGGAUAAGGUGGAUAAGGCUUCUAGAUGGCCUUGCAAGGCAAGGAAAUCAGGUUUCUAGAAGGGAUAGGUGCGGCACUUUAAAGGAUAGGGCAGAUUAGGGCUUCUAGAAACCCUCUAAUGCAAGGAAAACUCACGGCAAAGGAUAAGGGUUUCUAGAACAAGGAUAAGGUAUCCUAAAUGGAUAAGGACUCCUCAUUGCAUUUGGAAACUUUGCCUAUUAGGAUUAGGAAACCUUGUCUUUGUCAUUUCCUUCUUCAUUCUGGAUUCCUUCUCCUUCUUGGACUUGGAAAUCUUCUUUGUAGCUGCAACUUGUUGCCAUUUGGAUUUAACUUUCCUACUUCAAGUAGGAAACCUUGUUUAAGUAGGAAUCUUCAUCUUCAAGGAAUCCUAAUUCAACUAGGAAACCCAUUUUGACUAGGAAUCCUAAUUCAACUAGGAUUCCAUCUUCACUUAGGCACUUUCCUACUUCGACUAGGAAACCUUGUUCAAGUAGGAAACAUCAUCUUCAAAUCUUCAAUUUCGUCCAUCCUCUUGACUCCAAGCAUAUGACAUCCAUUCCAAGCUCAACUUUGCUCCAAAAGGCUCCAAAAUGCAUUCUUUUGCAUACUUUGCCCUUAGAACCUGAAAACACAUAAAACUAGCUUAAAAGACUACUUUACUAAGCAAAAACACUAUAAAUGCACAAGAACAAGCUAAACUAAGGCGCAUAAAUAUGCUCCUAUCAGGGGGGAGCAUAAUUGACUCUUUGGCGCAGGGAUAUCUCGACGAUUUGAAUGACGAUGCGCUUGAAAUAGUCAUUACACAAGGCAUGGAACUCAAAACAAAGGGGGCUGAUUGCAUGCAUGCCCACGGCAUACAUGAGUUAUCCCAUGCCGUGCCCCCUAGUGAGGAAUUACUUGAAGUUGUGGCUGCCCUUGAGUCCUCACCUAAGCUUGAUGGUAAGUUUACUAACCGUGAGUCCAUUCCCAUUUCGACUAACAAAUUGCUUCCAUCUAUAAUUCAGGCACCUAUCCUUGAACUCAAGCCUUUGCCAAGCCAUCUGAAGUACAUUUUCUUGGGAGAAAAUGAAACACUACCUGCCAUCAUUUCCUCCUCCCUCACGGCACAAGAAGAGGAGAAGUUGCUUCGAGUUUUGAAGGAGUUCAAAUCUGCCCUAGGUUGGACAUUGGCCGAUAUUAAAGGUAUAAGCCCUACGACUUGUAUGCAUCACAUAUUUCUUGAGGAGGGGGCCAAACCAACUAGAGAGGCUUAACGCCGUCUUAACCCUCCGAUGAUGGAAGUAGUGAAAAAGGAGAUCAUAAAGCUUUUAGAUUGCGGGUUAUCUAUCCAAUCUCGGAUAGUAAGUGGGUUUCGCCCGUUCAAUGCGUGCCAAAGAAAUCCGGAGUGACGGUGGUAGCUAAUGCCGAGAAUGAGCUUGUUCCUCAACGUAUUCAAACCGGUUGGAGGGUGUGCAUUGACUAUAGGAAGCUAAACACCACCACGAGGAAGGACCACUUCCCAUUGCCAUUCAUUGACCAAAUGCUUGAGAGGUUAGCGGGUUAUGCUUUUUAUUGUUUUCUUGAUGGUUAUUCUGGUUAUAAUCAAAUUGUCAUUUCACCCGAGGACCAAGAAAAAACCACUUUUACAUGCCCGUUUGGUACCUUUGCAUAUCGUCGCAUGCCUUUUGGUUUAUGUAAUGGACCUGCUACAUUUCAAAGAUGCAUGGUGAGCAUAUUUUCUGAUCAGUAGAAAAGAUAAUUGAAGUGUUUUAUGGAUGAUUUUUAGCGUAUUUGGUGAUUUUUUUGAUAGUUGCUUGCAUAAUCUAAGUUUGAUCCUAAAACGUGUGUGUUGAAACUAACCUUGUACUUAAUUGGGAAAAGUGUCAUUUUAUGGUUAAACAAGGUAUCGUUUUAGGUCAUAUAAUCUCUGAAAAGGGUAUUGAGGUUGAUAAGUCGAAAAUAGAUCUUGUACGUCACUUACCCUCUCCGACUUCGGUUAGAGAGGUUCGUUCGUUUCUUGGCCAUGCAGGAUUUUAUCGUAGGUUUAUCAAAGAUUUCUCGAAGGUAGCACAACCUCUUUGCCGGCUCCUACAAAAAGAAGUGGCGUUUGAAUUCACCAAGGAGUGCACGGCAUCAUUCAACCAACUCAAGGAGUUGUUGACCACGGCACCCAUCAUUGUUCCACCGGAUUGGAGUCUACCGUUCGAGCUCAUGUGUGAUGCGUCCGACUAUGCUUUAGGAGCUGUUUUAGGACAAAGAAAGGACAAGAGGCCGCAUGUCAUUUACUACGCCUCACAGACGUUGAACGAUGCACAAUUGAACUACUCCACUACGGAAAAAGAACUUCUUGCCGUUGUCUUUGCUUUAGAUAAAUUUUGAUCAUAUCUAAUUGGAACUAAAGUAAUUGUUUUCAGUGAUCAUGCAGCUCUGAAGUACUUGCUCACCAAAAAGGAGGCCAAGCCACGGCUAAUUCGAUGGAUAUUGCUACUUCAAGAGUUCGACAUAGAGAUUCGGGACAAGAAGGGAGUGAGAACGUGGUGGCUGACCACCUAAGCCGAAUGGUGCAUAAUGAGGAGUCUUUGCCGAUUUUGGAGACAUUCCCCGAUGAACAAUUGCUGUCCAUUAAGGUUAGUGCACCUUGGUAUGCCGAUAUUGUUAAUUUUUUGGUGUCGAAAGGUAUUCCAAGUGAGUUCACUAGGCACCAACGUGAUAAACUUAGGCAUGAUGCACGGUUUUAUGUGUGGGAUGAUCCGUACUUAUGGAAAUUUUGCCCCGAUCAGAUUAUACGUCGUUGUGUGCACGAUUCUGAAUGUCAUUCCAUUUUGAGUUUUUGUCAUACAUAUGCAUGUGGAGGGCACUUUGGCACACAACGCACUGCCCUUAAGGUGUUACAAUGUGGAUUUUAUUGGCCUAGUAUUUUUAAAGAUGCUAAAACUUUUUGCUUAACAUGUGAUAAAUGCCAACGAAUGGGCGGUAUUAGUGCUAGGGACCAAAUGCCGCAGGUUUCUAUCCUAAAUGUUGAAAUUUUUGAUGUUUGGGGUAUUGAUUUUAUGGGUCCUUUUCCUUCUUCGUAUGGUUUUACAUAUAUUUUGCUUGCGGUUGAUUAUGUGUCGAAGUGGGUGGAAGCCAAGGCCACCCGGACUAAUGAUUCUAAAGUGGUUGCAGAUUUUAUUAGAACUAACAUUUUUGCAAGGUUCGGAAUGCCACGAGUGAUCAUUAGUGAUGGAGGGUCACACUUUUGCAAUCGGACCAUUGAAGCGUUGUUGAGGAAAUACAGUGUCACCCAUAAGGUUUCUACACCUUACCAUCCUCAAACUAAUGGGCAAGCCGAGGUUUCCAACCGUGAGAUCAAGCAAAUCUUAGAGAAGACCGUUGGGCCAAUGAGGAAGGAUUGGAGCUUACGGUUAGAUGAUGCACUUUGGGCGUAUCGUACGGCGUACAAAACCCCCAUUGGGAUGUCCCCCUUCUGACUUGUCUAUGGCAAGGCGUGCCAUCUUCCUGUUGAAUUGGAGCACAAAGCACUUUGGGCCAUCAAGAAGUUUAACAUGAACCUCGAGGAAGCAGGAAGUCAAAGGAGAUUGCAAUUGAAUGAGCUUGAUGAGAUACGGCACGAGGCGUACGAUAAUGCAAGCAUUUACAAGCAAAAGACCAAAGCGUUCCAUGACAACAUGAUCCGUGGGAAAUCAUUCUCACUUGGGCAGAAAGUGCUAUUGUUCAAUUCCCGUUUACGUUUGUUUCCCGGUAAGUUACGUUCUAAGUGGAUUGGACCGUUUGUUAUUACUAACAUAUCUUCUUAUGGUGCCAUCCAGAUUCAAAGUCUCAAAACAGGUCAUGAAUUCCAAGUGAACGGACACCGUUUGAAGCCAUAUUAUGAGAACUUUGUUGAACAAACCGUGGAUGAUAUUUCUUUGGGUGCCGUGGGCACAAAUGGAGAAUAAAUGGGCUUUUCGUCCGGCUGUACGACGUUAAAGAAAGCGCUACUUGGGAGGCAACCCAUGCAAUGCAACAAAGGAAGACCACGGAAUCACUCCAAUUCCAGAUUUGCGUUCCUAAACUCUUCUCUUUGUUAUUUAUUUCGAAUCUGCCUAUUUAGUUGUUUUAGUUGCUGUUUGGGUGUUUCUUUUUGUUUAGUGUGAUUUUAUGCUUGAAACAUUGAGGACAAUGUUUGAUUUAAGUGUGGGGGGGUAACUAAGUGUUUUAGAUGCAAAUUCGUGGGAUUUUAUCACCCUAAACUUGAAGACUUGUUCCUUGCUGUUUUUAAGUGUUUUUGAGCAGUUUUGAUGUGUUUUAGUGUGUUUUGAAGUAAAAAUCCGAAAAUUACAUGAUCUCAUUAUUCCUUGCUUGGUUGCUACUUAGAAGGCGUUUCAUCAUUUAGUUCCAAAUGCUAGAACUCAUGCCCAUUUCAUUCAAAGCAUGUUAUUGAUUUGCAUAACACAUAUUCAAGAUGAAGUUGUGUAGUGACCACCACCUUAGCAAAAAGCCAUGAAUCCCCUAUGUCAUUAUGUUUUGUAGGUUUUAACCCCGUUGAGCCUUGUUUAGCCUAUGUUGUUGUUAACCCACAUUAUCCUCACCUAGCCUAGUUUAGGACCAUCCUGAUAGGAGCAUAUUUAUGCGACUUAGUUGGCUUGUUCUUAAGCAUUUAUGUUGUUUUUCUGUAGUUAUUUUAGUGUUUAAAGUCAUUUUUGUGCAAUUUCAGGUUUAGAGACGAAGUAUGCAAAAAAGUGUAAAAUGGAGCAUUUUAGAGCAAAAUUGAGCUAGAAUGGAGUGUAUGCUAAUGGAGCACAAGGAAUGGACGAGUUUGAAGGUCAAAGGAGCUUAAGAAAUGAAGAAAUGAAAGUGAAGAACAAAGAAUUCAGAUUUGGAAACCAAAGUUUCUAAAGUUGGAAGUUUCUAUUCUUGGAGGUUUCCAUUUUCGAGAGUUUCUAUUCUUGGUUUUGGGCUUUUAGAUGACCUAAACCCUAAUUCCUUGUGGACCCUAACCCUAGCCGCACCUAGGCCUCUAGAAUAUCUGAUUUCCUUGCCUUGCAAGGCAUUCUAGAAGGCCCAUCUCUAAACCCUAACCCUAGCCGCACCUUAGGCCUUAUUCCCACUAAAAAUCUGAUUGUUUUAACCUAAUUUCUGGUGGAUUUGGGCUUCUAGAAACCCUAAUCUGAUUACCCUAGGGUUUUGGAUGCCUAUAUAUACUCAUUAUAACCCCUAGAUCAGAUCACGACCUCUCAUACACAAUCAUUCACGCCAGAAAUCUGCCCUUGCAUUCUGCCGCACCUUCCCAUCACCAAAAUUCUGCCCAAAACUCAUCCCUAGCCGUACCCCCAUCAACCCUAAACCUUUCCCUACCCUUCCCCAUCCAUUCUACACCCUAAAUACUACCCAAAACCUGUUCUAAACUUCUCUGCCGCAGCAAGGAGGAAAGGGAAAUCAUUGAUGAUCUUGCUGCCAAGUUGGAGCCUUCUAGGUGUUUUCUUUCUUUGGGUUUUAAUUUCUAAAUUUAUGUAUCUUUGCUUUGCGAGUAUGAGGAACUAAACCCCCCUUGGCUAGGGGGGAUUCGAAACCAUGUUAUGCUUGCUAUAUGAUUUGAUUACUUCUAAUUGCGUUUCAUAAGUUGUGAUUUCAAUUUGCUUAUCUAUGUGAAUUAAAACUUAUUCUUGUAUGUUGAUUGAGGGUCGACACUUAGUUUGCAUGCAUGAAUUUGAUGCUAGGAUAUAAGGGAAUUUCACCUAAUCGUUAUGAACUUAUAUUCACAAGUAGUAAAGGUUGUUGAUCACAAUCGUGUUAAGUAAAUUCUUGGCAUAAGUUUCAUGCAAUUCAUAGUUACGAGUGCCUCGUCAAUGCUUAUGGUUUUCAUAGAACUUAAUGAUUCUUGCUUGUAUCUCUAUUAUGCAAUCAUGUAGGGAACUUGUAGGGAAUGUUUUGGGUUGUCGUAUGCAAUCAUCCAAUCCAAUAACUUGAGUCAAGUUAAAACCUAUUUUCGUCAAAAUCUUGUUUAGAGUUCAAAACUGCCCAGAAAGUGGUUUUAAGGCAGUUUUGAGUGUUUUGGUGCUGUUUUGAGUCUUUUGGUUUGUUUUGAUGUUUUAAAGUUUAGUUUUGCAUUCAUUGAAUUUAUUUUAGUGUUUUAAACUUGUUUUUACGUUUUUGAGUCAAUUCCAAGUGAUUUUGCAAUCCCUCCUAAUCCCCGGUCUAGAACGAUCCCUACUUACAUACAUUGCUACAAUUGAUAAAAAGAGGGUUUAAUUUGAGUGCUAGUUAAUAUCACAUCACAUCCAUACCCUUGUUCUUAAAGCAUAGUAAAGCAUGAUUCGAAUUGAAUUCCAUUUGAUCUAUGUUGGCAGAAACCAAGUGUGGGGGAAGUAUUUUUCAUGAGGAAUUGUGUGCCAUAGGCACGUGUGGAAAGAAAAGAAAAGAAAAAAUUCCGUGGAAAAAGAAAAAAUGAAGAAAAAAGUGUGAAAAGUAUGAAAAAAGAGUUGAAAAGAUGUGAAAAAGAGUUUCAAAGUAUUGUUUGUUGAAGUAAGGGUCCAAAGCAAUGAAUUUGGCCCUAAAAAGUUAUCUAAAUCUUUCCCUUGUGUUUUAAAGUUAAUUUCUGCAAUCUAAGUGAAUUCUAAGCCUCAAUUUCACUACUUUGCUUACUAAUGCUUGAAGAACAUUUGUUUUCCCUAUCCUUUCUUUGUUAACUGAUGUGAAAAUUAUGUUGACACUCAAAUUAACCCUCUUUUUAUCAAUUGUAGCAAAGUAUGUAAGUAGGGAUCGUUCUAAACCGGGGAUUAGGAGGGAUUGCAAAAUCACUUGAAAACUGACUCAAAUAUGUAAAAACAAGUUUAAAACACUAAACUAGACUCAAAGAAUGCAAAACUAAACUUUAAAACACCAAAACAAACCAAAAAGACUCAAAAACAGCACCAAAACACUCAAAACUGCCUUAAAAACACAAUCUGGGCAGUUUUGGACACUAAGCACCAAAUUGGACGAAUUUGGGUUUUAACUUGAAUCAAAACACUUAAAAACACAAAGUAAAACACUUACUAACUAAUUUGACACUUUAAAAACAAAGGGGGAUUGGUUUUGGACGAAUUUAAAAACAAACAAACUUUGUAAAUUAGAACAGAUUGUAAAAACGAAUUUGAUUUAAAUGGGUGAAUGGAAGGCUAGCUAAGGGGUUCAUCUCCACACAUGUUAUACUUGCAUACAAAACGAUUUCCAAUUGCUUUUCAAUAAACCAUGAAUUCUCAAUGCCCCAAGUUAAUUAGGUCCGCUUAAAUUAACCCUCAGAUUUUCCUAACGUUAUUGAAUUGGAUGAUUGCAUACGACAACCCAAACAUUCCCCACAAGUCCCCUACAUGAUUGCAUAAUAGAGAUACAAGCAAGAAUCAUUAAGUUCUAUGAAAACCAUAAGCAUUGACGAAGCACUUGUUACUAUGAUUGCAUGAAACUUAUGCCAAGAAUUUACUUAACGCGAUUGAGAUCAUCAACCUUUACUACUUGUGAAUAUAAUUCCAUAACGAUUAGGUGAAAUUUCCUUAUAUCCUAGCAUUCAAUUUAUGCAUGAUAAUUAAGCGUGCACUCUCAACCAACAUACACAAAUCAAUGUAAUCCACAUAGAUAAGUAAAUUGAAUUCACAACUUAUGAAACGCAAUUAGAAGUAAUCAAAUCAUAACGUAAGCAUAAACAUGUAUUUCGAAUCCCCCCCUAGCCAAGGGGGGGUUUAGUUCCUCAUACGCACAAAACAAAGAGAAUUGAAUUUAAACAUUGAAAUCAAAGGAAAAGAAACACCUAGAAAUUCCAGCGACGCGAACUUGAAUUGCAUGAACUUCCGAGCUUCCUUCUCCUCCUCCUUGGUGCGGCAAGGGUCUAGGGACAGGUUUAGGACCUUAGGUGUAUGGAUGCAUGGUUAUGGAGGGAUGUAGUAGUGUUUAGGGGAAGGGAAUGGUGCGGCAAAGAUGUGGAGAGAGUUUGGACGAAUUUCUGGAGUGAAUUCUGAAUUGUGGUGAGUGGUGAUCUGAUUUAGGGGUUAAUAGGAGUAUAUAUAGGCACUUAAAACCCUAAGGUAAUCAGAUAUGGACUUGGAUAACCCAAAUCCACAAGGAAAUAGGUCUAACAAUCAGAUUUUGCAAGGGAAAAGGGGUCCUAGGUGCGGCUGGAUAGGGAUAAGGUGGAUAAGGCUUCUAGAAGGGAUAGGUGCGGCACUUAAAGGAUAGGGCAGAUUAGGACUUCUAGAAACCCUCUAAUGCAAGGAAAACUCACGGCAAGGAUGGAUAAGGUUUCUAGAACAAGGAUAAGGUAUCCUAAAUGGAUAAGGACUCCUCAUUGCAUUUGGAAACUUUGCCUAUUAGGAUUAGGAAACCUUGUCUUUGUCAUUCCUUCUUCAUUCUGGAUUCCUUCUACUUCUUGGACUUGGAAAUCUUCUUUGUAGCUGCAACUUGAUGCCAUUUGGAUUUAACUUUCCUACUUCAAGUAGGAAACCUUGUUUGAGUAGGAAUCUUCAUCUUCAAGGAAUCCUAAUUCAACUUGGAAACCCAUUUUGACUAGGAAUCCUAAUUCAACUAGGAUUCCAUCUUCACUUAGGCACUUUCCUACUUCGACUAGGGAACCUUGUUCAAGUAGGAAACAUCAUCAUCAAAUCUUCAAUUUCGUCCAUCCUCUUGGCUCCAACCAUAUGACAUCCAUUCCAAGCUCAACUUUGCUCCAAAAGGCUCCAAAAUGCAUUCUUUUGCAUACUUUGCCCUUAGAACCUGAAAACACAUAAAACUAGCUUAAAAGACUACUUUACUAAGCAAAAACACUAUAAAUGCACAAGAACAAGCUAAACUAAGGCGCAUAAAUAUGCUCCUAUCAUUAACCAAUACCCCAAGCCCUGUUACAACCCUUAACUUCUAUCUUGAGUGUUAUGUGUUUCAAUUUGUGGAGUUUGAAUUUGGGAUGAGCAUAUGGUGUCACUGGUUCUCGCAUCUAAGUAGUAGUAUCCCAUUCAUGAGAUCAUAUCUAAACAUGCUUCUUAACUCUAGAAAUUGCGUUCUUUGUGAUACAUAUAUGUGAGCAUUCGUUUCAUUUCUACAUCAAUCUUCUCACAUAUGACUAGUGUAGGGUGUGGAGUUAGAAAAUCUGAGUGAAAAUAGAGUGUAUAUCUUGUAAGGAAUUGAGGGAAUUCUCUAAGGCAUGUUACUACAUUCAAAGCAUUGUUUUGAUUGAUUACUUGUGAAUUAGUAAGUGGUGGCUUUAAUUAAGUAUGUGCUUGUGUAAAGAUGACUCAAAUCUGUGGGGAUAACAAUCUUUAACAUGUCAUGUGCAUUGGAAAUCCCUGAGGCAAACGUUGGAAGGUUUAGGUUUUGUUUUGGUUAAGUUGGUUUCGUUUUGUUUCCUUUCUUUUGUUUGUUUUGCUCGAGGACUAGCAAAAGCUAAGUGUGGGGGAAUUUGAUAGGAGCAUAUUUAUGCGCCUUAGUUAGCUAGUUCUUAUGCAUCUUUGUUAUGUUUUCUUCGUUAAAGUAGUCUUUUAAGCUACUUUCAUGUGUUUUCAGGUUUAAAGGACAUAUUACAUGAAAUGAUGCAAGUUGGAGCUUUUGGAGCAAAAUGUGAGCUUGAAUUGAAAAGGACAUGCUUGGAACACAAGGAUGGGAUGGAAUUGAAGAGUUGAAGAUUUGAGGUUUCCUACUUGAAGUAGGAAAGCUAAGCCUAAAAGUUUCCAUUUUGGGUUGAUCUUUCCUAAAUCGGAAUUGGCAACCAAAGUUUCUAAAGUUGGAAGUUUCUAUUCUUGGAGGUUUCCAUUUUCGUGAGUUUCUAUUCUCGGCUUUGGGCUUUUGGAUGACCCAUCCUCACUUCUUGGACCUAUGCCGCACCUUAACCCUAAUCCUAGCCCAUUUAAUCAGCCACACCCUAGGGCCUAAUCAUUUAAAUUCUGCCAAGUUAAACCCUAAUCUAUCUACCCUAAGCCCAAGCCGCACCCUAGGCCUUUUCCCAUGCAAAAAUCUGAUUGUAAACCCUAAUUCCUUGUGGAUUUUCUAAACCCUAGCCGCACCUAAACCCUAGCCCAUUGUCUAACCUGAUUUCUUUAGGGUUUUAGGUGCCUAUAUAUAUGUGUUUUACAUCCUUUGGCCGAACAUCACCCUCUCCAUAAUUCAGAAAAUUCGUCCAGCCACUUCCCACUCUUUGCCGCAACCAUUCUACAACUCCAGCCACCAUUCUACACCUCCAUACACCAUUCUACACCUCCAUACACCACCCAUACCUCUUGCCGCACCACCAUAUCAUCCUAAUUCCCUUCUAAAACCAAAAUCACAUCCAAAAACACCCUAAACCCUCUCUGCCGCAGCAAGGAGAAGAAGAAAGAGGAGCUUGAAGUCAGAAAUUCAAAGUGGAAUUCUUGGGCGUUUUAGGUGUAAUCUUUCUUAUGUCUUCGAUGUUUCAAUUCAAUAAACUUUGUGUUGUGAGUAUGAGGAACUAAACCCCCUUAGUUGGGGGGUAAUUCGAAACCAUGUACAUGCUUGCAAUUUGAUUCGAUUACAUUCAGUUGUUAUUUCAUAAGUUGUGGAUUCAAUUCGUUCAUCUAUUUGAUUGAUAACUUAUUUGUGUAUGUUGAUUGAGAGUGCACGCUUAGUUUUCAUGCAUGAAUAUGAUGCUAGAUUAUGAGGGAGUUUCACCUAAUAGUUACAAUCUUAUAAUCACAAGUAGUGAAGAUCGCUUGAAAACGAUCGCGUUGAAUGAAUUCUUAGCAUAAGUUUCAUGCAAUUCAUAGUAACGAAUGCUUCGUCAAUGCUUAUGUUUUUCAUAGAACUUAAUGAUUCGUGCUUGUAUCUCUAUUAUGCAAUUCAUGUAGGGAACUUGUAGGGAAUGUUUUGGGUUGUCGUAUGCAAUCAUCCAACUUGAUAAAUUCUGGAAAAACUGAGGGUUAAUUAGUGCAAUUCACGGUUAAUUCGGGGCAUUGAGUCUUUAUAAUUUAUUGGAAGAACAACUGAAAAAUCGUUUUGUUUGCAAGUGUGACAUGUGUGGAGAAGAACCUCCUAACUAGCCUUUUAUCCAUCUAGUUCACCAAAAUCGUUUUUACAAUCUGUGCUAGUUAAAGUUUCUGUUUUGUGUUAAAUUUUCGUCCAAAACAAAUCCCCCUUUAAUUUGAAGUCUUAGAUUAGUUAGAAAGUGUUUUGAUUUGUGUUUCUAAGUAUUUUGAUUCAAGUUUUCAUCAAAUUUCGUCCAAAUUAGUGUAGGUGCUCAAAACUGCCCAGAAAGUGGUUUUUAGGCAGUUUUGAGCCUUCUAGUUGCUGUUUUGAGUUUUAGGUUUGUUUAAGUGUUUUAACCUUUAGUUUUGCAUUCUUUGAGUCUAGUUUAGUGUUUUAAACUUUGUUUUAUGUUUUUAAGUCAGUUUUCAAGUGUUUAGCAAUCCCUCCUAAUCCCCGGUUUAGAACGAUCCCUACUUACAUCUUUACUACAAUUUGACAAAAAGAGGGUUUAAUUGUGUGCUUAUCUAUUUCGCAUCAGGCUUCAAAUUCUCCACCUCUAUCACUAUUAAGGGUCUUUAUGGAUCUUCCUAAUUGGUUCUCUAAUUCUUCUUUAAACUCUUUAAAAUUGUCUAAGGCUUCAUUUUUAUGCUGUAAGAAGUAGACAUAUCCAUAACAGGAAUAAUCAUCGAUGAAAGUCACAAAAUAUUUCAUUCCUCUAUGGGUUUUAGUUCUCAUUGGUCCACAUAAAUCUGUAUGCACUAUCUCAAGUAAAUUUGUAGAAGUCCAAUGCUGAGAAAAUGAUUUUCUAGUCAUUUUUCCUUUAAUACAUGAUUCACAUGUAUCAAAAUCAUGUGCAUUUACUUGAGGCAACAUUCCAUUUUUACUCAUGCGUAUCAUUUUAUUUUUAUUUAUGUGAUCUAAGCCAUAAAUAUGACAAAUUUUGAACAAUAGAGACAAAGGCAUACUCGGAAGAAAUACUUUUAUUAAUACAAACUGAGUACAUAUCAUCGACUCUUAUUCCCUUUACAUAAAUAUCACCCUUUUUCCCAAUAGUGACAGCACCAUUCAUGAACCUUGUCUCAAAACCUUUCUUUUUCUAGGAUAGAGAUAGAGACAAGAUUCCUCCUUAUAUUUGGUGCAAACAUAACGUUUUUAAGUACAAUGGUGGAUUUACUAUUGUUGAUCUUGCAAUCUCCUUCACCCAAAACAUCGACAUAAGUAUUGAUGUGAAAAUUAUGUUGACACUCAAAUUAACCCUCUUUUUAUUAAUUGUAGCAAAAUAUGUAAGUAGGGAUCGUUCUAAACCGGGGAUUAGGAGGGAUUGCAAAAUCACUUGAAAACUGACUCAAAUAUGUAAAAACAAGUUUAAAACACUUAAACUAGACUCAAAGAAUGCAAAACUAAACUUUAAAACACCAAAACAAACCAAAAGACUCAAAACAGCCCAAAAACACUCAAAACUGCCUUAAAACCACAAUCUGGGCAGUUUUGAACACUAGACACAAACUUGGACGAAAAUUGGUUUUAACUUGACCUAAGACACUUAAAAACACAAACUAAAGUGAUUUCUAACUACUGUGACUCAACUAAGUAAAGGGGGAUUGAUUUUGGACGAAUUUAACUUUGAAAACAGAAACUUUGAAAACAAACUUUGACAAAAACGUUUUGAUGAAAAUUAAGAUGGUGAAAGGCUAGUUAGAAGGUUCCUUCUCCACACAUGAAACAUAUGCAUACGACUCGAUUUCCAAUUACUUUUUCAAUAAACCAUGAAUGACAAUGCCCCAAAUUAACUAGAUUGACCAAUUAAUUCUCAGAUUUCCCUAGAUUCAUUGAAUUGAAUGGGAUACGCAUUACAACCAAAUUAUUCUCAUCAAGGACCCUAACUAUGGAAUACGCAUGAUAGAGACACAUAUCAAAGAUCAUUAAGUUCAAUGGAAAUCAUAAGCAUUGACGAGGCAUUCAUAACUAUGGGAUACGCAUGUUACUCUUGCCUAGGGUUUACUUAACACAAUCGUGACUAGCGACUUUUACUACUUAUGAAUAUAAGUUAAUAACGAUUAGGUGAAAUUCCCUUAUACUCUAGCGUCAAAUUCAUGCAUGCGAACUAAGUAUGCAUCCUUAAUUAACACACAAUAACAAGUUAUCAAUCAAAUAGAUAAGUAAACCACAUUCACGAUUCAUGAAAUCAUAAUUGGAAGAAAUCAAGUCAUAUAAAACAUAUGAUCAUGGCUUUGAAUUCCCCUCUAACUAUAAAGAAAUUAGUUCCUCAUGUUCGCAAAUAAACAAAGAUAAAUAAAUUUAAACAUUGAAACAAAGAUAGAAAACACCUAGAAACGCUCCGACAAUCCAACGUCUUGAAUGGCAUGCACGGCUCCAAGUUGUCUUCCUUCUUCUCCUUGCAAAAUCACGGCACAAUGAGGGAUGAUUGGUGAAUGGUGUAGUGAAAAUCUGGUAGAGGGUGGUGAGUGAAAGGGUGCGGCAAUGGGUUGUAUAUAUAGGCUAACAUCUGGUAGAGGGUGGUGAGUGAAAGGGUGCGGCAAUGGGUUGUAUAUAUAGGCUGAAAAUCCCAUCUCCUAGGUAGCAAAGGACAAGGUUUUAAAGGCCUAAAUUGCAUAGGAUAAUAACAUCCAAUCCUAUAAGGAAAACAAGUCAAAAACCCAAAGGGAUUGGGAGAUAAGGUGCAGCACAAAGAGUGUGAAAUGAUAAGGCUUCUAGAAACCAAAAUCCUAAAGGAAAUAGGGUAGAAAAUUCGGCACAAAGUGUGGUUUCUAGAAGGAUAAUGCAAGGCAGAUUUUUAGGCUUCUAGAAAGGUUCUUAGGUGUCAUCUUGGUAGGAUAAGAUAAGGUCUUUUAGAAAUCCCAUUUUAAGCAUCCUAAUCUAAUUAGAAACCCUCCUAAGUGGCUGGAAUGUGGAUAGUUUAGGAUAAGGAUAAGAUAGGAUAGGAUAAGGUUUGAUUGGAUAAGAUAAGCUAAGAUAAGGUUAUGGAUGAGGUUUUGGAUAAGAUUCCUUAUCUUGAGCUGAUUCUUUGACUUUAAUUCUUCUUCUUCAUGUAGGAAUACUUGCUUGAGUAGGAAACUUCAUAUAUCUAGGAAUCCAUCUUCAAUUAGGACUCCUUUAGUGAUUACGAAUCCCAAUUCAUUUAGGUACCGUUUGGUACGUGGGACGGAACGGAACAGAACGGGACGAGCCGUUCCGUCCCACGUUUGGUGCGCCUAAAAACUAUGGAACGGAUUGUCCCAUGGGACGAAAUUUGGCUGAUUUUUCGUUCCACCUCUUCCUCCUGGAACGACCCGUUCCACAUCCGUGGAACACAAAUUUAUAACAUUUUAUGACAAAAUUUCUCCUUAUCUUUUUCAAUAUUUACAUCAUCUGUUCUGUCCUGUUCUGUCCCGUCAUGUUCCGUCCCGUCCCGUCCUGUCUGCGUACCAAACGGUACCUUAGGAAUCCUUCAUUCAAGCCAUUUCCUUCUUCAACUUGGAAACUUUGUAUCUUCAAUUCUUCAACUUUGAAACGCCUUCCUAGCUUCACCAAUUCCUCAAAUUCGACCAUCCCUUGUGCUUCAUGUGCAUGAACUCCAUUUUAGCCCAAUUUUGCUCCAAAAUGCUCCAAAUUGCAUCCUUUUGCUCACUUUGUCUCUAAAACCUGAAAACACAUGAAACUAGCUUAAAAGACUAACUUUAACUAAGAAAACACAACAUAAAUGCAUAAGAACUAACUAACUAAGGCGCAUAAAUAUGCUCCUAUCAAGUAUUGUUGCCCAUGUAGAGGCGAUGUUCUCCUAAUGAUUUCUCCUUGAAAUUGAUGAAGCAACUUUUGUCCUUGCAUACAUGACGAGUUGCUCCUGAGUUGUCCUUGAUCUUCAGCAAUGAGUGCUUCAGAGAUAGUCAAAAUUAGUUCUUUAGGAUUUUUGUUGUUCAUGCAUCAUUUUGGGCACUUAUACCUAUAAUGACCAGUCUCUCCACAAUUGUAACAUGCACUCUUCUUUCUUUUAAACUUGUUGUGCUUACGGUGUCCAAACUUUUUGAAGUUCGGGCGCUUGUUCCUACUAUGUGGCUUGUGCAUGUGUUGCUUGUUUUUUCUGAGAAUCUUCCGCUAUGAGGAGGUUGGCUCUGCCUUGUCCAGUUUCCUUUUUCCUAUAAUUUUUAUGAACUUCUUCAAUAGCCAACAUUGCAGGCAAUGUAUCCAUCGUUAAUUCAACUUGACCAUAAGUCAUGGAAGUAACUACAUUUUCCUAAGAAUUUGGGAGGCUACCAAGAAGAACACUAACUUGCAUUUUAUCAGAAACUGGAUGGCCAUCAUUGGCUAAGUCUUUCGUCAUUACUUCCAUCUUAGUAAUAUGAUCGACCAUAGAAUCAGUUUCCUCCAUUUUUGUUCCAUUGUAUUUCUCAAGCAAUAACUGAAUGUAAGUUUGAGAUUUAAGGCCAUACUUCUUUUCAAGUACAUUCAUGAUUUCUUUGGCUGAAUCAUAUUCUUCAUAGAGAGGUAUUAAUUUAUCUUCCAUGUAAUUGAGAAUUGUGGCCUUAGCCAACUCAUUAUCUUCCGCCCAUUUAUUAUAAGCUCGAGAGGGCCCAAGGGGUCUCUCGUCCUUGAUAGUGUACAAAGUAUUGUCAUAGGUUAAAAGAUAAGUGAUCCUUCUCUUUCAUAUUCGAUAGUUAACGUUAUUCAACCUCUCUAUUUUUAAAUCUUCGGAUUUGGAAGAUUUAGUUGCCAUAGCUUAGAAAAUUACAAAACAAGCAGAAUACUUAAUACAAAUUUAAAUACAAAUACAAAUACUAAUAGUGUACUUUUAAAUAUUACAAGCCACAAAUACUAACUACUAGUGUAGUUUUAAUUAUUACAAGUCACAAAUUGAUAGGAGCUUAUUUAUGCGCGUUAGUUAGCUAGUUCUUAUGCAUUUUUAUUAUGUUUUCUAAGUUAAAGUAGUCUUUUAAGCUAAUUUCAUGUGUUUUCAGGUUUUAAGGGCAUAUUACACAAAAAGAUGCAUUUUGGAGCUUUAUGGAGCAAAAUGAAGCUUGGAUUGAAUGGCGCAUGUUUGGAACAAAAGAAAUGGACGAAAUUGAAGAUCAAAGGAGGCUAGGAAUGAAUAAUGAAUGAAGAAAUGAAAAUGAAGAACAAAGAGUUCAGAAUUGGAAACCAAAGUUUCUAAAGUUGGAAGUUGCUAUUCUUGGAGGUUUCCAUUCUUGAAAGUUUCUAUUCUUGGAUUGGAAGUUUCCUAAUCCUCUCUCACCUAUGUUCUAAGCCCAAGCCGUGCCUUUCCUAAGCCAAUUACAUGUGGAUUCUGAUUUGGCUAGCCUUAUUCCUUGUGGAUUUGGGUUAUACAAAUCCUUUUCAUAAACAAAGUGGGCCAAAACCCUUUCCUUGGUGGAUUAAACCCUUUUGCCGCAAACCCUAGGGCUUAAGCCUUUUAUUUCUGCUAAGUUAAACCCUAAUUUAUCUCCCCUAGGGUUUGUGCCGCACCUAAUGUUCUAGAAGCCUAAAAAUCUGCAUAAAACCCUAGUUAUUUUCUCCUUUGGAUGGGCCAAGCCUUUUAUCUCCAAAAUCCUAACCCUUUCCCAUCAGAUUUUGUGAAAACCCUAGCCUAUAAAUACAAGUUUUCAGCCAUAAAUUCGAGACCACCCCUCAUACCAUUGAAAAACACCUUUACCACCUCCCAUAUACAUCAUUCACGUCAGAAACAAAGAGGCUCUCUUUGCCGCACCUUUCCACCACCAUAUUCCAUACUUUCUGCCAAAAAUCAUCCCUAGCCUCACCACCCAUCAACCCUAAACCUUUCCAUACCAUUCCCCAUCCAUUCUACACCACAAAUAACCCCAAAACCUGUUCUAAACUUCUCUGCCGUAGCAAGGAGGAAGGAGAAUUCUUGGAUGCGCUUGCUGCCAAGUUGGAGCGUUCUAGGUGUUUUCUUUCUUUGGAUUCUAAUUUCUAAAUUUAUGUAUCUUUGCUUUGCGAGUAUGAGGAACUAAACCCCCCUUGGCUAAGGGGGGAUUCGAAAUACAUGUUUAUGCUUGCGAUAUGAUUUGAUUACUUCUAAUUGCGUUUCAUAAGUUGUGAAUUCAAUUUACUUAUCUAUGCGAAUUACAUUGAUUUGUGUGUGUUGGUUGAGAGUGCACGCUUAAUUAUCAUGCAUAAAUUGAAUGCUAGGAUAUAAGGAAAUUUCACCUAAUCGUUAUGGACUUAUAUUCACAAGUAGUAAAGGUUGAUGAUCUCAAUCGCGUUAAGUAAAUUCUUGGCAUAAGUUUCAUGCAAUCAUAGUAACAAGUGCUUCGUCAAUGCUUAUGGUUUUCAUAGAACUUAAUGAUUCUUGCUUGUAUCUCUAUUAUGCAAUCAUGUAGGGGACUUGUGGGGAAUGCUUUGGGUUGUCGUAUGCAAUCAUCCAAUUCAAUCAUGUUAGGAAAAUCUGAAGGUUAAUUUAAGCGGACCUAAUUAACUUGGGGCGUUGAGAAUUCAUGGGUUAUUGAAAAGCAAUUGGAAAUCGUUUUGAAUGCAAGUAUAACAUGUAUGGAGAUGAACCCCUUAGCUAGCCUUCCAUCCAUUCAUUUAAACCAAAUUCGUUUUAAAAUCUGUUUUGAUUUACAAGUUUAUAUUUUGUUUUCAAUUUCGUAAAAACCAAAUCCCCCUUUGUUUUCAAGUGUCAAAUUAGUUAGAAAGUGUUUUAGUUGUGUUUUUAAGUGUUUUGAGUCAAGUUAAAACCUAUUUUCGUCAAAAUCUUGUUUAGAGUUCAAAACUGCCCAGAAAGUGGUUUUAAGGCAGUUUUGAGUGUUUUUGUGUUAUUUUGAGUCUUUUGGUUUGUUUUGGUGUUUUAAGUUAUAGUUUUAGAUUCUUUGAGUCUAGUUUAGUGUUUUAAACUUUGUUUUUACGUUUUUGAGUCAGUUUUCAAGUGAUUUAGCAAUCCCUCCUAAUCCCCGGCCUAGAACGAUCCCUACUUACAUACUUACUACAAUUGAUAAAAAGAGGGUUAAUUUGAGUGCUAGUUAAUAUCAUAUCAAAUUUUGGCGCCGUUGCCGGGGAUUAGCAACUUUGCUAAUCCCUUGGAUUGUUAUUUUCGUUUUUCUUAUUAGAUCAGAUUCUUAUGUUAUUUUGUUUCUUGUUUUAGGUACUUGUUUAUGACUCGGAGUUCUAAUCCGGUUCACGAACAUAUUUUAGACUUUGACGACGAUUUCGAGCGUGAGUUGAGACGAAAGAGGAAGAACCCGGAACCUAGUGAAUCAAGUGCAAGUUCCGAGUCCGUUUCUGAAUUUGAAGAGGAAGUGGAAGACAUGGCAGUGGACAACUGAACGAUCAAGGAGCUUUCAGCUUCGGGAUUGGAUAAUGCGGCACCUCUAUGUAUCCAAUACCCUAGGGCGGCUCCGGACAAAACUGCCGAGUUCGAAUUGAAGUCAAGCUUGUUACAUCACAUUCCGAAGUACCAUGGGCUGUCCAUGGAAGAUCCGAACAAGCACUUGAGGGAGUUUGAAGUCGUUUGCUCAAGCAUGACUCCAGUGAACGUGGAUGAGAGCAUCUUGAGGAUGAAGGCCUUUCCCUUUUCUCUCCUAGAGAAGGCGAAAGAUUGGUUGUACGAAUUGGCUCUCGGAACUGUCACAUCAUGGGAGAGCAUGAAACGAGCUUUCUUGGAGAAGUUUUUCCCAACUUCUCGAGUCAUCCUCCUACGUAAAAGGAUAAGUGGCAUUCAACAAGAUGAAGGUGAAUCCUUUCCUACUUAUUAUGAACGUUUUAAAUCUCUUAUUGCUUCAUGUCCACAGCAUCAAAUGAAGGAGGAACUACUUCUACAAUACUUCUACGAGGGACUUCUACCAAUUGAACGUCAAAUGCUAGAUGCCUCAGCGGGAGGAGCAUUGGUGGACAAGACCCCUACGGCUGCAAAGAUGUUGAUUGCUAAUCGAGCGUUGAACGCUCAACAAUACGAAGGUGUUGGACAAAGGAGCAUGCCACGGCAACAUCAAGUCAAUGAGGUAAGUGCCAUAACCGAACUUCAAAAUCAAAUGGCUAACCUUACUACGCUGCUUUCUCAGGUGGUGGAAAGUCCAAAAGUCAAAACCGUAGAUUCUUGCGGCGUAUGCUCCAUGCAAAACCACCAUACGGACAAGUGCCCACAAUUGAUCGAGAAUGGAGGGUGGGAGACACUCAAUGCCGUGGGAUAUGGCAACCAAUACCAAUCACGUGGUGAUCCGUUUUCCAAUACUUACAAUCCCGGUUGGCAUGAUCAUCCGAAUUUCAAAUGGCGAGACCCCCAACAAGGCCAACAACAAAGCGGAUUUAGGCAACAACCCCCGGGUUUCUAUCAAAAGCCGUUGGCACCACCACAAGCCCAAGCACAACCUGCCCAAAGCAAUGCAGGUAAUUCAAGUGAUAAUGAUAAGAUUUUUCAAUUACUUACUACUUUGACGCAUGAUAGGAGCAUAUUUAUGCGCCUUAGUUAGCUAGUUCUUAUGCAUUUUCGUUAUGUUUUCUUCGUUAAAGUAGUCUUUUGAGCUACUUUCAUGUGUUUUCAGGCUUAAAGGGCAUAUGACAUAAAAGAUGGCAAUUUGGAGUUUUUGGAGCAAAUUGUGAGCUUGGAUUAAAAAGUACAUGCUUGGGACACAAGGUUUGGAUGAAAUUGAAGAUUUGAAGAUUUGAGGAUUCCUAGUACAAGAAGGAUUCCUAGUCCGAGGAAGAGUCCUAAUUGACGAAGGAUUCCUAAUCAACGAGGGAUUCCUAGUUGAAGAUGAUUCCGAGAAGAACGAAGAUUCCUACUCAAAUGAGGUUUCCUACUUGAAGUAGGAAAGCUAAGCCUAAAAGUUUCCAUUUUGGGUUGAUCUUUCCUAAACCUAAAUGGCCUUGCGUUUUAGCAACAUUAGAAGGUUCCUAAGCGUUGGAAGACACAAAGAGUGGUUCUAGAACAUUUUUCUCAUCCUUGCCGUGGGUUGGGUUCAUUUUCUCUUGGUUUUGGGCUUUCUAGAAGACCUAUCUAGAAGCCCUAACCCUUUGCCGCACCUAGCCUUCUAGAAGAACUUGUUUGCCUUGCCUUGCAAGGCAUUCUAGAAGCCUUAACCCUAGCCCACUAAACCAGCCGAACCCUAGGCCUUUUCCCAUGCAAAAUUGAUGCGAAAUAGAUAAGCACACAAAUUAAACCCUCUUUUGUCAAAUUGUUGUAGAGAUGUAAGUAGGGAUCGUUCUAGACCGGGGAUUAGGAGGGAUUGCUAAACACUUGGAAACUGACUUAAAAACUCAAAAACAAAGUUUAAAACACUAAACUAGACUCAAAGAAUGCAAAAGUAAAGGUUAAAACACUUAAACAAACCAAAAACUCAAAACAGCAACUAGAAGGCUCAAAACUGCCUAAAAACCACUUUCUGGGCAGUUUUGAGCACCUACACUAAUUUGGACGAAAAUUGAUAAAAACUUGAAUCAAAAUACUUAGAAACACAAAUCAAAACACUUUCUAACUAAUCUAAGACUUCAAAUUAAAGGGGGAUUUGUUUUGGACGAAAAUUUAACACAAAACAGAAACUUAAACUAACACAGAUUGUAAAAACGAUUUUGGUGAAAUAGAUGGUUAAAAGGCUAGUUAGGAGGUUCUUCUCCACACAUGUCACACUUGCACACAAAACGAUUUUCAGUUGUUCUUCCAAUAAAUUAUGAAUACUCAACGCCCCAAAUUAACCGUGAAUUGCACUAAUUAACCCUCAGUUUUUCCACAAGUUAUUAGGUUGGAUGAUUGCAUACGACAACCCAAAACAUUCCCUACAAGUUCCCUACAUGAAUUGCAUAAUAGAGAUACAAGCACGAAUCAUUACGUUCUAUGAAAAACAUAAGCAUUGACAAAGCAUUUGUUACUAUGAAUUGCAUGAAACUUAUGCUAAGAAUUCAUUCAAUGCGAUCGUUUUCAAGCGACCUUCACUACUUGUGAUUAUAAGAUUGUAACUAUUAGGUGAAACUCCCUCAUAAUCUAGCAUCAUAUUCAUGCAUGAAAACUAAGCGUGCACUCUCAAUCAACAUACACAAAUAAGUCAUCAAUCAAAUAGAUGAAUGAAUUGAAUCCACAACUUAUGAAAUAACAACUGAAUGUAAUCAAAUCAUAUUGCAAGCAUAUACAUGGUUUCGAAUUACCCCCCAACUAAGGGGGUUUAGUUCGUCAUACUCACAACACAAAGUUUAUUGAAUUGAAACAUCGAAGACAUAAGAAAGAUUACACCUAAAACGCCCAAGAAUUCCACUUUGAAUUUCUGACUUCAAGCUCCUCUUUCUUCUUCUCCUUGCUGCGGCAGAGAGGGUUUAGGGUGUUUUUGGAUGUGAUUUUGGUUUUAGAAUGGAGUUAGGAUAGUAUGGUGGUGCGGCAAAGGGGUAAGGAUGGUGUAUGGAAGUGUAGAAUGGUGUAUGGAGGUGGAUGGUAGCUUCGGCAAGGAUGGGAAGUGGCUGGAAUGGAUGAAGGCUGCAGCAAGGUGUGGGAAUAGGGUUUAGACGAUUUUCUGAUUUGUAGAAUGGGAGAUGAUGUGCGGCAAGGUGUGUAGAACACAUAUAUAUAGGCACCUAAAAACCCUAAAGAAAUCAGAUUGGGCUAGGGUUAGGUGCGGCUACUUAAGUGGACUAGGGUUAAGGUUUGUAAAAUAGGGCUUCUAGGAUGGAAAGGUGCGGCAUGGGCUUAGGGUACAUAAUCAGAUUUUUGCAUGUGAACAAGGCCUAGGUGCGGCUGAUUAAGUGGCUAGGGUUAGGGUUUAGGUGCGGCAUAGGUCCAAGAAGUAAGGAUGGGUCAUCCAAAAGCCCAAAGCCGAGAAUAGAAACUCACGAAAAUGGAAACCUCCAAGAAUAGAAACUUCCAACUUUAGAAACUUUGGUUGCCAAUUCCGAUUUAGGAAAGAUCAACCCAAAAUGGAAACUUUUAGGCUUAGCUUUCCUACUUCAAGUAGGAAACCUCAAAUCUUCAACUCUUCAAUUCCAUCCCAACCUUGUGUUCCAAGCAUGUCCUUUUCAAACCAAGCUCAUAUUUUGCUCCAAAAGCUCCAACUUGCAUCAUUUCAUGUAAUAUGUCCUUUAAACCUGAAAACACAUGAAAGUAGCUUAAAAGACUACUUUAACGAAGAAAACAUAACAAAGAUGCAUCAGAACUAGCUAACUAAGGCGCAUAAAUAUGCUCCUAUCAAAUUCCCCCACACUUAGCUUUUGCUAGUCCUCGAGCAAAACAAACAAAAGAAAGGAAACAAAACGAAACCAACUUAACCAAAACAAAACCUAAACCUUCCAACGUUUGCCUCAGGGAUUUCCAAUGCACAUGACAUGUUAAAGAUUGUUGUCCCCACAGAUUUGAGUCAUCUUUACACAAGCAUACUUAAUUAAAGCCACCACUUACUAAUUCACAAGUAAUCAAUCAAAACAAUGCUUUGAAUGUAGUAACAUGUCUUAGAGAAUUCCCUCAAUUCCUUACAAGAUAUACACUCUAUUUUCACUCAGAUUUUCUAACUCCACACCCUACACUAGUCAUAUGUGAGAAGAUUGAUGUAGAUAUGAAAACGAAUGCUCACAUAUAUGUAUCACAAAGAACGCAAUUUCUAGAGUUAAGAAGCAUGUUUAGAUAUGAUCUCAUGAAUGGAAUGCUACUACUUAGAUGCGAGAACCAGUGACACCAUAUGCUCAUACCAAAUUCAAACUCCACAAAUUGAAACACAUAACACUCAAGAUAGAAGUUAAGGGUUGUAACGGGGCUUGGGGUAUUGGUUAACAAAGAAAGGAUAGGGAAAACAAACGUUCUUCAAGCAUUAGUAAGCAAAGUAGUGAAAUUGAGGCUUAGAAUUCACUUAGAUUGCAGAAAUUAACUUUAAAACACAAGGGAAAGAUUUAGAUAACUCUUUAGGGCCGAAUUCAUUGCUUUGGACCCUUACUUCAACAAACAAUACUUUGAAACUCUUUUUCACAUCUUUUCAACUCUUUUUUCAUACUUUUCACACUUUUUUCUUCAUUUUUUCUUUUUCCACGAAUUUUUUCUUUUCUUUUCUUUCCACACGUGCCUAUGGCACACAAAAUCACCAAAAGAAAUACUUCCCCCCACACUUGUUUUCUGCCAACAUAAAUCAAAAGGAAUUCAAUUCGAAUCAUGCAUUACUAGGCUUUAAGAACAAGGGUAUGGAUGGUCCUAAACUAGGCUAGGUGAGGUUAAUGUGGGUUAACAAAGAAAAGGCUAAACAAGGCUCAAUGGGGUUAAAACCUACAAAACAUAAUGACAUAGGGGAUUCAUGGCUUUUUGGCUAAGGUGGUGGUCACUACACAACUUCAUCUUGAAUAUGUGUUAUGCAAAUCAAUAACAUGCUUUCAAUGAAAUGGGCAUGAGUUUUAGCAUUUGGAACUUAAUGAUGAAACGCCUUCUAAAUAGUAACCAAGCAAGGAAUAAUGAGAUCAUGCAACGACUUAGAAAACAAAGAAUGCACAGAUUUUAACUCUCCAAAUAAACGUUUAGGCUCAAGUCUCACAAGGUUGUAGCGUUAGUUUGAGUUCCUUCCUUCAAGCAUGUUACAAAAACUGAUUUUUUCUUUUAUGAUUGCAUGUGAAUUCAUAAGUUAUAUCCACAACUAAGCAUAUCAAAGAGUAAAUCAAACUUUCAUCCAUGUUAAUCACUCUCUUUAACAGUCAUGCAAUUAAAAACCAAAUCCUCAUCAUUGUGUUGGAAGGUACCCUAAGACACAAACAAACACACAAAAACAACUCUUUUUGGGUUUUUAAAACAAAUUUUUCAAAUUUUUAUGUGAUUUUCGGAUUUUUGCAUCAAAACACACUAAAACACAUCAAAACUGCUCAAAAACACUUAAAAACAUCAAGGAACAAGUAUCCAAGUUAAGGGUGAUAAAAUCCCACGAAUUUGCAUCUAAAACACUUAGUUACCCCCCCCACACUUCAUUCAAACAUUGUCCUCAAUGUUUCAAGCAUAAAUACACACUAAACAAAAAGAAACACACAAACAGCAACUAAAACAACUAAAUAGGCAGAUUCGAAAUAAAUAACAAAGUGAAGAGUUUAGGAACACAAAUCUGGAAUUGGAGUAAGUCCUUGGUCUUCCUUUGUUGAAUUGCAUGGGUUGCCUCCCAAGUAGCGCUUUCUUUAACGUCGUACAGCCAGACGAAAAACACAAUCAUGCCCCAUUGGAGCCCACGGCAAGGAGUGGGAUCUCCACCACCACCUGCCCCACGGCACUCUCAUACAUUGCAUCUUUGAACGGUAAUGGAUAGUGAUGUUUGUUGAUGGGUGCGUUGUGUUGCCUAAGGUUCAUGUACAUGCGCCCACCAUCAGGGAUUUGCUUGGGUACCUGCACCAUAGAAGGGAACCACCUAUCAACAUUAAUGGGAAUUGGAUUUGGAUUAGGUGGCUUACCUAAGUGAUGUGAUGAAGUGGCAGCAAGGUAAACGUUCUUCCCCAUGGUGCUUUCGGCCACUGUGAGCACUUUGAGGGCAGUGGCCGUAUGGGCCUUGUACUCCACUCCAAUUCCCUCGUCUUGCAUGGUUCUUGAUGCAUCCUUUGUGCUUGGUGCUGAACGGUCCGGGCCUAUCUUUUCAAGUUUAUCAAUGGCACAACAAGAAUGAACAACAUUAGGAGUCUCAAUGGAUUCAGAAAUUUUAAAACUAAUCAUGUCACCACCAAAUGCCAUAGUUACUAAUCCUUUCGCCACAUCAAUCUUCGUUUGAGCCGUUUUCAUAAAUGGCCUUCCAAGGAGGAUGGGCAACGAAGGGGCAUGGUCCGAUUCAUCCAUUUCGAGGGACAUAGAAAUCCGCUGGGAAGACUAAACGAUCAACCUGCACUAAGACGUCUUCCAAAACUCCCUUUGGAUAAGCGUUAGAUCUAUCGGCCAAUUGUAUGAUUACACCAUCAUGUUUAAGUGCUCCUAGAUUCAUAGAUGCAUAAACAGAAUAUGGCAUAACAUUAAUAGAUGCUCCUAAAUCUAGCAUGGCAAAUUUGAAACGGGUAUUACCAAUGACACACGGAAUUGUAAAACUCCCCGGAUCUUUGCAUUUGGGGGGUAGUUUGCGUUGCAAGAUGGCGGAGACAUUCUCGCUUACAUGUACCACUUCUUUAUCCCGGACACGUUUCUUGGUUGUACAAAGCUUCUUUAAACACUUCGCAUACUUCGGGAUUUGCUUUAUGGCAUCAAGGAGGGGAAUGUUGACAUGCACCUUUCUAAAUGUCUCUAGAACAUCUAUUUCCUCCUCGUCGUUCUUUGAUUGCAAAAAUCUGCUAGGAAAGGGGACAUUCAAAGGAAAAACAUUAGUAGGAACCGAAUUUGACACAUUCUUACCUUUAUUGGCCGAUUUGGACAAUUUGGGGACAUUAGAAGCUUGUGGCAAAGAUGGAACCUCCUUUGCCGUGGGCAUGCUUGAUUCCUCCUCUUCAAUUUGCACAUUUACAUCACUUUGGGGACCUGUUUGUGUAGAACCUGCCCUAAUCUCUUUUCCACUCCUUAGCAUGAUUGCAUUUGCGCUUUCGAAACCUCCCUUCGGAUUUGGAAUGGUGGAACUAGGGAGUUGUCCGGGAUCUCGAAACUUACCUACAAACUCAGCAAUCUGCCCAAUUUGUUUCUCAAGUUGAUCCACCCUUUUGUCUUGGUUUUGCAUAGCUCUAGCUUGAUCUUCCUGCCCAUUAGACAACUUAGUUAGUAUCUUAAGAAGUGCAUCAUUGUCAAGAGACGUACCUGAGGCACUUGGGCCGGAUUGGGCUUGAUUUUGGGGUGGGCCGUAGGUUUUGGGAAAGAACCCCAGGGGUUGUUGCCUAAAGCCUCCUUGAUUUUGAGGUUGUUGGGGAUCCCUCCACUUGAAAUUUGGGUGGUCUCGCCACCCCGAAUUAUACGUGUUGGAGUAUGGAUCGUGUCUUGACUGAUUUUGGCUUUGAAACCCAAUGGCAUUCGCACUCUCCCAUCCGCCAUUCUCGAUGAGUUGAGGACAUUUUUCGGAGACAUGUCCUUGGAUAGAACAUACGCCACAUACCACAGGUCCUUGCAUCUUCAUUCCCUCGGCCAUCUGUGAAACAAUAGAAGUAAGAUUAGCCAAUUGUGAAUGAAGAUCGGAAGUCGCACUUACCUCAUGUACUUUGGUGCCGUGAGGGUCCUCUUUGGCCUACACCCUCGUACUGUUGAGCGUUCAACGCUCUAUUAGCAAUCAAGACCUUGGCAGCCAUGGGUGUUUUGUCCACCAAUGCUCCCCCCGCCGAAGCAUCAAGCAUUUGACGUUCUAGAGGUAGGAGGCCCUCGUAGAAAUAUUGCAAGAGCAAUUCCUCCUUCAUCUGAUGCUGUGGACAAGAAGCAACAAGUGAUUUAAAUCGUUCAUAAUAUGUAGGAAAAGACUCACCUUCUUCUUGCUGAAUUCCGCUUAUCUUUUUGCGUAGGAGGAUGAUGCGAGAAGUUGGAAAGAACUUCUCCAAGAACGCUCUCUUCAUACUCUCCCAAGAAGUGACAGUGCCGGGAGCUAACUCGUAUAACCAAUCCUUGGCUUUAUCCAUCAAAGAGAAUGGAAAAGCCUUCAUCUUCAAGAUACAUCCGUCAACAUUGACGGGAGUCAUACUAGAGCAAACCACUUCAAAUUCUUUCAAAUGUUUGUUAGGAUCUUCCAUGGACAAGCCAUGGUAUUUAGGAAUAUGAUGAAGCAAACUUGACUUUAAUUCAAACUCGUCCGUCUUACCUUGGGCAGCCACGGGGUAUUGGAUGCACAAGGGUGCGGCAUUAUCCAAACCCGAGGCGGAAAGCUCCUUGAGUGUACGAUUGUCCAUGGCCAUGCCUUGGACUUCUUCAAAUAUCCCUGCCGUGGCUUCCUCCUCCACUUCUUGUACGUUUUCUUCAAGGUCAGAUUCGGAAUUGGGUGAAUGGUAUUCUUGCUGGUUUCUAGCUCUUCUUAACUUCCUCUCAAAAUCGUCGUCAAAAUCCAAGAUGUUUGCACGAAUCGGUUGAGAGCUUCUAGUCAUACAUUAGUACCUAAGAAACAAGAAACAAAAUUAGGUCAGAAACUUAAACAAAGUCAGAAACAAAGUGAAAUAAAAGAAACAAAAACAAUCCAAGGGAUUUGCAAAAUUGCUAAUCCCCGGCAACGGCGCCAAAAAUUUGAUGCGAAAUAGAUAAGCACACAAAUUAAACCCUCUUUUGUCAAAUUGUAGUAGAGAUGUAAGUAGGGAUCGUUCUAGACCGGGGAUUAGGAGGGAUUGCUAAACACUUGGAAACUGACUUAAAAACUCAAAAACAAAGUUUAGAACACUAAACUAGACUCAAAGAAUGCAAAAGUAAAGGUUAAAACACUUAAACAAACCUAAAACUCAAAACAGCAACUAGAAGGCUCAAAACUGCCUAAAAACCACUUUCUGGGCAGUUUUGAGCACCUACACUAAUUUGGACGAAAAUUGAUGAAAACUUGAAUCAAAAUACUUAGAAACACAAAUCAAAACACUUUCUAACUAAUCUAAGACUUCAAAUUAAAGGGGGAUUUGUUUUGGACGAAAAUUUAACACAAAACAGAAACUUUAACUAACACAGAUUGUAAAAACGAUUUUGGUGAAAUAGAUGGUUAAAAGGCUAGUUAGGAGGUUCUUCUCCACACAUGUCACACUUGCACACAAAACGAUUUUCAGUUGUUCUUCCAAUAAAUUAUGAAUACUCAACGCCCCAAAUUAACCGUGAAUUGCACUAAUUAACCCUCAGUUUUUCCACAAGUUAUUAGGUUGGAUUGAUUGCAUACGACAACCCAAAACAUUCCCUACAAGUUCCCUACAUGAAUUGCAUAAUAGAGAUACAAGCACGAAUCAUUACGUUCUAUUGAAAAACAUAAGCAUUGACAAAGCAUUUGUUACUAUGAAUUGCAUGAAACUUAUGCUAAGAAUUCAUUCAACGCGAUCGUUUUCAAGCGACCUUCACUACUUGUGAUUAUAAGAUUGUAACUAUUAGGUGAAACUCCCUCAUAAUCUAGCAUCAUAUUCAUGCAUGAAAACUAAGCGUGCACUUCUCAAUCAACACACACAAAUAAAGUCAGUAUCAAUCAAAUAGAUGAACGAAUUGAAUCCACAACUUAUGAAAUAAUAACUGAAUGUAAUCAAAUCAUAUUGCAAGCAUAUACAUGGUUUCGAAUUACCCCCCAACUAAGGGGGUUUAGUUCUUCAUACUCACAACACAAAGUUUAUUGAAUUGAAACAUCGAAGACAUAAGAAAGAUUACACCUAAAACGCCCAAGAAUUCCACUUUGAAUUUCUGACUUCAAGCUCCUCUUUCUUCUUCUCCUUGCUGCGGCAGAGAGGGUUUAGGGUGUUUUUGGAUGUGAUUUUGGUUUUAGAAUGGAGUUAGGAUAGUAUGGUGGUGCGGCAAAGGGGUAAGGAUGGUGUAUGGAAGUGUAGAAUGGUGUAUGGAGGUGGAUGGUAGCUUCGGCAAAGGAUGGGAAGUGGCUGGAAUGGAUGAAGGCUGCGGCAAGGUGUGGGAAUAGGGUUUAGACGAUUUCUGAUUUGUAGAAUGGGAGAUGAUGUGCGGCAAGGGGGUAGAACACAUAUAUAUAGGCACCUAAAACCCUAAGAAAUCAGAUUGGGCUAGGGUUAGGUGCGGCUACAUAAGUGGACUAGGGUUAAGGUUUGUAAAAUAGGGCUUCUAGGAUGGAAAGUGCGGCAUGGGCUUAGGGUACAUAAUCAGAUUUUUGCAUGUGAACAAGGCCUAGGUGCGGCUGAUUAAGUGGCUAGGGUUAGGGUUUAGGUGCGACAUAGGUCCAAGAAGUAAGGAUGGGUCAUCCAAAAGCCCAAAGCCGAGAAUAGAAACUCACGAAAAUGGAAACCUCCAAGAAUAGAAACUUCCAACUUUUAGAAACUUUGGUUGCCAAUUCCGAUUUAGGAAAGAUCAACCCAAAAUGGAAACUUUUAGGCUUAGCUUUCCUACUUCAAGUAGGAAACCUCAAAUCUUCAACUCUUCAAUUCCAUCCCAACCUUGUGUUCCAAGCAUGUCUUUUUCAAACCAAGCUCAUAUUUUGCUCCAAAAGCUCCAACUUGCAUCAUUUCAUGUAAUAUGUCCUUUAAACCUGAAAACACAUGAAAGUAGCUUAAAAGACUACUUUAACGAAGAAAACAUAACAAAGAUGCAUCAGAACUAGCUAACUAAGGCGCAUAAAUAUGCUCCUAUCAAAAAUCUGAUUGUUUUAACCUAUUUUCUGUUGGAUUUGGGUUUCUAGAAACCCUAAUCUGAUUGCUAGGGUUUUUAAGUGCCUAUAUAUACUCCUUUAAAGCUUUUGGCUGAAGCUACCACCUCCCAUAUCAUCCAUUCACUCCAGAAAUUUACCCUAAGCCUUUGCCGCAACCACCAACAUCAUUCUCCCUAGUUCUAAGUUCUUGCCGUGCCCCCUAGUCCCCUUAACCCUUCUACCCUAUUCCAUAACCAUUCAUCCACCACAGCCGCACCUUUCCACCACCAUCACCACCUCGUGCAGCCACCAUUGAAGGAGAAAGAAGUAGUGCCGUGCAGUCCAAAGGGAGGGAGAAACCUUGCACAUGCAUCUGCCAUUAGUGGACUUUUGGAGUUUUUCUUCUUUGUUUCGGUUUUCAUGUUUAAUUUAACUUGCUUUUCAAUUAUGUUAGACAUGUGGAACUAAUUUCUUUUUAGUUAGAGGCGAAUUUGAAGCCAUGAUCAUAUGUUUUAUAUGACUUGAUUUCUUCCAAUUAUGAUUUCAUAAAUCGUGAAUGUGGUUUACUUAUCUAUUUGAUUGAUAACUUGUUUAUGUAUGUGGGUUGAGGGUCGACACUUAAUUUGCAUGCCUAGACUUGAUGCUAGAGUAUAAGGGAAUUUCACCUAAUUGCUAGAGGCAAAUUAAACCCUAUGGAAUACGAUUGUGUUAAGUAAACCCUAGGCAAGAGUAACAUGCGUUUCCCAUAGUUAUGAAUGCCUCGUCAAUGCUUAUGAUUUCCAUUGAACUUAAUGAUCUUUGAUAUGUGUCUCUAUCAUGCGUAUUCCAUAGUUAGGGUCCUUGAUAAGAAUAAUUUGGUUGUAAUGCGUAUUCCAUUCAAUUCAAUGAAUCUAGGGAAAUCUGAGAAUUAAUUGGUGCAAUCUAGUUAAUUUGGGGCAUUGUCAUUCAUGGUUUGUUGAAAGAGUAAUUGGAGAUCGAGUUGUAUGCAUAUGUUUCAUGUGUGGAUAAGGAACCCUCUAACUAGUUUCUCAUCAUUCUAUUUCAUCACAAUCUGUUUUGCUUUAAGUUUGUUUUCAAAGUUUAAGUUUUAAAGUUUUUAAGUUCGUCAAAAUCAAUCCCCCCCAUUUAUUUUAAAGUGUUAGAUUAGUUAGAAAUCAAUUUAGUUUGUGUUUUUAAGUGUCUUGAGUCAAGUUUUAGUCCAAUUUCGUCCAAAUUAGUGUUAGGUACUCAAAACUGCCCGAAAGUGGUUUUAAGGCAGUUUUGGUCUUUUAGUUGCUGUUUUGAGUUUUUGGUUGAUUUAAGGUGUUUAAAUCUAGUUUUGCAUUAAUUUGAGUCUAUUUUAGUGUUCUAAUUAUGUUUUUAUGUCUUGAGUCAGUUUCACAUUGAUUAGCAUCCCUAGUUAAUCCCCGGUUUAGAACGAUCCCUAUUUGCUCAUAUACUACAAUUGUCAUCCAUAGGUUUAAUUUGUGUGUCAAGUCAAUUUUCCAUCAAUUUUUGGCGCCGUUGCCGGGAUUAGCAAUGCUAAUCCCUUGUUUUUUUGCCGUGUGUUUUAGAUAAUUUACUAAUUUUCUGAUUUUGUUUUGUUUCUUGGUUAGUACUAGCAUGACGCGGAGUUCUCAAACUGUGCAUGCACAUAUCUUGGACUUUAACGAGAUUUGAACGUGAUUAGAGAAGACAGAGGAGGCAUCCCGACCUAGUGAACCUAGUUCAAAUUCAGAGGCCGAAUCUGAGUUUGAGAAGUGGAAGAAGAAGUUAUGGCAGGACAAUCGGACAUUAAAGAGCUUUCGGCCUCGGGGUUGCCAAUGCCGCACCAUUAUGCUUCAAUACCCGCGGCUGCCAAGGCAAGACCGAUGAAUUCGAGUUGAAGUAAGCUUGUUGCCCCACAUUCCGAAAUACCAUGGGUUUCCAUGGAAGAUCCCACAAGCAUUCAAGGAGUUCGAGGUUGUUUGUUCGAGCAUGACACCCAUAAAUGUCGACGGAAACAUUCUGAUGAUGAAGGCUUUUCCAUUCUCACUUUUGGAAAAGGCGAAGGAUUGGCUUUACGAGUUAGCCCCGAACGGUUACAUCUUGGAUAGUAGAAAAGAGCUUUCUUGGAGAAGUUUUUCCCAACUUUCAAGAGUCAUUCUCUUGAGGAAACGGAUUAGUGGCAUCCACAGAAUCAAGGUGAAUCGUUUCCUUCUUAUUAUGAACGUUUAAAUCAUUGUUGCUUCUUGUCCACAGCAUCAAAAUGAAGGAGGAGCUGCUCAUUCAAUACUUCUACGAAGGACUCCUUCCCAUGGAACGCCAAAUGCUUGAUGCCUCGGCGGGAGGUGCGUUGGUGGAUAAAACUCGGGGGCUGCAAAGUUCUAAUUGCCAACCGAGCACAUAAUGUACAACAAUACGAAGGUGUUGGACAAANNNNNNNNNNNNNNNNNNNNNNNNNNNNNNNNNNNNNNNNNNNNNNNNNNNNNNNNNNNNNNNNNNNNNNNNNNNNNNNNNNNNNNNNNNNNNNNNNNNNNNNNNNNNNNNNNNNNNNNNNNNNNNNNNNNNNNNNNNNNNNNNNNNNNNNNNNNNNNNNNNNNNNNNNNNNNNNNNNNNNNNNNNNNNNNNNNNNNNNNNNNNNNNNNNNNNNNNNNNNNNNNNNNNNNNNNNNNNNNNNNNNNNNNNNNNNNNNNNNNNNNNNNNNNNNNNNNNNNNNNNNNNNNNNNNNNNNNNNNNNNNNNNNNNNNNNNNNNNNNNNNNNNNNNNNNNNNNNNNNNNNNNNNNNNNNNNNNNNNNNNNNNNNNNNNNNNNNNNNNNNNNNNNNNNNNNNNNNNNNNNNNNNNNNNNNNNAAGUCAGUUUUCAAGUGUUUAGCAUCCUCCUAAUCCCGGUCUAGAACGAUCCCUACUUACAUCUUUACUACAAUUUGACAAAAAGAGGGUUUAAUUUGUGUGCUUAUCUAUUUCGCAUCACAUAACCACCCAUUUAAAUUUUACGGGUAAACGAUUAUACAUAUAACCGUUUAUUUAUUUAAAUGAUUACCCAUAACUGAUGGUUAAUUACCCAUCCUUAUGCACAAAUUCUAAUUUUUACUUUAUGUGGAAGAUUACAAAAGUAUAAAUUAAAAUUGGAAAGGAGCAAAUCUUUUACUUAUAAGAGUAUCUCUUUCAAAAUGUCCAAAUCAGUAAUAUAAAAAAGACAGCUACUGAGAAACCAAAUCUAAUGUAGGAUGACAUCAAAUAGCAGACAGCAACGUCAAUUUUUUUUUUUUAUUAAUAUUUUUAUCGACUGCAACUCUCCUCUCUCACUCCAAAUCGCCGCUCGUCCUUCUUCUUCCCUUUUCUCAGAACCAAACCCAGACACUAAAUCUCAACCUAAAACCCAAAUGUAAAAACUCCAUUUCGCACCGUUGCUCAAACAAGAGCUCCAGCGGCUCUAACCCUUAGCUGCGACCUAUACUCAUCCGUCUCCGAACGGCUCCCGUAGCAGUAGAAUGGAGCGGAGGAGUUGCGCGGGCGAGGAUCGGUGCGGGUUUAUUGGAAUUUGGUUGAGGCGUUGAGGAGUUGGGGGGUUUGAGGAUUCGAAUCCGAGGAUUGGAUUGAAUGUAUUUGAACGGGAUUCGUUUUCUUCAAUCCACAGAAAGUGGGGGGGGACGGAGGGAGAGAGAACGAACUGAGAGGUAGGGCGUGGGGAGUGGGGGAAUGACGGAGGGGAUUUCGGUUUUUCUGUCAAUCCAACAUAAGAGGGGGGAGGAGGGGGGGGAGAGGGAGAGGAGAACGGAACUGAGAUGGUUGGGGGGCGGUGGGGAGUGGGGGGAAGUGACGGAGAGUGUAAUAAAAUAAUAGUUUAAUGAAAAAAAUUAAAAAAAUAGUGUAAUAAAAUAAUAUUUAAUUUGACAUACGUGGAGAGCUAAAUUUUGAAAGAUGUCAAAAUGUUACAUAGGUUGUCAAAUUCAAAUUUUAUGUUUAAAAUUUGACAUCUCUUUUGAAGAUGUUCUUACUUUUCAAACGCCAUUUUUUUUAAUGUGGCCAAAUAUGAACUUUAUUUUGGAAGUCGUUAUAAUGUUACGAAUUUAUGUAAAAUUUUACAAAAACCUCUAUGGCAGAUUUAUUCGUUAAUUUUUUAGACAACUUAGUAAUAUCAUGGAAGGAUAUUGCUUUAUUUUGGCUGAACUACUUUGCACCUUUUUUGGUUUUUGAGUGAUUUUCAAAUUGGGUUACCGAGUUUUAUUCUAUCAAAUUGCACUAUGAAAUUUCAAAGUUAUUUCGAUUUAUGCCUUUCAUCUAUUUGAAUCUAUUAUCCUUCAAUAAAUUAAUGACAUGAUCAAGUAACUGUUUCUUAAGCUAUGUAGAAGCCACACUUGCACAUGUAUGGCCAAACUGGACUAGUGUUGGUUUGAGAUACGAAUUAUUGAUUGAGAAGUCAAAGCUAGACAAUGACUAAUUUGGGUCAAUGUUCAAAAAAGGCCUCACCUAAAUGUUAGGUGGUUGGUUAUCACCGCAAUUAAUCCCUAGUCGUUUAAAAAAUAACAAAGGGCAUCUAAACUUGCUAUCGGGACUCUCACUUAUACAAAAAUGAAUAACUUUUCAUUUUAUGUUUUCAUUUUGUUGUGGACUAGAUUUGUUUGAGUUACAAAUGAUUGAUUGGGCAGAAGUCAAAGGUACACAAUAACUAAUUUUGGUCAGUGUUCAAAAAGACAUCACCUAGGCACUAGGUGGCUAUUCACCGCCGCAAUUAUUCCUAGGCGUUUAAAAAAUACCAAAGGGUGUCUACACUCGCUUGGAAGCCCGCGUAGCUUGACUCGGUGAAAUAAUUGAAUUAGACGGGUCUAGGUGAGUCUAGAUGAUGAGAAGAUUGGGUUGAAGAAAAAGACCCUAAACAUUAGGAAAAUUCAAAGUGACUAAUUAGUAAUUUAGAACUAAACCACAAGAACCGAAUAUGUGUUUACCUAAUAAAAUUAUUUGUGACAUGUCUAAGAGUUGUGUGUGAGUUGAUGUUCAACAUAUUACUUUUUUAUUGUUUUGAUGGGUUAAGGUUAUCCGUGUAUACGUACAUUUCCCAACACCCUAAUGGAAUCUCUUUUUUUAUUUUCAUUUUUUAUUUUUUAUUUAUUUUUGCUAAAAUACUUCAUUCAAAUAGAAAACCCUUUAAUACAUCGGGUUCCAAUACAAUUGAAAUAGCGUUAUAAGUCUUUUCCAAGAUAUAGGACUCCUAAAUAUGUAAAUUUUCUACAUAAUGACCACCACUAGCAUGUAGAUAUGUAAAUUUUGUUGCAUACAAAUGAUGUAUCGCAAAGCUCCACGUGACAUAUGACUUAUCACAAAUGGACAAGUCAUCAAUGACAUGUGGCACAAAUCAAGCAAAUGAAGCUUAAACCUUCCCAAAAACUCGGCCAAAGAGAGAAAACCUCACUUAAAAAAAAAGGGCAAGGGAUCAAAAUGUUCUCAAAACCGGAAAGAAAGUUAAGGCAUCUUCAUAAAACAAGCAAGAAUUGAAGAUUGCUCAAAAAAUAGGCAACAAGGCUUCAUAAUUUAAGCCAAAUGAGUAAAGUGGCUGAAAUUAAGAGACAAAACAUGCUUAAAUUCUCCCAUGGAAAAGUUAGAUAAAUCAAAGCCAAAUCUACCCAAGGGCAAGCCUUGAGAAGCCUAUAAAUACAAGGUCCUCUCACAAGCAUAGGGGUCGAAAAAUCUCUACACAGAAGAACCUCUGUCAAACCUUUGAAGACUAAUAGUUGCCAAAGCUUGCUUCGAAGAACAUUCAACCAAAGCCAAAGCUUUCUCUUGACCAAAGUCGAAGCACUUCCUUGAAGAAUCAACAAGCGCUUAUGCCGAUUCCUUCAAGACUUUGUUGCAAGCUUAUAAACUUGUAGCAACAUUCGUUUCAAGAUCAAGUCGCCAAGACCCUUGAAGCAACGAAAUCCCGCAUCAAAUACUACCUUUGCCGCACCUUUAGGGUAAAGAUCAUUCACGUGUUUGUUUCAAACUCAAAACUUGAAGCAAUUGUUCAACUGUUCGUUCGAGAUCAAGUCAUCAAGACCCUUGGAUCAAUGAUCAAGCAUCUACAUCAAAUUUGAAGGCUUAAUUAGAGGAAAAGUUGUAAACAGAGAUUGUACAUGUGUUCUCAUUUCAUUCAUUACAAGAAUUUUUGUGCUUACAAAUUUGGCAUGCCUGGUGGGAUCUCUUUGCCUCUCAUCUCUAUCUUCAAAUCCACAAGAAACACACAUGACAUCAAGAAAAGAUCAAGCUGUUCCCGCAACCAACGCAAAGAACAAGGGCAUUGUUGCCGCAAGUGGUGGCACUUUGGGCUUCACAACUCGAAGCAAGGCAAAAACUUUCUCUACCCUGCCUUCCAUCCCUUCAUCAACUCUACCGAAUGAGAAAGAGCACCCGAGGCACGAACUUGUGAUCACCUUGGCCUUACUAAGAGCGCCAAGGGAAGAAAGCUUGAUGAGGUACUUUGAGUCUUUGACUUUUGACGUCGACUCAAGCAGCUCAUAUCCCGUAUCCAUGCAAGUCAUGACUACUGGCGUAACUUUCAUCGAUGAGCAACUGGCUCAAAUGAGUGAAGCAAUUGCAAGGUUGACAAGGACCGUGGAGAAGAAGAACUUACAAAUUGCUACGCUAAGUAACUGUUUAGAGGCGCAGCACGACGACAAAGCUGACUCGAAGGUUGACCCCCAAAAGGAAGAAACUGAAGAAAAGGAAGAGCCUCUGGUGGAGAAAGCCGAAGAGAAGCUUGACCAAGCAACAUCGCUCAUGCGAUCUCUCUCUAUACAACAAUAGCUGCAACAAAUGAUCACUAACACGAUCAAGGCACAAUAUAAAGGAAUCUCACACGACUCCGUGCUAUACUCAAAACCAUACUCUAAGAAGAUUGACACCUUGAGGAUACUAAGGGGUUAUCAGCUUCCAAAAUUCAUGCAAUUUGAUGGAAAAGGCAAUCUUAAACAACAUAUUGCCCAUUUCAUCGAAACUUGUAACAAAGUUGGGACAGAGGGAGACUACAUCGUCAAGCAGUUUGUGCGCUCACUGAAAGGUAAUGCCUUUGACUGGUACACCGACCUUGAGCCCGAAUCCAUCAACAGUUGGGACCAGCUUGAAAGGGAAUUCCUUAACCACUUCUACAGCACGCGCCGCACCGUAAGCAUGCUAGAGCUGAUAAGUACAAAGUAAUGGAAGGAUGAACCCGUUGUCGACUACAUCAACUCAUUAAGUCUAGAUUGCAAGGAUCGGCUUUCUGAAACCUCCACUAUUGAGAUGUGCAUUCAAGGCAUGCAUUGGGCCUACACUACAUCUUCUAAAGCAUAAAGCUGAGGACAUUUGAGGAACUAGCAACUCGUUUCCACGACAUGGAGCUGUGUAUUGCCAACCAUGUAAAAAAAUGAGCCAAUCACCGACUUCAAGAAGGUUAAGGUGUUCACUCCGAAGGUAGACAUGUAACAUCCCACAUCGCCCAGGGGAGUGGAUCCUCUAUGCCUUCUAUGUAUAUUCCCAUCUCUACCUAGCACGAGGCCUUUUGGGGAGCUCACUGGCUUUGGAUUCCACCGGAACUCUGAAGUUAAGCGAGUUCGGACAAAAGCAUUCCCAGGAUGGGUGACCUACUGGAAAGUUCUCGUGUGAGUUCCCAAAAACAAAACUGUGAGGGUGUGGUCAGGGCCUAAAGCAGAUAAUAUCGUGCUACGGUGGAUGAUGCGAAAUAGAUAAGCACACAAAUUAAACCCUCUUUUUGUCAAAUUGUAGCAAAGAUGUAAGUAGGGAUCGUUCUAAACCGGGGAUUAGGAGGGAUUGCUAAACACUUGGAAACUGACUUAAAAACUCAAAAACAAAGUUUAAAACACUAAACUAGACUCAAAGAAUGCAAAAGUAAAGGUUAAAACACUUAAACAAACCUAAAACUCAAAACAGCAACUAGAAGGCUCAAAACUGCCUAAAAACCACUUUCUGGGCAGUUUUGAGCACCUACACUAAUUUGGACGAAAUUUGAUGAAAACUUGAAUCAAAGUACUUAGAAACACAAAUCAAAACACUUUCUAACUAAUCUAAGGCUUCAAAUAAAAGGGGGAUUUGUUUUGGACGAAAAUUUAACACAAAACAGAAACUUUAACUAGCACAGAUUGUAAAAACGAUUUUUGGUGACCUAGAUGGAUAAAAGGCUAGUUAGGAGGUUCUUCUCCACACAUGUCACACUUGCAAACAAAACGAUUUUCAGUUGUUCUUCCGAUAAACUAUGAAUACUCAACGCCCCAAAUUAACCGUGAAUUGCACUAAUUAACUCUCAGUUUUUCCACAAGUUAUUAAGUUGGAUGCUUGCAUACGACAACCUAAAACAUUCCCUACGAGUUCCCUACAUGAAUUGCAUAAUAGAGAUACAAGCAAGAAUCAUUACGUUCUAUGAAAAACAUAAGCAUUGACGAAGCAUUCGUUACUAUGAAUUGCAUGAAACUUAUGCUAAGAAUUCAUUCAACGCGAUCGUUUUCAAGUGAUCUUCACUACUUGUGAUUAUAAGAUUGUAACUAUUAGGUGAAACUCCCUCAUAAUCUAGCAUCAUAUUCAUGCAUGAAAACUAAGCGUGCACUCUCAAUCAACAUACACAAAUAAGUUAUCAAUCAAAUAGAUGAACGAAUUGAAUCCACAACUUAUGAAAUAACAACUGAAUGUAAUCGAAUCAAAUUGCAAGCAUGUACAUGGUUUCGAAUUACCCCCCCAACUAAGGGGGUUUAGUUCCUCAUACUCACAACACAAAGUUUAUUGAAUUGAAACAUCGAAGACAUAAGAAAGAUUACACCUAAAACGCCCAAGAAUUCCACUUUGAAUUUCUGACUUCAAGCUCAUUUUUCUUCUUCUCCUUGCUGCAGCAGAGAGGGUUUAGGGUGUUUUUGGAUGUGAUUUUGGUUUUAGAAGGGAAUUAGGAUGAUAUGGUGGUGCGGCAAGAGGUAUGGGUGGUGUAUGGAGGUGUAGAAUGGUGUAUGGAGGUGUAGAAUGGUGGCUGGAGUUGUAGAAUGGUUGCGGCAAAGAGUGGGAAGUGGCUGGACGAAUUUUCUGAAUUAUGGAGAGGGUGAUGUUCGGCCAAAGGAUGUAAAACACAUAUAUAUAGGCACCUAAAACCCUAAAGAAAUCAGGUUAGACAAUGGGCUAGGGCUUAGGUGCGGCUAGGGUUAGAAAAUCCACAAGGAAUUAGGGUUUACAAUCAGAUUUUUGCAUGGGAAAAGGCCUAGGGUGCGGCUUGGGCUUAGGGUAGAUAGAUUAGGGUUUAACUUGGCAGAAUUUAAAUGAUUAGGCCCUAGGGUGUGGCUGAUUAAAUGGGCUAGGAUUAGGGUUAAGGUGCGGCAUAGGUCAAGAAGUGAGGAUGGGUCAUCCAAAAGCCCAAAGCCGAGAAUAGAAACUCACGAAAAUGGAAACCUCCAAGAAUAGAAACUUCCAACUUUAGAAACUUUGGUUGCCAAUUCCGAUUUAGGAAAGAUCAACCCAAAAUGGAAACUUUUAGGCUUAGCUUUCCUACUUCAAGUAGGAAACCUCAAAUCUUCAACUCUUCAAUUCCAUCCCAUCAUUGUGUUCCAAGCAUGUCCUUUUCAAUUCAAGCUCACAUUUUGCUCCAAAAGCUCCAACUUGCAUCAUUUCAUGUAAUAUGUCCUUUAAACCUGAAAACACAUGAAAGUAGCUUAAAAGACUACUUUAACGAAGAAAACAUAACAAAGAUGCAUAAGAACUAGCUAACUAAGGCGCAUAAAUAUGCUCCUAUCAGUGGAGUCAAGCCCGAUAUGUGGUGGGGGGCCUGGGACGGGAUGUGACAAUUUGGUAUCCGAGCCAAUCCCUGGCCAAAUGUGUCCCGACGAGGAUGUCGGGCCCUAAGGGGGGUGGAUCGUAACAUCCCACAUCGCCCAGAGUAGUGGAUCCUCUAUACCUUAUAUGUAUAUUCACAUCUCUACCUAGCAUGAAGCCUUUUGGGAGCUCACUGGCUUUGGAUUCCAUCGAAACUCCGAAGUUAAGCGAGUUCGGGAUAUGACAAGACAAGACUGGGAAGAAGCCCACCAAGGAAGCUUUUAUCGUAAACACUACCCCUGUCAAGACCUUCCUUGUGCUUGUUAAGAUCUCUUCCAAGAACAAAGCAAAAGAGAUAAAAAAAAGGAACUUUCUCUCACCUAAGAUAGGCACAAAAACACUUUGAGGGAGAUGGAGCAAAAGCCGUAUCCUGUUUCAGACUCUAACAUGGCCGCAAUGCUAGACAAUGCUAGACGUAUCUUGUUUUGAACUUGACCAUGAAAACACGACUGUAACACACACUACUACGAUUAUGUUUGGUCCUUCGAUCACGUGCCUCUCCAAGUGAUGCAUGCCCACUCACACGCCUGAAGAAAGCUUGGCAUCAUACUUUAGCAUUGAAAAGGCACUGCAAUUUCCCAAAGAGAUACGAAGAUCACUAAUAGCGGUCUUGGCGAGUCCUAAUGUCUACGAAGCGCAAGAAAGCAAUGAUGAAAGCUUGAAGCUUCGACCACACGAAUAUGCCACAUGCUGUGCCACCCAUGACACAAUCAACUUCAUUGACGAAGACCUGCUGCUGCAAUCAAAGGCUUACAACCAUCAUCUCUUUGUCUCUGGAUACAUAAGGGAGCACAAAAUCAACCGUAUGCUUGUGGAUAGAGGAUCAGCCAUAAACAUCAUGCCAAAGUCAACAAUGACUACAAUUAGCAUCAAGGUGGAUGAACUAUCUCAGAGCCACCUCUUAAUCCAAGGGUUUAACCAAAGAAGACAAAGAGCGAUAUGCAUGGUCCGCGUGAAGAUAACCAUUGGCGAACUCAAAUCAAGCAUGCUAUUCCACGUGAUUGAUGCGAGAACUUCCUACAACUUGCUCUUGGGAAGCCUUGGAUCCAUGAGAAUGGAGUGGUGCCGUCCACCCUCCACCAAUGCUUAAAAUACUACUGAGAAUGAGUGAAGGUGAUAUAAGGCGACACUAAGACAUUCACCGAAGUCGAAUCACACUUCACGGAUGCCAAGUUCUACAUGGAUGAAGAUACGGAGCCUGAAGCUUUUCCAAAAGAGAUUAAGCCCACAUGCAAAGCUGCACCCAAAAAGAAUUAGUGGCAAGUCGUGCCUAAAAAGCAAGAAGAGAAAUCUGUGCCAUCUUCAAGCAAAAAUGACGAUGAGCUUGCUAAGCCCGCAACAACCAAAGAGAAUGUGACACCCUCAAAAGGAUCAAACAUACCCGUCUUCCGAUACACCUCAAUGUCGAGAAUAAAGUGUGGGCAAUCCCAGUUCGAAACAAGCAAAGUCGACACGCAGCUACACAAGGACGACAUAAAGCUGCUCAAGGCAAAUACAAUUUUACCUCUGACACAACUAGGUAAUGGUAAAAUCUCAAAGCCACUGCAAGGCUUCGUAUAACCCUUGCCAAAAGGGAUGGAAUCAAUCUCUCUUCCAACGAAGAAGACCGAAGAAGGCUUUGACCUAAACGCCUACAAACUCAUGUCAAAACCUGGGUACGAUUUCACUUCCUUUCCAAAUCUCAGAAAGAAGAAUGCAAACACCGUUAACGACAAAGAAUGUGACCUCACCGAGACUCAAAAAAGAUUGAAGAAGCAUGGUUAUAGAGUUGACAACAACAAAGCUGGACGUGGCUUCACACCAAAUACACCUGUGAAGAUUUCAAGAAAAGUGAAAAACGUUAGCGCUCAACACAUCAGCGUAAGUUUGACAAAAUCAAGAGGAGCCUAAACCUACCUCUCGAACAUCAGUCUUUGAUAGGUUGAAUCGUUCAAAACCUAGAGUUUUGACACUUGAUUCCAUUGGAGGUCAAGAACGAACUUCCGUCUUCAAACGACUUAACACGCUAACACCCAAAAGCUCUGUCUUCGAAAGGUUGUCAAAACCUAAGAAACAAAACAACACGGCUAGCUCUCCUCCGCGGAGGUUUGCCUUGGAAAGACUUGUAUAGACCAAAAAGACUUCUAGAAAGAGGAAAACAAUGCCAAAGGAAGAAAAGCUCGACAGUCUAGCAGGAAAUGACGACACUCGUAACUCGAUUCCUUCAAGGAUGAAACGCCAAACAACCUUAGAAACGGACAUAAAAGGACAACUGAAGGUAAAGAAACGCACCAUCAUCUACACUGGCCAAUCUUCACGCCUACAAGCCCAAGUGGACGACACUGAAGAGGAGGACCAAGAUGUUUUCCACAUCACAAUCCAAGAGGAUGAAGCAGAAAAAGUUCUCAAGGAGGAUGUCACUGAUGUACCACCACAACUCGAAGACGGGGGACAAGCCACGAUUAAUGAUCUCAAAUAGCUCAACCUAGGCACAAGCAAGGAGCCAAAGCCUAUUUUUGUAAGUGCACUACUAAGCAUAGAUGAGAUCGAGGAGUACUACAAACUACUUUUGGAGUACAAAGACAUAUUUUCUUGGACCUACAAGGAAAUGCCCAGCCUUGACUCUACCAUUGCCAUGCAUCGUCUAGCAGUCAAGCCUGGAACACGACCAAUAAAGCAAACUAAAAGACGCUAUCGAUCUAAACUCAUCCCAUAAAUUGAGGCGGAGAUUGACAAGCUAAUCGAAGCAGGCUUCAUUCGAUAGGUCCAAUACCCUAAGUGGAUCUUUAACAUCAUCAUUGUCCUUAAAAAAUCUGGACAAAUACGUGUUUGUGUACACUUCCGAGAGCUUAACAACGCUUGCCUAAAUGAUGACUUUCCCUUGCCAAUCAUUUAAAUCAUGACUUUCCGAGAGCCACAUAUCAACGUGCCAUGCAAAAGAUCUUAAAUGACAUGCUACAUGAAAACGUUGAAUGUUACAUAGAUGACAUAGUUGCCAAGACCAAGAAGAUAUCCGAUCACUUGAAGGAUUUACAAAUGGUGUUCGACAAACUACAGCACCACAACCUCAAGAUAAACCCAUUAAAAUGUGCAUUUGGCGUCACCUCUGGGAAAUUCUUCGGCUUUAUUGUCAAGCAUCGUGGCAUUGAAGUGGACUAGUCAAAGAUUAAGGCCAUUCCAAGCAUGCCCAAGCCAAGGAAUCUACACAAGCUGAAAAGUCUACAAGGACGGCUUGCCUUCAUAAGACGCUUCAUCUCCAACCUCGCCGGACGUUGUUAACCCUUCAGUUGACUUAUGAAGAAGGACGUUCCAUUCGUAUGGGAUGACACAUGCUGCAAUGCCUUUGAAAGCAAAAAAAUGUACCUAGUAAGCCCACCUGUCUUAGGAGCUCCCAUGCUUGGAAAGCCGUUCAUCUUGUACAUUGUUGCACAAGAAGGUUCCAUUGGAGCACUCUUAGCGCAAGAAAAUGAAGAUCAAAAGGAAAAAGCACUCUACUACCUAAGUAGAACCCUUACUGGGGCCGAACUCAAUGAUAGGAGCAUGUUUAUGCGACUUAGUUAGCUUGUUCUUGUGCAUUUGUGUUGUUAUUUCUUAGUUAAUUAUGUAUUUUAAGCUAUUUUCGUGUGUUUGUAGGUUCAAAUAACAAAGUUGGCAACAAAGUGCUAUUUUGAGCACUUUGGAGCAUUUUUGUGCCAAGAUUGGAUAGUGCAAGCAUGGAGACAUGAGGAUGGAUGUUUUCGAAGAUUAGAAGGCUAGAAAUCAGCAUGUGUGUGUGCAAGUGUGUUGACCUACAACUACAAACACCCAUCCACUACACCCAUUACAUCCACUCAUUACCAAACAUCCAUCCACUACACCCACAACCCACUCAUUACCAAACAUCCAUCCACUACACCCAUUACAUCUACUCAUUACCAAACACUCAUCCACUACACCCAUUACAUCCACUCAUUACCAAACACUCAUCCACUACACCCAUUACAUCCACUCAUUACCAUAACACUCACCCACUACACCCAUUACAUCCACUCAUUACCACAACAUACACCACUACCACCUUAAUUAGAUGAUGGUCCUCUCCCUAGCCUAUAAAUACAUCCACCCUUCACCAUAACAAAAGGAGGAGAAAAGAUCCAUCAAAAGACACUACAUUCACAUCUCACAACUCCAUACACGUACACUUUCAUUCCUUGGCCGGGAGAACACAAUCCACCCAUCCACCCUUCACCAUAACUCACCUAUAUCCAUCCACCACCAUAAUUUACCACUCAUCCAUCAAACCACACCUUGUGCCGUAACAAAGAGAAGAAGGAGGACCCUUGGAUGUGCUUGCCAUUCAAGUUGGAUUGUUGGAGCAUUUUUAGGUGUUUUCAUUCUUUUGUUUUCAAUUUCUAAAUUUGUUUAUCUUUGCUUUGUGAGUAUGAGGAACUAAACUCCCCUUAGGCAGGGGGGAAUUCGAAACCAUGUUCAUGCUUGCAAUAUGAUUUGAUUACCUUCAGUUGUGAUUUCAUAAGUUGUGAAUUCAAUUUGUUUAACUGCUUGAUUGAUAACUUAUUCGUGUAUGUUUAUUAAGAGUGCACACUUAGUUUGCAUGCAUGAAUAUGAUGCUAGAGUAUAAGGGAGUUUCACCUAAUAGUUACAAACUUAUAUUCACAAGUAGUGGAGGUCGCUUAUAAACGAUCGCGUUAAAUAAAUUCUUGGCAGAAGUUUCAUGCUCGUCAUAGUAACGAAUGCCUCGUCAAUACUUCUAGUUUUCAUAAUGCUUAAUGAUCUUUGAUUGUAUCUUUAUUGUGUUGUUCACGUAAAGAACUUUUGAAGAAUGUUUGAAUUGUUGUAUGCGUUUUCCCAUCCAAUUCAAUAACUUAAAGAGAACUUGAAGGUUAAUUUAAGCGGACUUAAUUAACCUGGGGUGUUGAGUUUCAUGAUUGAUCAAAAGAACAACUGAAAAUUGGUUUAUGUGCAAGUAUGUCAUGUGUGGAGAAGAACCUCCUAGCUAGCCUUCCAUCAUUUCAAUUUACUUAAAUUCGUGCAGAUUUCAUUAGUUCUUUAAUUUACUUGUUUUGUUUUCAAAUUCGUCAAAACCAAAACCCCCUUUACUUUAAAGUGUUUUAUUAGUCAAAAUCUGUUUUGAUUUGUGUUUUUAGAUGUCCCAAAAGUGUGUUAGAGUCCAAAUUUGCCCAGUUUGUGUUUUUCGGCAGAUUUGAGCGUUUUUAGCUUGUUCUGAGUCCUUUGAGUUUGUUUUAAGUUCUUUGAGUCUAGUUUAGUAUUUUUAACUUUGUUUAUAUGUUUUUAAGUCAGUUUAGAGGUUUUAGCAAGCCCUCCUAAUCCCCGGUUUAGAACGAUCCCUACUUGCAUUUAUACUACAAUUUGACAACAAGAGGGUUUAAUUUGUGUGUUAAGAUAAUUUUCGCAUCACUCAACUACACCCUAAUCGAGAAAAUGUGCCUUGCCUUAUUCUUUGCUAUCCAAAAGCUUAGACACUACAUGCAUGCUUACACCAUCCACUUGGUUGCUAAAGCUAACCCAGCCAAAUAUGUCAUGCCGAAGCCAGUUUUGACAGGGCGACUAGCAAAAUGGGCAUUGUUUCUCAAUCAAUACGAGAUCAUCUAAAAUCCUGCUAAAGCCAUCAAGGGGUAAGUGCUAGCAAACUUCCUUGCCGAUCAUCAAAUCCCAGCCGAUUGGAAAAUCUUAGAUGACUUGCCUGACAAGGAGGUGUUCUACGUCAACAUCUUCUCGACAUGGACAAUGUUCUUCGAGUGAUCCGGACGAGCAAAUGGAGUGGGGGCAAGAGUAGUAUUUAUGUCACCAUAAAGACAAAUACUACCAUAUUCCUUCAAGAUAAGGGAGCUAUGCUCCAACAACGUCGUUGAAUACCAAGCGCUAAUUAUCGAACUCUAAAUGGUGGACAUGGAAAUCACAACACUAGAAGUGUAUGGUGACUCUAAGCUCAUAAUCAAUCAACUAUUGACUGAACAUGAAGUGUGGAACUCGUCCCGUACUUCAUGCUAGCAACUGAACUGCUUCGAAAGUUUGAGGCCAUAACGCUAGAACAUGUGCCAAGAAAAGAAAAUCAAAUGGCAGACAAUUUCGCUAACUUAGCCUCAAGUAUAACGCUAGGAGAAGACAAAGCUACAGACGUGCCAGUUUGUCAAAGAUGGAUGAUCCCGCCCGUCACUAAAAUGAUACUGGAUGAUAUAAACAUUAUUUCAAUACUUCUAGUCGAUAGUGAAGAGUGGACAUUGCCGCUGAUCAACUACUUGGAGCAUGGAAAGCUUCCGGACGAUCCUAGACACCAUUCUGAAAUACGUUGACAAGCACCUUGCUUCCUCUACUAUAAAGGAACACUCCACCGACACUCUUUUGAAGGAGUACUUUUAAGAUGCUUAGGUGAGGAAAAAGUUAAUCAAGCCAUGGAAAAAGCACACUCAGGCAUAUGCGGAGCGCAUCAAUCUGGACUAAAGUUGCAUUUCCAGCUUAAAAGGAUGGGCUACUACUAGCCAAGUAUGGUGAAGGAUUACUUGGAAAAUGCCAAAAGGUGCCAAGCUUGCCAAUUCCACGCCAACUUUAUACCUUAACCACAUGAGUCAUUACACCCUGCGAUUGCUUCAUGGCCAUUUAAUGCAUGGGGAUUGGAUGUCGUAGGACCAAUCACACCAAAGUCAUAUGCCAGAAAAGCCUACAUCCUAGCUGCAACAGACUACUUCUCCAAGUGGGCUGAAGUCAUACCCCUAAGGGAAGUUAAGAAGGAAACUAUCAUCUGUUUCAUCAUAGAGCAUAUCAUCUAUCAAUAUGGUGUGCAUCGCUACAUCAUCACCGACAAUGAAAAAUAGUUCUCUAACCGACUCGUGGAUGAGCUCUGCGAGAAAUACAAGUUCAUGAGGAUAACAAAACACUAUGCGAGCCAACGGUCUUGCAGAAACAUUCAACAAAACACUAAGCAACCUCCUAAAGAAUGUGAUCGGCCGAACAAAGAAAGACUGGCACGAAAGAAUAAGUGAAGCACUUUGGGCAUGUAGGACAACAUAUAGGACUCUUACGCAAGUUAUGCCUUAUUCUCUUGUAUAUAGCAUGGAAAUUGUUUUGCCACUCGAAAAUUAAAUCCCCUCACUAAUGAUGGCAAUACAAAAAGGCUUGACUGAAAAGGAAAACGCAAAAUUGCGACUUCAAUAGUUAGAAGCACUCAAUGAAAUGAGGCUUGAACCUCAACAACACCUGCAAUGCUACCAAGCACGGCUAUCUAAGGCAUUCAACAAGAAGGUUUGCCUAAGGUCUUUCCAAACUGGAGAUCUUACCUUGGCAUUACGAAAACCCAUCAUCACAACUCACAAAAUAAAAAGUAAAUUCCCAUCAAAGUGGGAUGGACCUUACGUAAUACAAGAGGUUUACACCAACGAUCCCUACUUAAUCAUGGCGGAAGAAGGCUUGAAAAUAGACCCCAUCAACGCAUGAUUCUUAAAGCGUUACUAUCCUUAAACCAAAAACAAGCAAUGCUCCUCGCCUGUAUAAGCCUAAACUGCACAUGGCACAAUGCUCCUUGUUCACACGAGCUUAAAAGGUGACACUCGACGCUCCUUGUUCGCACAAGCUUAAAAGGUGACACUCGACGCUCCUUGUUCCCACAAGGUUUAAAAGGUGACAGUCAACGCUCCUGGCCCAUAAGAGCAUAAAAUGUGUAUGACUUAACAAAAACAAAACAAAAAAAUCACCAUCAAAAUCGCCAAAACCCAUCACUUCCUUGAACUACGUCAUCACUUGAUCCCUCCUUAACCGAGGAUAUGUAGGCAACUUGAAACUUCAAAAACUCAAGUACAGUCACAUCAUCAACAAAAACACAAACACUUUGAAGAAUAAAGAGCAAAUUCAAGAAUGUGAAUACUUUAUUUCUUUAAAGAAAGAAUUCAGCUACAAAGCUAUAUUACAAAAUGAGUAAAAAACAAAGACGACUUCUCCAGUAGUCAACAAGGUGCUAUUCUAAGUUAUAGCUCCAUUACGGAUGCGAUCGCCAGGAAACUCAAACUAAGCCGGUGGAUUGUCACGAACAUGUUGUGAAAGAUUCAAAAUAAGAAUCCUCGACGUGCAAGCCUUCUUUUUCAUAUUCGGACGACCAAAAUCUGUCACCUUCUAAGACACUUCAGAAGACCACGACUUGAUAUUCAUCAAGUUGUCUUUUGCAGGAAGAACAAGCACCUUAAGGCCAGUCAACGGCACACUAUAGUAGCAAAGAAAACCAAAAACCACGUAAUCGCACUACAUGAUGGUCCUUCAAAGCGUGUUAUAGUAGCAAAGAAAACCAAAAUGCCAAGUAAUUACACUAUGCAACCCCGCAGCGAUUACGCAAGCAGUUUCUUGCACUACACAACAAUGUCACCACCGAGGAAAGCUAUGACCAAAGGGCACUACACAACAUAAACUUGCUGUAGUCUUUUGCAUAGCCCCACAUGGUAAAAGUGAUGCAUUGCAACAAGCUUCAAGUAGCUACAACUCGCACCAAAGCAGCAAAAAGGGCAGGGCAAUGUCAAUACCAAGGGAAUACUGUGACCAAAAGGCACUACAAAACAUAAACAUGCUGCAGUCUUUUGCACAGCACCAAGUGGUAAACAACGACACACUGCAACAAGCUCUAAGCAGUAGUAACAAGCAAAACCUACGGUAAAAGCUCAAAGCAAGCCCACGGCAAGAAUUGUGUGUUGUGAAAAAAAUGCACACCCAAUUAUCCUAUAAAUAUGGGUCAAUUGCUUCCUAAUGCUAUAAGGGAAAUACAUACCCAAAUAGAAAAAGCAAAAAUCAAAACAAGGAAGCACAUUCCAACCAAAAAGAAGGAAGCAAAUAAAAAAAAAGGGGUAAGUUUCAGCCAAUCUGCGUAAGCAGGACGUUUUUGGUGAUAAUUCAACUUUCCAAAGGAGUUUUGAUGCAAGGGCAAUUGGAGAAGGAAGCUAAGUGGCUGAUGAUCAUUAUAUACAAAUUUCAUAAUUUUCCCUAAAGCCAAGCCAAACGUCCUAGUUUUCAAAGUUAUUCCCGCAGAAGUUGUUUCUGUCAGGACUAUGCAGCUGUAAGAAACUGCAAAGUUGAAGGCUUUCCUGAUUUUUCCUAGUGGCAUGCGAUAUAUGCCUGAAACGAUAAGGGAUAAGGCUACGUUUCCUAUAUUUUUACAAUUUUUUUCCGAAGAGAAAUCAACCUUGAACUGGGCGUGCAAGUCAGAUGACAUGUUUCCCCAAAAAAAAAAAGGAAAGGAAAAAUACCUCCUUGCCAUGGGGAAUCAAAAGAAACAAACAAUACCCCUCCUUGCUAUAGGAAAUCAAAAGGGGAAAGAAAAACUCCUUUCUUGCCAUGGGAAUAAAAAAGAGGAAAGAAAGUUGUCCUUCUAGCCAUGGAAAUCAAAACAAGAAACAAACAAAUAUCCUCCUUGUCGUGGGGAAUCAAAAGGGGAAAGGACAAAACACCCUCCUUGCUGCAGGAAAUCAAAAGGGGAAAGAAAAACUCCUCCUUGCUGUGGGAAAAGAAAAAAAAGGAAAGUGAAAAAAAUGCACAUCCUACUUACUUUUCCAAAACCUUGAAGGAAGUAACAAAACUUUAUUUGGAGAGUUAUUAAUCUUUGAUUUUUUGUUUUCUUAAGUCAUUGCAUGAUCUCAUUAUUCUUUGCUUGGUUGCUACUUAGAAUGCGUUUUAUCACUUUAGUUCUAAAUAUUAGAACUCAUGCCCGUUUCAUUCAAAGCUUAAAAUUGAGUGCAUAACAUAUAACAAGAUGAAGUUGUUUAGUAGUUACCACCAGAGCCAAAAAGCCUUCACCCCAUGCAUUUGUUUUGUAGGUUUAACCCCUUUGAGCCUUAUUUAGCCUAUUUUCUUUGUUAGCUACAUUACCCCCGACCUAGCCUAGAAUAGGACUAUCCAUACCCUUGGUCUUAAAGUAUAGUGGAGCAUGACUUAGAGGGAAUUCAUUUUGAUCAAACAUAUUGCAGAUAUCAAGUGUGGGGGAAGGUUAUGUACAGGGGUAGAAAGAAAACAAAAAGAGAAGAAAAAAAGAGAAAAAAAAUGUGAAAAAGAAAAAAAGAAAAAAAAUUUGUGAAAUAAGUGAGAAUGAGCUCACAAGGAUUGGUUGUUGAAGAAAGGGUCCAAAAAGUUUGAAUAUGACCCUAAGUAUGUACGAAAUCCCCUUAGUGUUUCAAGUUAUUUGCUGCAUUCAAGAGUGAAUUCUAAGUUGAUUUCAUUGCUUUGCUUACUAUUGCUUUAAGAACCUUUGUUUAUCCUUACCUUUCCUUGUUAGCCAAUACCCUUAGCCCCAUUACAACUCAUAGACUUUAAUCUUGGUUGUUGUGUGUUUCAAUAUGUGGAGUUUGGGAUUGGUAUAAGCAUAUGGUAUCCCUGGUUUUCGCAUCUAAGUAGUGGCAUUCCAUUCAUGAGAUCAUAUUUAUACAUGCAUUAAUAAUUCCAGAAAGUGCCUUCUUUGAUUAUAACAUAUGUGAGUGCUAGUCUACAUGUUUACAUUAAUCUUCUCACAUAUACCUAGUAUAGGGAGUAUAGUCAAAAGAUCUGUGUGAAAAUAGAGUGUAUAUCCGGUGAGGAAAUUGAGGGAAUUCUCUAAGGCAUGUUACUACAUUCAAAAUGUUGUUUUAAGGAUAGCUAAAAUCUAUGUGAGUAGUGAUUUUUAAUAUGUCAUGUGUCAUUGGAAAUCCCUGAGGCGAAUGUUGGAAGGUCUAGGUAUUGUUUUGUUUAUUUUGUUUUGCUCGAGGACUAGCAAAAGCUAAGUGUGGGGGAAUUUGAUAGGAGCAUAUUUAUGCAAUUUAGUUAGCUUGAUUCUUGCAUUUUCAUAAUUAGUUUGUGCUUAUUUUAGUGUUUUAAGCUAUUUUCAUGUGUUUGUAGGUCCCAAUGACAAAGUUGGCAAUAAAGUGCAAAUUGGAGCAUUUUGAAGCAGUUUUGGGCACCAAAUGGAUAGCAUAUGAAUGUAGCAAGAUGGAUGGAUGAAUUUGAAGUUCAAGAUGCUAGGAAUGUGCUGAAAAUAUGAAGAAAAUAAAUCCAAGACAAAGAAGAUAAGGAAUCAACACAAAAGAAGGAAUAUUAUCCAAAACCUUAUCCAACCUUAUCUUAUCUUAUCUUAUCCUAAUCCUAUCCUACCUUAAUUCCAGCUGCAAGGGGGGAUUAUUUUCAGACUUGGACACAUAAAAAUAUGACUCUAGAAGCCUUAUCUCAUCUCCUACAAAAAUGGCACCUCAUUCCUUCUUGAACCCCUAUUUAGGUGCCGCAUCCUUUAAGCUCUUCUAGAAGCUCUAGAACCUGCAACCCUAAUCCUUUUCCCUCUUGAAUUAGGUCAAAUUUAUCCUUUUCCUUGCAGGAAUUUGUGCCGCACUUUUCUAACCUAAUUCCCCUUGGUUUCUAAUUGUUUUAACCCAUUCCACUUAGGUUUUGGUUACAUAAUCUUAUUCCUAUUCAGCCAUGCCGUGCCUAGCCCUAUAUAUACACAUCUAUGCGCCUAUUUUAGAACCACCACCCUCUACCAUAUUCUUCUACACCACACACCCAUAUAUUCAUAUACAAUUAAGAGAGAAUGAGCCCUUUGCCAUGCCUUAUCAUUCACAUUGGAUUGUCGAAGCGUUCUUAGUUGUUUUCUAUCUUUUACUUUUAAUGUCUAAUUUAAUGUUAUCUUCAGUUUCUAAAGACAUGUGGAACUACUUUCUUAUAGUUAGAGGUGAAUUUGAAGCCAUGAUUAUAUGCUUUAUAUGAAUUGAUUACAUCCAAUUAUUGUUUCGUGAGUCUUGAAUGUGAUUUGCUUAUCUGAGUUAUUAAAACUUGUUUAUGUAUGUUGAUUGAGGGUCGACACUUAGUUUGCAUGCAUGAAUUUGAUGCUAGAGUAUAAGGGAGUUUCACCUAAUCGUUAUGAACUUAUAGUUACAAGUAGUGGAGGUCACUAGUCACGAUCGUGUUAAGUGAAUCCUUGGCAGGAGUAUCAUGCUUUUCAUAGUUACAAAUGCCUCGUCAAUGCUUAUGGUUUUCAAAGAACUUAAUAACCUUUGAUAUGUUUUCUAUCAUGCUUUUCAUAGUUAGGGAACUUGAGAAGGAUAAUUUGGUUGUGAUGCGUAUCCCCUCCAAUUCAAUGAAAUAAGAAAAAUUUGAUGGUUAAUUUGUGCUGUCACGGUUAACUUGGGGUGUUGUCAUUCAUGGUUUAAAGGAACAAUACUGGAAAUUGGUUCGUAUGUAUAUGUCAUGCGUGGAGAAGGACCGUCUAACUAGCCUUUCACUUUUUUUUAAUUCACCAAUUUCGUUUUCUUAAAGUGUUUUAUGCAAAGUUUCUGUUUUAAGUUUUAAAUUCUUCAAAAACAAUCCCCUUUUCAUUAAGUCUUGUUAGUUGAGUCAUAAUCUGUUUUCUUUUAGUCUUUUGAGUCAAGUUAAGUUUUAUUUUCGUCCAAUUCACUUGUUAGGUCUAGAAUUGAGUCUUUCUUAUUGUUUGUUGCUGUUUUGAGUGUUUUGAGUUAGUUUUGAGUCUAUAGAGUCUAGUUUAGUGUUUUUGAGUCUUAUUUGUGUUGAUUAGCAUCCCUAAUUAAUUCCCGAUCUAGAACGAUCAAUACUUACAUCUUUACUACAAUUGUCAACAAUAGGGUUUAAUUUCUGUGUCAAGUUAAUUCUCACAUCAAUAACUUAUUGGGUCAUUAUCGGGUGACCCAUUAACAGGUAUACACGAGGGUAACACGUGGGUAACCCGUUUCGACCUGUUAAGAAAAAAUUUAUUUUGAUAAUUUUAAAGUUUAAUUACUAAAAGAUUUAUUAUAAAAUACAAUAGCCAUAUUAAUAUAUACAAUAUAUUCUAUAUUAACUAUAUAGUUUUCUAUUAUUAUUCUAUAUAAGUUUAAAAAAAAAGUUUUGGUCAUUAUUUAUUUUUAUUAUGAGAGUUCCUUAAAUGGAUGGAUGGGAGGCUAGCUAAGGGGUUCAUCUCCACACAUGUCACACUUGCAUAUAAAAUGAUCUCUAAUUGCUUUUCAAUAAACCAUGAAUUCCCAACGCCUCAAGUUAAUUAGGUCCGCUUAAAUUAACCUUCAGAUUUUCCUAAUGUUAUUGAAUUGGAUGAUUGCAUACGACAACCCAAAGCAUUCCCCACAAGUCCCCUACAUGAUUGCAUAAUAGAGAUACAAGCAAGAAUCAUUAAGUUCUAUGAAAACCAUAAGCAUUGACGAAGCACUUGUUACUAUGAUUGCAUGAAACUUAUGCCAAGAAUUUACUUAACGCGAUUGAGAUCAUCAACCUUUACUACUUGUGAAUAUAAGUUCAUAACGAUUAGGUGAAAUUCCCUUAUAUUCUAGCAUCAAAUUCAUGCAUGCAAAUUAAGUGUCGACCCUCAACUAACAUACACAAAUCAGUUUUAAUUCUUGUAGAUGAGCAAAUUGAAUUCACAACUUAUGAAACGCAAUUAGAAGUAAUCAAAUCAUAUAGCAAGCAUAAACAUGGUUUUGAAUCCCCCCCUAGCCAAGGGGGGGUUUAGUUCCUCAUAUGCACAAAACAAAGAGUAUAGAAUUUAAACAUUGAAAUAAAAGGAAAGGAAACACCUAGAAAUUCCACAACUUAAACUUGAAUGGCAUGAACUUCCAAGCUUCCUUCUCCUCCUCCUUGGUGCGGCAAAGGGUCUAUGGUCAGGUUUAGGGAUUUAGGUGUAUGGGUGAAUGGGUAUGGACUAGGGUAGAGGUGUUUAGGAAGGAUGGGGGGUGCGGCAAAGCUUAAAAACUAGGGAGAAAGGUGUUUGGUGGCUGCGGCAAGAGUGUGGAGAGGGUUGGACGAAUUUCUGGAGUGAAUUGUGAAUUGUGCUGAGUGGUGUCAAUGAAUGGGUGCGGCACCAUGUAUUUAUAGAGUCCUAAAAGUCUAGCAAAUCAGAUUAGGACUUGGAGGAUUAAAUCCCAUCAGGAAAGGGCUAAAACAAUCAGAUUUUGGGUAGGAAAGGUCCUCCUAGGUGCGGCAGGAAUGGAUUAGAAGGAUAAGGCUUCUAGAUGGCCUUGCAAGGCAAGGAAAUCAGGUUUCUAGAAGGCCUAGGGUGCGGCACUAAGGGAUAAGGAUAAGGUUUAGGUGUCCUAAAUGGAUAAGGUGCCCUAAAUGGAUAAGGACUCCUCAUUUCACUUGGAAACUUUGCCUAUUAGGAUUAGGAAACCAUGUCUUUGUCUUUCCUUCUUCAUCUUGGAAUCCUUUUCCUUCUUGGACUUGGAAAACUUCUUUGUUGCUUCUCUUGAGACCAUUUGGAUUUUGACUUUCCUACUCCAAGUAGGAAACUUUGUUUGAGUAGGAAUCUUUAUCUUCUAGGAAUCCCAAUUUCACUAGGAAACCUAUUUCAACUAGGAAUCCUAAUUCAACUAGGAUUCCAUCUUCAAUUAGGGACUUUCCUACUUCGACUAUGAAACCUUGUUCAAGUAGGGAACAUCAUCUUCAAAUCUUCAGUUUCGUCCAUCCUCAUGGCUCCAAGCAUAUGAUCUUCAUUCCAAGCUCUAAUUUGCUCCAACAAGCUCCAAAAUGCACCCUUUUGCAUACUUUGCCCUUAAAACCUGAAAACACAUAAAACUAGCUUAACGGACUACUUUAACUAAGGAAAAACAAUGUAAAUGUACAAGAAGAAGCUAACUAAGGCGCAUAAAUAUGCUCCUAUCAAUGUCAUGUAGGGAACUUUUGCAGAAUGUUUUGGGUUGUCGAAUGAUGUCAUCCAAUCCAAUAAAACAAGGAAAAUCUGAAGGUUAACUAGUGAUGUCAUAGUUAAUUUAGGGCAUUGUCAUUCAUAAUUCAAUGAAGUAGUAACUGGAAAUCGAGUUGUUUGCAUACAUGUCAUGUGUGGAGAAAAAGCCUCUAGCUAUCCCAUCCAUCAUCUUAUUUCUCAAAUUUGUUUUACAAUCUGUCUAGUUUUUCAUACUUGUUUCUUUGUUUCAACUUCAUCCUAAUCAAAACCCUCCCUUUUAGUUUCUUGUUUCUAAGUGUUUCAAAUCUAUUUUAGUUUGUGUUUUUAAGUGUUUUGAUUCAAGUAAAAGUCAAUUUUUGUCCAAAGUCAUUCCUAGUGUCUAGUUUAAGUUUAUUUAGUUGUUUUAAGCUGUUUUGAGUAUUUUAAGUUUUCUUUAAGUCUUGUGAGUCUUGUUAAGUGUUUUUAAGUUUAGUUUUAUGUUUUUGAGUCAGUUUAGAGGUUAUUAGCAAGCCCUCCUAAUCCUCGGUCCAGAACGAUCCCUACUUAUACUUAUACUACAAUUGUCAAAAGAGGGUUAAAUUUGUUUGUUAAGUUAAUUUUCGCAUCAAGUUUUUGGUGCUGUUGCCGGGGAUUAGCAAUUUUGCUAAUCCCUUGUUAUUUCUUUUUGUAUAUUUUCAUGUGUUUUUGUUCCUAGUUGCUAACUUUACUUGUUUUCUUGUUUUAGGUGGUUUAUGACUCGAAGUUCUCAGCUUGUUCAUAAGCACAUCAUUGACUUUGACGACGAUUUUGAACGAACUUUGAGACGAGCAAGGAAUCAACAAGAACCCAACCAUCUCAACCUGCACCAGAUCUUGAAGAAGACAAAGUAGAAGAGCAAGAGGAGACCACAACAAGGACUUUUGAAGAAGUCCAAGAUAUGGCAGUGGACAAUUGAAAUAAUCAAGGAGCUUUCCGCUUCGGGAUUGGACAAUGCUCUGCCUUUAUGCAUUCAAUAUCCAAGGGCGGACCAAAACAAGACCGAUGAGUUCGAAUUAAAGUCCAGUUUAUUGCACCAUAUUCCUAAGUUCCAUGGGUUGUCCAUGGAAGAUCCUAAUAAACAUUUGAAGGAGUUCGAGGUUGUUUGUUCAAGCAUGACCCCUAUGAAUAUUGAUGGGAGCACUCUGAAAAUGAAGGUUUUUCCCUUUUCUCUCUUGGAAAAGGUUAAAGAUUGGUUGUAUGAGCUAGCCCCCGGAGCUGUCACAUCAUGGGAGAGUAUGAAACGGGCAUUUUUGGAGAAGUUUUUCCUAACUUCUCGAGUCAUUCUACUACGCAAAAGGAUUAGUGGCAUUCAGCAAAACCAAGUUGAAUAUUUUCCCACUUACGAUAAGCGUUUUAAAACCCUUGUUGCUUCAUGUCCACAGCACCAAAUGAAGGAGGAGCUUCUUCUUCUUCAAUAUUUCUACGAAUGGCUUCUACCAAUUGAACGCCAAAUGCUAGACUCCUCAGCGGGAGGAGCUUUGGUGGACAAAACACCUAUGGCUGCCAAGACCUUAAUUGCUAACCGAGCAUUGAAUGCUCAACAAUAUGAAGGCAUUGGUCAAAGAGACAACCCACGACAGCAAUGAGUUAAUGAGGUAAGUGCUAUUUCCGAACUUCAAAAUCAAAUGGCUAAUCUUACUACUCUUCUUUCACAGGUGGUUGAAAUAACAAAAGAACAAAGUGUAGCUGCUUGUGGCGUGUGCUCAAUGAAUGAACAUCUGAUAGAAGCAUAUUUAUGCGACUGAGUUAGCUUGUUCUCAUGCAUUUAUGUUGUUAUUUCUUAGUUAAUUAUGUAUUUUAAGCUAUUUUCGUGUGUUUGUAGGUUCAAAGGGUUAAUGUGGCAAAAAAGUGCAUUUUGGAGCGUUUUGGAGCAUUUUUGGGCAUGGAAUGGAUAGCUUAUGCUUGGAGCAAAAGGAAUGGAUGAAAUUUGAAGUUUGUGCAUCAUCCUCUCCCUAUAAAUAACUAUUUUAGCACACUCAUUUCACCCAACACAUUCACCUACCACUACAUCCACUCAUUUCACCUAACACAUCCACUCAUUUCUACCACCCAACGCAUUCACCUACCAUUACAUCCACUCUUUUCAACCACCCAACACAUUCACCUACCACUACAUCCACUCAUUUCACCCAACACAUCCACUCAUUUCUACCACCUAACACAUUCACCUACCACUACAUCCAUUCAUUUCACCCAACACAUUCACCUACCACUACAUCCACUCAUUUCACCCAACACAUCCACUCCUUUCAACCACCCAACACUCCAAGGAAGAGGGCUUCGAAAAAAGUCCCCAAGUAUGCUAAGUUCCUGAAGGAGUUGUGCACUACAAGAAAGAGGGCUUCGAACAAAGAGGUGGUAAGGGUAAGUGAGAAUGUCUCAGCUGUGUUGCAACGAAAAUUACCUCCUAAAUGCAAAGAUCCAGGUAGUUUUACAAUUCCUUGUGUUAUAGGAAAUACUCGCUUUGAAUCUGCCAUGUUAGAUCUAGGUGCAUCAAUAAAUGUCAUGCCUUAUUCAAUUUAUGCAUCUAUGAACUUGGGAGAAUUAAAAAAUGAUGGAGUGAUCAUUCAACUGGCCGAUAGAUCUAAUGCGUAUCCAAAAGGUGUUUUGGAGGAUGUUUUAGUGCAGGCGAAUCACCUAGUCUUUCCGGCAGACUUCUACGUGCUUGAAAUGGAAGACUCGAACCAUUCCUCUCAAUUACCAAUAUUACUUGGCCGACCAUUCAUGAAGACUAUCCGUACAAAGAUAGAUGUAUUCAAGGGAACAUUGACCAUGGAAUUUGAUGGGGAAGUUAUUGAUUUCAAUAUUUCUGAUGCUAUGAGAUAUCCUCAUGAUGGUCACUCUUGUUUCUCUAUUGAUGUGAUUGACUCUUGGGCACAGGAAUUCCUUGAUGAUUUGAGUGAGGAUGCACUUGAAAAGACUCUCACGCAAAGCAUUGGACUAAAAAAUGAAGGGUUAGCACUUAGGCAUGCACACGGCAACAACAAGGAACAUCUUGCCGUGCCUAUUCAAGAAGAAUUGGUGGAGAUGGUUGCUGCCCUAGAGUCAAAUCCAAGGCAUAUUGGUAAGUCUCCUAACCUAAUUUCAAUUCCCAAUUCGACUAACAAGUUGCUUCCUUCUGUAAUCCAACCCCCUUCCUUAGAGCUUAAACCAUUGCCGAGCCAUUUGAAAUAUGUGUUUUUGGGAGAACAAGAGGCGCUGCCCGUCAUCAUUUCUUCUUCACUCACUGCACAAGAGGAGGACAAGUUGGUGAGGGUGCUUCGGGAAUACAGAACUGCCAUUGGGUGGACAUUGGCCUAUAUCAAGGGAAUUAGCCCUACCACUUGCAUGCAUCGAAUACUCUUGGAAGAAGGAGCCAAACCAUCUGGAGAAGCACAACGCCGGCUCAAUCCACCCAUGAUGGACGUUGUGAAGAAGGAAAUCAUCAAGCUACUAGAUUGUGGAGUGAUUUACCCAAUUUCUGGUAGCCAUUGGGUCUCACCGGUCCAAGUUGUUCCUAAGAAGUCCGGAGUCACUGUGGUAAAAAAUGAAGAUAAUGAGCUUGUUCCCACCUGAAUCCAAACCGGAUGGAGAGUUUGUAUUGACUAUCGAAAGCUCAACGCUCGACGACAAGAAAGAAACACUUCCCCAUUUUGCCGCUGCCCUUAUUGAUCUCAAAUGCUGGAAAGGUUAGCCGGUCAUUCAUUUUAAUGUUUUCUUGAUAGCUAUUCAGGUUAUAAUCAGAUUGUGAUAGCUCCUGAUGACCAAGAAAAGACUACCUUCACAUGUCCCUUUGGUACCUUUGCAUAUCAACGUAUGCCAUUUGGGCUAUGCAAUGCACCAGCCACAUUCGAAAGGUGUAUGGUAAGUAUUUUCUCAGAUUUUGUGGAAAAGAUCAGUGAAGUGUUUAUGGAUGACUUUAGCGUCUUUGGUGACUCAUUUGAUGCAUGCUUGAAUAAUCUUACUCUGAUCUUACAACGAUGCAUCAAAACUAAUCUUGUCUUGAAUUGGGAAAAGUGCCAUUUUAUGGUAAAACAAGGUAUAGUUUUGGGGCAUAUCAUAUCAGAAAAAAGGGAUUGAGGUUGAUAAAUCUAAAAUAGAUCUUGUACGUCACUUACUCUCUCCCACUUCGGUGAGGGAGGUUCAUUCUUUUCUUGGCCAUAUAGGAUUUAAUAGGAGAUUCAUCUAGGAUUUCUCAAAAAUUGCCCAACCCUUUUGCCGUUUACUCCAAAAGGAAGUAGCCUUCGAGUUCAACAAGGAGUGUAAGACCACUUUCAAAACCCUCAAGGACAUGUUGACUUCAGCCCCCAUCAUCAUGCCACCAGAUUGGAGCCUUCCAUUUGAGCUAAUGUGUGAUGCAUCCUAUUAUGCCAUUGGUGCUGUUUUAGGCCAAAGGAGGAACAAACAACCCCACGUCCACUACGUUUCCCGGACCCUGAAUGAUGCUCAAUUUAAUUAUUCUACCACUGAGAAAGAACUUCUUACAGUUGUAUUUGCUUUAGAUAAAUUUCAUCCAUACUUACUUGGCACUAAAUUGAUUGUAUAUUCUGACCAUGCAGCGUUGAAGUAUCUUCUCACCAAGAAGGAGGACAAACCAAGGCUGAUUCGUUGGAUGCUCCUACUUCAAGAGUUCAACAUUGAAAUAAGAGAUAAAAAGGGGAGUGAAAAUGUGGUGGCUGACCACCUUAGCCGUUUGGUGCACGAGGAGGACUCCUUACCCAUUCUAGAAACCUUCCCUGACGAGCAAUUGCUAUCCCUAGAGGUAAGUGAGCCCUGGUAUGCUGAUUUGGUCAAUUAUUUGGUCACAAAACAAGUUCCUAGCACUCUAGAUAAGUACAAGCGUGAUAAACAUAGAAAUGAUGCACGAUUUUAUGUGUCGGAUGAUCCAUAUUUAUGGAAGUAUUGUCCUGACCAGAUUAUUCGUAGAUGUGUGCACAAUUCCGAGUUUAAUUCAAUUUUUGCAUUUUGCCAUAGUUAUGCAUGUGGGGGUCAUUUUGGCAACCAAAUGACAGCCCUUAAGGUUUUAGAGAGCGGUUUCUAUUGCCCUACAUUGUUUAAGGAUGCUAGAACAUUUUGUAUAACUUGUGAUAGAUGCCAAAGAACAUGUACAAUAGGUGCCAAGGACCAAAUGCCGCAAACACCCAUCUUUAAUAUAAAGAUCUUUGAUGUAUGGGGUAUGGAUUUCAUGGGACCCUUUCCGCCCUCAUAUGGUUUUACUUAUGUUCUGCUAGCCGUUGAUUAUGUGUCGAAAUGGGAGGAUGCCAAAGCCACCCGUACUAACGAUUCUAAAGUGGUGGCAGAUUUUAUCAAGGCUAACAUCUUUUCCAGAUUUGGCAUGCCGAGGGUGUUCAUAAGCGAUGGAGGCUCCCAUUUUGCAAUCGCACCAUUGAAGCGCUGUUUAAAAAGUACAAUGUGAAACAUCGGGUUUCCACACCAUACCACCCUCAAACAAGUGGCCAAGCUGAAGUCUCAAAUAGAGAAAUCAAGCAAAUCUUGGAGAAGACAGUUGGGCCAAACCAGAAGGAUUGCAGCUUGCGUUUAGAAGAUGCAUUGUGGGCAUAUCGCAUUGCCUACAAAACACCUAUAGGGAUGUCUCCAUUUCGACUAAUCUACGGCAAGCCCUGUCACCUACCUGUGGAACUGGAGCACAAAGUGCAUUGGGCUGUGAAAACAUUUAAUUUGGACUUAAAUACUGAUGGAAUGAAUAGAAAGCUCCAACUGAAUGAACUUGAGGAGAUACGGAACGAAGCUUAUGAGAAUGAGCGAAUUUACAGGGAGAAAACAAAGGCGUUUCAUGACAAAAUGAUUCGGGGAAAAACAUUCUUAAUUGGACAGAAAGUGCUACUAUUCAAUUCCUGUCUACGAUUGUUCCCUGGUAAGUUACGGUCUAAAUGGAUUGGGCCAUUUUUUGUCACCAAUGUUUUUCCCCAUAGUGCAGUCCAAGUUAAAAGCUUAAGGAACGGUGAUGAAUUCAAAGUGAAUGGGCAUCGUCCGAAGCUAUACUAUGAGAGUGAUUUGGGGAAAAUUAUGGAAGAAAUCCCACUCAGUGCCGUGGGCCCUAUCCAAGCUUAGAAGGAAGUUUCGUCCGGCUGCAAGAUGUUAAAGCAAGCGCUUCUUGGGAGGCAACCCAUGUUUUGCAUUCCUAAAAACCUUCCAUUUUCUGCAAUUUUAUUUUGCCAUAAUUGUCAUUUUACUUAUUUCUUGUUUAAUUGUUUUUUGUGUGAGUUUAUUUUUGAAACAUUGACAGAUAUGCAAGGUAUUUUACAUUAAAAUUCGUUGAAAAUAAACAGGAGGCAGAAAAAUCCAAGAGGGAACCUUCACAAAGGUUGUUUAGGAGAAGUCUCAGUAGUCGGCGGCAUCAGCAGUCGGCAGAGCCACAGAAGGAGGAGGUAUCAGAGGUUGAUCAUUUGGAGCUUCACUACGUGGUACAGCCCCAGAAAACAAAGGCAAAUGCUGUUGGAACAAACCCACAAACCUCUGAUGAUCAAGUAAAAUCUGACCAUCAGAUUCCUGCAUCUGGUCAAUCUUCCUCUUCAUGUUUGUAGCAUAGUUAUGUGCAAGCUUGUGCAACUGUUUAUUCUCAUGCUUGAGCCCUCUAAUCUCCUGUUUUAGACUCAUCACUUCAGCCUCCAAUGAUUCAACUUGACGGGUUCGAGCAAAUAGACGUUGGGCCAUAUUGGACACAGAACCUGCACACUGCACACUGAGAGCCAGAGAAUCCUUAACAACCAACUCAUCAGAUCGUUUGGAAAGAAGUCUGUUAUCUUUGGGAGUGACAAGGUUCCGGGCGACCACCGCGGCGGUCAUAUCAUUUUUCAUCACCGAAUCCCCAACGAUAAGAGGACCAGUAGGGGAUAUGAAUGAUGGGCGCCAUAUGUUGUCUGAAGAAGACGGGACUGCCUCUUCACCAAGGUUCAAGCCAAAACGACAGUCAGAGGGGCCAGACAUUUUCAGAGGUGUUAAAGAAAGAAGAGGUCAAACAAGUCAAGAUUGUAGAAGUGCAAGAAGGGAGUUUCUACAUGCAGAAAUUCAAGUGUGCUUUGAACGUCCUGCAUACCUCUAUAAAAAUCAGCACUCGACGGGAUUUCAGAGAUCGAAGAGGCGAGCUAAGAAAUCGAAGAGGCCAACUCAAAAAUCGAAGAGGCGCUAGCUUUCUCAAAAUCUGGGCUUGCUCAGAAACCACGACCAAUCUUCUUUUCCAGAUUUGUCCGCACUUGUCACAUGCACCCUCUGCACUCGACGGGAUUUCAGAGAUCGAAGAGGCAAGCUCAGAUAUCGGAGAGGCAUCUGCUUUUCCAGACGUGUCAGCAUCUGUCACAUGCAGAGUCAGCUUUGCGGAAAUCACUGGCAGUUUGUCGAAGUGCCGAGUCCAGAUAUUUAAGAGGCACUUGCUUUUCCAGACAUGUCAGCACCUGUCACAUGCACACUCAGCCUUGCGAAAAUUAUGGGUAAUUUGUUGAAGAUUUCUGGUGACGUAGAAAGCACGUGAAGAAUUACUGUUCAAUCAUCCAACGGUUGCCGACAAGAGUGAAAGAAUAGUACCGGUUAUUAAUUCAUAUACAUGUCGACCUUCACCCUCCCUUGCAAUGCAGACAUACAUAACCCUUCUUCUCCGAGAAUGCCUUCCCAACAAAGCCUCUCAAGUCACUUAGUGUUCCUUAUUCCCUGGGAUACCUAUGCAAACAACUCAUCCAAAGCGAAAGUAUUUCAUAUCAUGAAGGUUGAAAGCAAGAGUAUCUCAUAUCAUGCUUUCUCCUUGUCCUUCUUCUUGACGUUGUUUUGGGACAAGGAGAAAGAGAGCAAUCAACCAGCACUUGGUAUCAAUCUUCCGAUCUGGAACCGACUGCCUGGAACCCCUUCCUCAUUGCUUACCUAGCCUUGCUCUCGAGUACUCAUCUUCAUCAUUUUAUGCUUCCUUUUCGUCUACCACAUCUGCCUGGGGAACAGAUAAGGGAAGUGAAAAUGAUACCUCGAAGCAUGUGGAGACAAUUUGCCAAUUCAUCCUCAGCUAGGGACAAGGAGAAAGAAAGCAAGAGGUGGGCACUUGGAAAGAUUGAAGAAAGAAACAGACCAUCACCUCUACCUCGUGCCUACCUGCCGUGCAGAAGAAACAGCAGAGAAGAAUGCAGACUGCACAACCAAGGAACCCUAAUAUUCCUCGCUCAGAAUUCCAAACUAGUUCAAGAUCAACGCUGUGGAAAGUCAACAAGAUCAUCUAUCUCUAAAACCAGAUUUGCGUUCUUAAACUCUACUCUGUCUAGUUUUUACUUUGCUAUACUUGUCAUGUUUAUUUGUUGUUUGUUUGUUUGCUUGUUUUUGUGUGAGUUUAUGCUUAAAACAUUGAGGAUAAUGUUUGAUUUAAGUGUGGGGGGUAACUAUUGUUUUGCAUGAAAUUCAUAGGAGUUUAUCACCCAUUACUUCUAGUGUUGUUCCUUGCUAUUUUUAAGUGUUUUUAAGCUGUUUUGGAGUGUUUUAGUGUGUUUUGACAUAAAAAUCUGAAAAUCUCAUAAAAAUUUGAAAAAUUGUUUUGAAAAACCCAAAAAGAGUUGUUUUUGUGUGUCUAUUUGUAUCUUAGGGUACCUUCCAACACAAUGAUGAGGAUUUGGUUUUUAAUUACAUGACUGUUAAAGAGAAUUAUAAACAUGGAUAAAAAUUUGAUUUACUCUUUGGUGUAUGCUUGGUUGUGGUUAUAAUUUAUGAAUUCACAUGCAAUCAUAAAGGAAAAAUCAGUUUUUGUAACAUGCUUGAAGGAAGGAACUCAAAUGAACGCUACAACCUUGUGAGACUUGAGCCUAAACGUUUAUUUGGAGAGUUAAUAAUAUGUGCAUCAUUGUUUUCUAAAGUCGUUGCAUGAUCUCAUUAUUCUUUGCUUGGUUGCUACUUAGAAGGCAAUUCAUCAUUUAGUUCUAAAUGCUAGAACUCAUGCCUAUUUCAUUCAAAACAUGCUAUUGAUUUGCAUAACACAUAUUCAAGAUGAAGUUGUGUAGUGACCACCAAAGCCAAAUUGUUGUGCCCUUAUUUCUUUAUGUGUUUAAGUUUAACCCUGUUGAGCCUUGUUAAGCCUAUGUUCUUUGUUAAUCCACACUAUCCUUACCUAGCCUAGUUUUAGGACCAUCCAUACCCUUGUUCUUGAAGCAUAGUAAAGCAUGACUUAAAAUGAACUUUUUUUUUUUUAAUCAAUGUAUUGCAGAAAGCAAGUGUGGGGGAAGUGAUUCUUGUGUGUGUGUGUGUGCGCCAAAGUCCUUAAUAAGGCACGGGUAAAAAAAAAAAAAAAAAAAAAAAAGAGUGAAAAAAAAAAAAAAAAACGUUUGUUAAAAAAAAAAAAGGUCCAAAAUAUUGAAUUCGGCCCUAAGUGUUGCAUGAAUCUUCCCUUUGUAUUUAAAAGUUGAUUUCUGCAUUCUAAAGUGAAUUCUAAGUUUCAAUUUCAUUACUUUGCUUGCUAUUGCUUUAAGAACGUUUGUUAUCCCUAUCCUUUCUUUGUUAGCCAUUACCUUUAGCCCCGUUACAACCUUUAACUUCUAUCUUGAGUGUUAUGUGUUUCAAUUUGUGGAGUUUGAAGUUGGUAUGAGCAUAUGGUGUCACUAGUUCUCGCAUCUAAGUAGUAGCAUUCCAUUCAUGAGAUCAUUACUAAACAUGCUUAAUAACUCCAGAAAAUUGCUUUCUUUGUUAUAACACAUGUGAGUCCUAGUCUUUCGUGUUUACAUUAAUCUUCUCACAUAUACUAGUGUAGGGUGUGUAGUCAGAAAAUGUGUGUGAAAAUAGAGAGUAUGUUGUAAGAAAUUGAGCAAAUUCUCUAAGGCAUGUUACUACAUUCAAAACAUCGUUUUAAUUGGUUAAUUGUGAACUAGUAAGUGGUGACUGUGAUUUAGUAUGUGCUCAAGUGUAAAGAUGACCAAAAUCUGUGGGAAUGAUGAUUGCUAUCCAACUUGGAUCGUUGGAGUGUUUAGGUGUUUUCUUUCUUUUGUUUCCAAUGUUUAAAUUCAUUUUACUUUGUUUUGUUGUGAAGAUGAGUGGUUAAACCCCUCUUGGCUAGGGGUGAUUUCAAAGCCAUGAUUAUGUGUGUAAUAUGAUUUGAUAAAUUCCAGUUAUGAACUCUUGAAUCGUAAAUGCAAUUGGCUUAACUAUUUGAUUGAUAACUUAUUUGUAUUUGUUGAUUAAGGGUCGACACUUAAUGGGCAUGCAUAAAUCCGUUGCUCGAAUAUAAGGAAGUUUCACAUAAUUGUUACAAACUUAUAUUCACAUGUAGUGAAGGUCGCUUAUAAACGAUCGCGUUAAGUUCAAUUCCUAGCAUGAGUGACAUGAUGUCAUAGUUGCAAGUGCUUUGUCAAUGCUUAUGAUUUUCAUUAAACGUAAUGAUCUUUGAUUGUAUCUCUAUUAUGAUGUCAUGUAAGGAACUUUUGAAGAAUGUUUUGGGUUGUCGAAUGAUGUCAUCCAAUCCAAUAAAACAAGGAAAAUCUGAGGGUUAACUAGUGAUGUCACAGUUAAUUUGGGGCAUUGUCGUUCAUAAUUCAAUGAAGUAGUAACUGGAAAUCGAGUUGUUUGCAUACAUGUUAUGUGUGGAGAAAAAGCCUCUAGCUAUCCCAUCCAUCAUCUUAUUUCUCAAAUUUGUUUUACAAUCUUUCUAGUUUUUCAUACUUGUUUGUUUGUUUCAACUUCAUCCAAAUUAAAACCCCCCCUUUUAGUUUCUUGUUUCAAAGUAUUUCAAAUCUAUUUUAGUUUGUGUUUUUAAGUGUUUUGAUUCAAGUAAAAGUCAAUUUUCGUCCAAAGUCAUUCCUAGUGUCUAGUUUAAGUUUAUUUAGUUGUUUUAAGCUGUUUUGAGUAUUUUAAGUUUUCUUUGAGUCUUGUGAGUCUUGUUAAGUGUUUUUAAGUUUAGUUUUAUGCUUUUGAGUCAGUUUAGAGGUUAUUAGCAAGCCCUCCUAAUCCCCGGUCCAGAACGAUCCCUACUUAUACUUAUACUACAAUUGUCAAAAGAGGGUUAAAUUUGUGUGUUAAGUUAAUUUUCGCAUCCCUUAACCAUCAAAAUAGACUUUCAAAACUACUAUAAUCCUACAUUAAAACGUGCUCCAAGGAAGUUUAGGUUGGUUUUGAGGCUCACCUUUGCCGGGAAUGGCGAGCAAUCGUCGAGGGAAUUUAUUGAACAGUAGUGGCACCACCGCUCAGAGAGAGAGAAAGAGAUAUGUCAUGUUCCCGGGGCUUGGGUUUCAUGACGUAGAGUCAUAUGGUGGUGUGGUCACACUUGAGGGAGCAAUGACAGUGUGAUGGUGGUGGUGGCGUGUGGUUCCCGAAGGAGGAAAGUGAAUGAGAGGGGAAGUGACAGAGAGAGGAACGAGAGAAGGGUCGGAAAAGAAGGAUCCCGAAGAGUGAAGGAAGAAGGCUAGGUGGCGAGAGAGGAGAGGAGAGUUAUGUGAGGCGUGGACCCAACGGGCCAAAAUAAAUUAUUAACAUAUUUAAAAUAUCCAAAUCAGAAAUAUUAAAAUAAUAAUAUAUUAAUUUCGAAAAAUAUAUAAAACAUAAAAUAACAAUUUUUCACAAAAGUAUUUAUCGAAUUUGUAGUUCCGUAAAAUCUUCAUUGUAACUCCAAUUUUGAUGCCGCUUACGCCUAUGUGUUCAUACCAUCAAGUACUUUGAGAAUAAGCUAAAAGAAUGUUUCAUACGUUUCCAAAUAUGCAGGUCAACGAAAGUCAAUACCCUCAUCUCUAGGGGCAUUUUCGUCAAUUCACUCAUUUAAAAUUAAUAAAAUCGUAAAAUUAGGGACAAUUGUCACAAUCUACCCACCUUAAAAAAAUUCAUCCUUGAAAUUUGAAAUAAAUUGAUAUACAUAAAAUACUCAAGGAUAGAAAGAAAUAUAUAUAAAGAAGAAAUCAAGUUAGUUUGCAUAAAAGAGAAUAUCAUUCCAUUGCAAUCGAAUUGCAGUGAUUCCUCUUUCAUGCCUCCAAACUCAUAUACUUUCCUUCUCCUUCAAUACGAUACCAAAAUAUAAAACCUUUCUUAAAACAUAAGGUCAAAAAUAGAUACAUAGUAACAUAUCGUCCAAAUACGUGUAUAUUUUAAAAUGAAGUUAAAAUAAUUAUAUAGAAAUUAGAAUUGAAAAUAGAAAAAUUUUCACCCACGUAUUUGUAGCAUCACGUACCUCGAAGAUAAAUAUGUUGUAUCUUUGGGUCAAGCCCAAACAAUUAAUAAAUAAACUAUUGUACAUAGUCUAAUUGUCCACUUGCUUAACGAAUCCAACAAAUAAGUUAUCAAUAUUACAGUCUACAGCCCGCAAUACUAACAACUCACUGUUGUCACGAUAAGCAAGCAAAUAAUUCAUGAGGGUGCAACAUUACCAUUUUGCCUUUCAUUGGGAAAUGCACGUAAAUCGUCCAAUUAGCACCUCGAUCGUGCUCACGUACUACGCUCUCGGGCAACAUCAUUAACACUACACAAUUUCCUGUAUCACAAUCUUGAUCAUUCGAAUACCUUUUCGCAAUACUCCUCGGUCAGUCAUGUGUUAGGCAUAAAUCUCUAUACAAUGCCUUAAAUGGUACCAUACCCAAAAACCGAAAGUGUAACCGUAGUUACACGCAACUCUCACAAAGAUAAGUGUCUACUCUACUAAAACUAUAGAACAGAUAAACGAAACAUCCCACGAAGAUCAAGAUAAUUCAUUCAUACUAGCCGUUAGUCUAAGGAUGAAGUGUGGUAUCGGACAACAACUUGUGCCCAUAGUCUUCAAGAAGAUUUCCCAAGGCUUGUAAGUGAAACACGUGUCAUGAUGAGACAUAUUAGUGACAUGCAUACCAAGUGAUCGAACCAUGUAGUUCACAAUACCAUAAUGAACAAAUUCGUAUUGAAUUUCUCUCAAAUUAGCAAAACAUUAUGUCUAGAAGGCUAAAAUAAUACUCAAGAAUUUGAGGGUCAAAACAAGUCCAUGAAAUAUAGAGUAUAAGAUAAUUAGAUUGAAUGCAUAACAUUUUGCUACAACGGUAGCUUCCGAAAUAAUCAACCACCAACGAUAAAGAUUCGUUCAACAUAGUAUUUGUAGGGUGAUUGAAGCAUUAAAUGUCAAAACUAAAAAUUUAAAUGUUCGAGCGAUUCACCUAAACUGUCUGUCUGCUUCAAAAUUAAGACAAAGUGUGGUAAGGUAGACAUGUGCUCAAGGUUGACCAGAAUGCCUUCAGGACAAUGAGGUGACUAUGAAAUCAUGGUCAAAGUAGAUAUCGCUCGAAGUGACAGAAUAUCCAAUAAAUUCAAGGAUGAGUAAUUUUACCCAGUGGUAAAAAUGCAAUCUCUCUGGACCAAUGAAAGGUGGGGUAAUUUGUCAAGUUGAUCUAUAAUCACCGAAACGUCACCAUAACCUCCACUCGUACAAGAUCACUUGUAUCAGUAGCUUAUGGUGAUAGUUCCCCAUUUCCAUUGGGAUAAAGGAAGUGAUUAUAACCAUUCGAAUGAUUUCUUGAUGGUUUGUUGGUAAUGCCAUAUCAAUACUCAUGAAUUCCAAUUGAAAUGAGAUAAGACAAACUGAAGGUGUGCAAGGGUACAUAUGUCUUUUGAUGCGGUAAAUAGAAUAACGUUUGCACAAUCAAGAUGAUACAUAAUAGUGCAAAUGUAGAUGUUGAUUUGGUUCUUCCACUGCCGCUAUCAGAAAUUUAGCUUAUUUCAAAUGAGGAUGUAUUUGAAAAGUCUAAGAUUGAUAAAGGUCAUGGACAUGUUUCUCCAUUGAGAAGUACCAUUCAAUUUUCAAAUGAAGAUGAAAAUUGUUGACUCUAGAUCGUAUAUAUGAUGGUUUAUUUCAAAUGGUUCAAACCGUUGGAAAAUAUAAGCAAUACUCCAUCAUGCUGCCUCUGCAUAGUUGAAACAUCCAAAGAACACAUCAUCAUGGAUUUCCAAGAUGAUCAAUGUCAUCGAAAGGUGUAAAACCAAGGUGAGAUGAGACAAUAGUUUGAUUACUUUAUUGAUAUCCAACUUCCUAAACUAAACUAACUUUCCUCAGUCGAUAAGUGGGGAAAAACACUAUAGCCGAAAAAAUCGCUAACAAAUUGUUGCAAGACUAAAGAUGUCUCGAAUUUCACAACACUUUGUGAGAAUUCCAACUUUCUUCCGCUACAACCUUUUUGGGAAAAAGAAAAGAAUAUCGUCCACUGAGAGCACAUCUCCUAAGAAACGUACCUGCUUUAAACAAAUUUAACAUUUGAAGAAUUUGGUAUAAAGCUGACUAUUGGUGGUUAGAGAAUUUGGUCUCACUACCAAAGUAGAUGAGAAAGUCGUUGAUAAGACCACUAUAAAUUCAUCAGACUACAGAGGAAAACUCGGGUUAUAAAGGUUGGUUGGCUGGACCAUCAAUUCAAAGUAUGGGUUAACAGUUUUAAUCAUCACCCAAUUGAGUUGCUAAAAUCUAGGUACAAUCCGAAGGUUCGGUCUUUUGCUUCCCGAAUAGGUUCUAGGUUCCCUAGAUAAAGUGUUUGGUUAGGUAAAUUCCUAAUCGAUAAGCUUUCGCAACUAAGUUUCCUCAAUGUCAAAGGAGUCGUUUGAAAAGGUGUAAAGAAAACUGGUGUAGUACACGAAAGUAGAUCAAUAAUGUAUUCAACUUCCCGCUCUAGUGAUAUCUUAGGUAAAAUUUUGAAAAAUGAUGCUAGAGAUAUAUGUCCUCAGAACGUACAACACUACAUCCUUUCUCUAUGCCACGUACUAAUGGGUCUUCAUAAUUUUCUCAAUUAUCAUUCAACUCAAAAGUGGGAAAUUAACUCGUGCUUCGAUUCUGCUGUCUACCAGUGGAAGUGAUCGCAAAGCUGGCUAGUCGAAGAGGUUUUGUUUACCUAGAUAGGUGAUAAGGUAAAAACAACCAUGAGUUUACUAUCCUAAUAUAAAGCUUGCUCCUAAGUUUCCACAAUUUAGGUUCUUCGGCUCAAGUAGUCACUGUUAAUCAGUCUAUUAAUCACGCCGCUACUUAACACACAUGAUAUUUGAUAUUAUUCGCUACUCUGAAACUGUGAACCGAUGUUCUGGCACAAAGGUAUCACUCCUAAAUACUAGCAUGUGUCCGGUAUCAAAAAUCAUACCACCUGAAUACUGGUUCACAGUUCCUGGAUAUCGGACAGUAUCAUCGAUUAGUAGUGCCACCAUAGGCUGAUUACAGGUUAGAGCCCGCUCAGGUAGAUGGUUUCAAAUGAUUGGUAAUGAUUAGUGCUAUCGGGGACCAAAAGUGAUUGUCUCUAGAUGUUCUUCCAUCAAGUGCUUCCACUUUAGCACCAUAUUGUCACUCAAGACAUUUCUGAGAAUUUUGAUUAAUGUAAAACUUCGUAUGGAUUCUAAUAGAUUGUAUGCUAACGGAUACUGCCAAGGAAUCAAAACUAUUUAUAGUUUCCUAUCUCGAGAGGGUUGGUAGAAAUGACUAGAUGGUAGUGGGAUCGAUUGGUAAAUCUCUAGUAGCACACAAUUAUCCAUACAUUAGCCAUAUUUUAGGGCCAUCAACUUGUCUUAAAUCAGAAAUUUCCUUGGCAAGAAUGUUCUUCGUUUAAAUCUAGAGGCGGUCACCAAAAUUUUUCUUUUAGAAGGUCGAUAAGUCGACUAGGUCCCUCAAUACUUAAAAAAAAACUUAACACAUUUUUCGUAUUCAACGAGGUGGCAAGAUUCGAGAAUUAGGCUCAAGAACUAAGAAUGCUUACAUCACACGUGUGAUGAACGCAAUACUGCCCAAACUUAUGCUCUGAUACCAAACUGACACACCCUGACCCAAAAUGUCCAUUAUGACUCCGAAUCGAGCUGUGCUGGCUGACACCUGGAAGGUGACGAAGCCAUAAAGUGUAGUGAUGUGGAAAAUGUGAAUAAAUUUAAACCUAAAAGUAUCUAAGUAUAAAAGUGCGCUGGUGAGCGGGAAUGAACCCAUAUCACACAUGAUGUAAAAGCAUAAGUAAAGUACAGUAGAGUGGUUUGAGAAUUAUGCCAUCGGAGGUAGUCUCCAAUACCAUAUUUGCAAAGAAUCCUCGUCGAUACAAAACCUGAGCUGCUAAAACCUAGAGGGGGGCAAAACAAAGGUGAGUGGGCCUGAAAAUAAAGUUUUAAUAAAAACCUUUUGAAAACUUUAUGACCCCUUACCGUAAAACAAGUAUAGUUUCCAAAAUAUACAUGCUACGUGCAGUAAGAAAAUACCUACAGUAGCCUGCAAAAUCACAAGAUUGCCAUAGGUCGCAAUAUUGCGUAAAUGAACAUAUAAUAACCGAUAUCACAUAAUCUCGCAUAAGCAAACAUAUCAUAUCGGGUGCUUAUCGACACAUGUUGACACACGAGUUCAUGUAAAGGUAUUCUGACAUGAACAGGACUGGGUGUAACAAUAAUAUACACUCUAGUACUACAAUCACGUGAAAACUCGCACUGUGCGCAGCACAUACAAGUCGGAGUUGCCUAUUGCAACCUAUACGACAGGAUUGGCAGCUACAAUGGAUCGAAAGUGAGUGUAUGGUGUGAUGUGCAUAUACACGUGAAAGACUGGUCCUGGCCCGGACGAGUACUAACACUGAGGCAGCAAACAAUGAGCAGAUAUCAUAAAUGUAGUCAUGCCACAGUGACUCGAGAACUCUAGUCAACAUUGCAUUAUUUAUGAACAUAAAUAUAAUUAAGGAAUCCCCUUAUAGUAAGCCUACCUAAGCAUCCCAUAGGAUUAUUUCAUACUUUCCAACAAUAAGGCAUUUCUUAUAAACAUUACUUUAAUCAUGGCACUCUCGUAGAGAAUUUAUUAAUAUUUGUAUAUAUGGAAACUAACAAAUAUAUAUGUGUGUAUAUAUAUAUAUAUAUAUAUAAAGAAAAGAUUCACUCAUAGAUCAUGUUGUCGGGUCGAAGCCUUCAGUUAUGCAUCUCCAUUCUAGGUUCGAUCUGUUUUUGUGUAGCCUCCCGGUCUCUCUUUCUUUGUAAAAUAAAAAAAUUGCUUCCAGGAGGUCUUAAUUUUGAUGUAAAUUUGAAUGGCAUUAUUAUUCUUUUUAGAUUUGCUUGUUUCGAUUUCAUUAACACCCAGUUAAUAUGCAAAACAUGUGUAAUUUCCACUACCUGUUUUGGUCUGCUUUGGUUGGUUCAAUCUGCUUUGGCCCUUGCAUAUUAUUCAAAACAUUUGUAAUUUCCACUGCCUGUUGCUCGACUUUAUCCUUCCAUGUCAUUAAUUCCUCAGACUGAGCUUUCCAUUUUGCUAAAUCCUCGAGCCUCUUUUGAUUCUGUUGAAUUUCUUUGUAUUUUGUAGUGCUUCGAUUUCUUUGUAUUCUUUUGAAGGUCUUAAAACAUUAAGCACUUCAGAACUAAUGAUGCAGCACAUUAUUGGUCUCUGUAAUGCCAUCAAAUUAGAUUAUUUGCUUCUAUCUCAUUCCAUUGUCUUGGAGUAUGUUGUGCUUUCACUUCAAUCAAUAUGAUGCUUUAUCAGAAACUUAAAGGUUUGUUAUCUAUAACAGGCUUAUCAAGAGUCAACCAAAGAAAAGCAGCAUGCUCAAAUUGCUCAAGGUUUCACUCCAUCUCCCUUCUAUAAUAAUUGAACUUUUUAUUAUUUCCAGUAGGUUUUUAAUCUCAAUGAACACAUCAGGUAUUCUCUUCUCUAUUAAAAUUUAUCACUGAGAAGGAACAUAAUUACCAGAAGAAAAAAAAACUGCACAAUUUGGAUUGACUUCAAUCUUUAGAUAACGAUUCAAUUCAUAGUUUGGGGAGAAAAAGUUUGAUAUGCUUGCCGUCUGAAGACUUCUAGGAAUUGAAAUAUGCUCAUAUGGUCAUAAAAUGGCAUAAUGCAUAAGAAAAAUAAAAGAUUUCUUGUUACUAAAUUUUCUGUUCAACAUUUCCUUUGAUUUAUUUUUUAUUGUUCUUGUUUAUAGAUUUAGACCAGGCCCUGGGUAUGGAGAGUUUAAAUGUGAGCUUUUGCAUCUGUUAUUUUGUUUUGUUGGUUAUUCGGUAUGAGGCUCUCUUUGAAAAUUAUCCUCUUGUGGAUGUGUUGCUUAUCGUUCAUUUUUCCUUUACUAUUUUUCCCUCCCUCCCUUUUAUUUUCUUCCUUUCCAUAGAUGAAUACUUUUUAUUUGUUAUAGAUACCCUUUAUGGAUGUAAAAUUCAUAUUCACUUUUAUGCAUGGUGAAUUUUUAGUGCCACUAAAACCAAGUUUUAUAUGUCCACAAGAAGUUUUCUCCAUAUAUGUUAAGUGAGGAAACAAAGAUUUUCGUUGUUGAUCUAGGUUCGGCAUUUUACCAUUCCAUGGAAUAGAAAUCCUAGCUACAUGAAUCAUUUGAUGGAAUCCCAUGUAUAUAUCCAUGUAAUAUAUACCUUGUGGGAUGGUACUUUCUCAAUAUUACAUUCCUUAGAUUUGCUUGUUUCGAUUUCUUUGUAUUUUGUAGUGGUUUGAUCUACCCAAUACUGUACUUACAACCAAAGAUCCGCCUCUAUUUAUCUGCUUCCACUCCUCCUAUUAAGCAGUACUGGAUUCAGAGAUAUCUCUAUCUGGAUUCAUUUUUUCAGUGUUCAAGUUUCGAUUUUUAUGUGCUAAAAUCUAUAAAUCUAAUGUCUUGGGGUUCUGUUGGAUUGGAUUGGGUUACAAGUUUCAGAUUUUCCGCUGUUGGAUUGUGUUCUGUGUUAUUCUUAAAAAACCAAAUUAAAUUGCUUCUAUGCUCACGAACCACUCCCAACAUAUCUUGAAUAUGGACACAAACAAAUGCAAGGAUAGAAGGAAGAAAAAAACAACUCAACAUAUAUAUCAUUCAUGUUACAAUCGUCCAAGUUAGCAGUGAAAAUUGUUGUCAGUAGGGUCAAUGCUGGACCACAUGUGGAAAUAAUUUUGGGGGUUGGUUUGGGGUUUGAGGUAAAGAGAAUAAAAUAUGGUUUCGUUCACAAUUCCAAAAUAAAAUAUUUGCACAUGAGUUUCUAUUUCAAUUCAACCAAAAAACAAAAUGAAUUUGUAGUAAAACUCUUAUCAUUAAUUUUACCAAGUCCAAGUAUCUAAAAUGAAUUUAGCGUAUGUUGAUGCUCCACUCAUUCAUGUGUUGUUUUUUUGCAUGUGAAUGUAUGGAUGAAUAUGAGACUCAAUUCUUUGUUCUUUUGAACGUUUGGAUUAUAAUGGCACAAGUCUUUACUAUGAAUGCACAAUUGUUGAGGUAUAGACAACAACCAAGGAGACAACAGGAAAUAGCUAGUUUAGAGCAAAGGACAUUUGUUAGACUUCAUGUUAGGAGAGAGGACAUAAAUCGUAUCACAUGAUUGUGUGAUACUAACUGUUUGUGGGAGCUACGAAUGGAUAGGAAUGCAUUUGCAGUUUUAUGUGACUGAUAAGCUCAUAUUUAUAUAUAUUUUACAUAAAAUUCACUUGUCUUUUCUUAGUUAGUUCCUUAUAUUUUUGAGCUAUUUACUAUGUUUUUUUAUUUUGUGUGAUUUAUCAAGCAAAGAAAAGAAAAGUAGCAGAAAUGAGAUAUUAAGUAACAAAUUCGUCAAAACUGCCUGUGCAGAUUAGCUGACUUUGGAAGCAUAUUAUGAACAGCUCAGAAUGAAUGAGAGAAUGAGCCUUAUAUGCUUGGAAAGCUACGGAUGUCUAUUUUCUGGAACAAUUUACGGAUUGUUAAUAUCCUUUUUCUAGAAAACGUUAUGGGCAUUGUAACACUAAAAGGUUCAGAAAAGGGCUAAGCAGAUUUGGCUAAUAAAAUGAGAAAGUAAAGGCACUUGUUUUGUGUUUUGCUUUGUCAUCAACACUCAGCAGCAAAUGGGGUUAUGAUUGCACUCAUUUGGCUUUGGAGCAAAUGGAAUUGCACAGCUAGAAAGAGAAGGCACGGCACAUGAAAAAGAGAAACAUGGACAGCUACACACAUGCAAACUGCACAGGUUGGAGGGCAUACACACACUCCACAGGGACAGUUUGGAAAAAUAAAGCAGGAAACAUAGAAUGAAAGCACAUGGGCAGCAGGAAAUGUAGAAUGAAGGCACAUGGGUAGUAGGAAAUCAAAAAAUGAAGAAUGAAGAAGUGGAAAUAAUGAUAACUUGACAGCAAUGACACAUGCAAAGAGGCAUUGAGCACCAUCUUUCACACUUGUGCAGCAGCAACCCUUCAUCAUUACUUAACAUUUCUGCCACAAGAACAUGGAACAAAUACAUGCAAAGGGAAAGAAAGACACACGGCAUGAGCAGAAAGUGUAGUGAUUUGUGGUUGAAAUGAUGAGUGCAUGUGUGUGCAAAUGUAAAAUGAAACAUGGACAACACACACCCAUGCAAACUGCACAUGCAAAGGAAAUGGAAUGGUCCUCAUACUAGCCUAUAAAUGCAUCCACCAUUCCCAUUCCUAAAAAAAAAAAUUAUCUUGAUCCAUAAUUUUGACAUUCCACAAACACUUUCAUUGCCUUUGCCGUGACCUCCAUCAUUCAUCCAGCCAUUCCCCAUUCACCAUACAUUCAACCACAUUCACUAUACAUUCAUCCAACAUAUCCCAAAACACAAAGCAUACAUUGUCAUCUUCCCUUGGCCGAGACAUUCACCAAUCCUAAAUACAUUCCUAACCUUUCCAAAUAUCCAUACACAUCCUAGACACUUGUGCUGCAACAAGGUGGUGAAAACGAAGGUCCUUGGCGUUUCAAGCUUGGAACUUUUGAGCAUUUUAGGUGUACUUCAUUCUUGCUUUCAAUGUCUACUUUGUUAUUUUCUGAUUUUGUUGCAAUUAUGAGUAGCUAAACCCCCCUUAGCUAGGGGGGAAUUCAAAGCCAUGAACAUAUUUGCAAUAUGAAUUGAUUACCUUCAGUUGUGAUUUCAUAAGUUGUGAAUUCAAUUUGUUUAACUGCUUGUUUGAUAACUUAUUCGUGUAUGUUUAUUAAGAGUGCACACUUAGUUUGCAGGCAUGAAUAUGAUGCUAGUGUAUAAGGGAGUUUCACCUAAUAGUUACAAACUUAUAUUCACAAGUAGUGGAGGUCGCUUAUAAUUGAUCGCGUUAAAUGAAUUCUUGGCAGGAGUUUCAUGCUCAUCAUAGUAACGAAUGCCUCGUCAAUACUUAUAGUUUUCAUAAUGCUUAAUGAUCUUUGAUUGUAUCUUUAUUGUGUUGUUCACGAAAAAGACUUUUGAAGAAUGCUUGAAUUGUUGUAUGCGCUUUCCUAUCCAAUUCAAUAACUUAAGGAGAACUUGAAGGUUAAUUUAAGCGGACUUAAUUAACCUGGGGUGUUGAGUUGCAUGAUUUAUCGAAAGAACAAUUGAAAAUUGGUUUAUGUGCAAGUGUGUCAUGUGGAGAAGAACCCUCUAGCUAGCCCAUCAUCCAUAGUUUACCCAAAUUCGUCCAACAUCUGUUUUAGUUUACAAUCUGUUUGUUUUGCUUUCAAAUUCGUCAAAAUCAAAUCCCCCUUUACUUUAAAGUGUUUUAUUAGUCAAAAUCUGUUUUGAUUUGUGUUUUUAAGUGUCUUGAGUCAUGUUAGAACCUAAUUUCAUCCAAAACCAUCCCUAGAGUCAGUUUAGAGUCUAAUUCAUUGUUUUAAGCUGUUUU